This 99193-nucleotide long non-coding RNA is filed under the name Citrus x clementina. RNAcentral's name for it is "Citrus clementina (C. clementina) long non-coding RNA (CCLE_LNC004220)". Lineage: Eukaryota; Viridiplantae; Streptophyta; Magnoliopsida; Sapindales; Rutaceae. The record is from RNAcentral.
UAUAUCACUGUGCAGAAGUAAACAAAGUAUGCAAGCAUGAUGAAAUAAAGAUCAUGAUAUGUGCCUAUGAGAUUAUUAUAGAACGAACCUGCCAUAAAAAAUGAUGCAGAGACUAACCCGGAAGAAAAGGCCACCUAAGAUGUGAAUUUGCUGUUAUUUGAUUCAACUCUUCGGCAUGGCUCUUGAGGUUUGAAUCAGCCUAUGGCAGGCAAGUGAGCAAGAUAGCUUGAUGCCCUUAUCAACAUUCUUUUUCCAUGAAUCUGAAUCUUUCUGUCGAACAACAUUAAUAAGAAUGCACAUAGAAGUAAUACGGUAUUGCAUGUUAUAAAGGAAAUUAUUAAUUUUGUAAAGUACCUUAGCAAUUCUGCUUUUGCUAACUUUGUUACUGUCUAGACUGCACUCUGUUCCACAGUCGAAAUCAUUCUGCAUUUUGGCACAAUUCCAACGCAUCUUCUAUUUAACAAAAAAGAAAAAAUAAGAAUCAACCAUUGUCAAUUCUUAUCAACAAAGUCUUCAAAUUGACAUUGCGGUCUCUGUUGUUUAAAGGGGAAAAAAAUCGAUAGUUGUGAAUUCUUAUCAACCAAAAUUAAACAUGGGGGUGGAGAAAAGAAAAAUAAAAAUCAAAUGUUGAAUCCUCUUGAUUGUAUCAUGGAUAAAUCUGAUUUAGAUCUGAGUCCAUAUUUUAAGAGAUUCAUCGACCCAUUUUCAGACAUGCCAGGAAUUGUAAAUUAAGUCAAAUAUUCACAAAAAACAGAUUCUGUGUUCAGCCGCAAAUGGGCUAUUUCACGGCCAAGCAAGAAAACAAAUGAAGAAAAUUAAUUGCUUUCCACUGGUUCAAGAAUUAAUACCAUGAUUGAUUGCUUCUCUUUUGGAAGAAAUAAUUUUGAAUAAAACACAGCAUCAUUACAAAAAAUGCGAUGAUAUUUUUUCAAUAAUCAGAUGAUGAUAAUUUCUCCAUACAUUCAUUCUACGGCCUGACUCUGUUUUAUGUCUAAGGCUAAUGUGGUGCACUUGCAGCAAGAUAACCAAACCGGUAUGUGUUGGGAAAAUAUGCUCUUUAAAAGCAUAUAUGUUUAUUUAAUUGUAAUAAACUAUUUUUCUGAUUAAUAAAAUAAAUGAGGUAUUUUAUUCAAAUAUCUUAAUUGCAUUAAUACUUGUAUUAAAGUCCAUUUAAUCAUAUUAUAUGUAUUUAUGUGAUUACCAUGUGGAUUCACAGAAGACAUAAAUACAUGUUAUCUUAUGAUUAAAUAAAUUUAGUUCGCAGUUGAUAAAUAAAGUUGGGCACUUUAUUUAGGUAUAGACUGUAAUAAAUUCAUUGAAUGAUUUGUCUUAAUCAUGUAUGAAUUUAUUGAUGUAGUACGACUACAUUGAACAGGAUCACAUAUGAGAUUUAAUUAACUUUGUAAUAACUGUCAGACUUAUUAAAUCUCAUAGGCGUUGAUUUUACUGUAAUCUUAAUCUUGAGUUAAUUAUGAUUUCAUGAUUGUAAUUGUUAUUCCAUUUGAGUUACCAAUGGGCACGACACAUCCUUGUGGUCAAGAUUACCCGGUAUCUUGGUGGGAGCAAUUAUGAGUAUUGGAGUUAUAGAUUAACAAUAUAGAAUUUGUACAACACAUCUCUUCAUGGGUUUUCGGCACUUGAUCAUGGAAUUCUCUGGCCAGAGUGUGUCAACAUAUUUAGUAUGUUGAAAAUGAUCAUUAGAGAAAACCAGUAAGGAUCAAGGAAUAAGAUGUUAUUAAAUUGAUUGGACAGUUGAGAUAUCAAUUUAAUUAACGAUGUGGUACAAAGGAUUGUGCAGUAAAGAAAUCAAUGUGGCUUGGGACGAAUUAUUAUUCGAGCAUACAAUUAUGGAAGUCAGUUCCAAUCUUUUAGUGGAGUAGAUUUGGAAUUAAAUAAUUGGGCUAGUUUAAUUACAGGCCUAAUUAUUGUAGCCACUAUUGUAUGUUCCCAAAUGAUCCCCGGGUUAGCUCAUUUAAUUGACUGCACCACUACUGGACUAAUAAGUAAGAUAACUAGCUAUUUGGGUCAAAAGCCUAAAUAUAUCAUUUAGUGGGAGGCUCCAUUUAAUUAGCUUUUGUAUAAGGGGCCUUAUGUUAUUUUACAAGGUGGGUCCCCUAUUGAAAAAGCAAAUAAACGUGGGUUUUGUUUUUCAUUUAUUUGAAGCCUAGGGUUUUCACUAAAGGGUGAUAUAAAAGGCUUAUUUUUCCCUAAAGAAAAAGUGAGAAGCCACUUUAUACAGAUCAGAGAAAAAGAUUUUUCUCUCUAUUGUUGAGAGAAAAAUUUUCUCGUGCUAGUUGCUUUGGUAGUGAUAAAGGCGCCCACACGUCAAGUGCAGAUCGAACCUGAGUCAUAACCUGGAAGAUCAUUGGAGACUGUUCGUGAUCUAACAAGCGUGGUGGUGACGGAUCGUGAUCUAACAGGAGCGGUGGUGGCGGAUCGUGAUCUAGGAGCCUAAAACACUUCAGCGGAAAAAGCCAACUCGGAUUUUCAAGGUACGAUUUCUAGAAUACAAAUUCUUAUAUAUUAUAUGAGAGCGAUCUUCAAAAGGUUUUAUAAAAAAUUAAAAACCUAAUUUUUCCCCAACAAUUGGUAUCAGAGCCAUCUCAUAUUAAUAUAUAAGAAUUUCGUAUGAAAUUAAUCUUGAAAUUUAUGUAUUAGAGUGGCACAUUUUAUUCAGAUAUAUAUUAUUUGUUUAAUAUAUGAAUAAAGCAUGUUAUGGUUUGUCUUAAUUCAUGGUUAGAUGUUCUACUGUAUUUUUCGUUUGGAUCUGUAACAAGAGGGGUGGCUUAUUAUCACCAUGUUUCCCUCUUGAUUUAUUGUAAUGUAAUUAAAAUUUUGUAAGCCAAAAUUAGCAUCGGAUUAUUGUAAAUCACUGGAAAAUUGCGGAAACUUGCUGGAACCUGCAGCAACGAACCAGCACACGCAGCAGCGAGCGGCCACCAGCACACGCUGCUGCACGAGCAGCGCGCGGCCAGCAGCACAUGCUGCCAGCAGCGCGCGUUGCACACGCAGCGGCCAGCAGCCACGCUGCAAGCAGCUCGCGCUGCACAUGCAGCAACUGCAGCGCGCGUUGCAACGCUGCAAGCAGCGCUACCUGCAGCGAGCGAGCAGCAGCUGCAGCGCCCAAGCAGCAGCGCGAACGUGGGCUGGAGGCGCGGAGCGUUUUGGUUGACGUCUUUCCGGCGUUAAUGACGGCUGUCCGGUGUGGAAACAGUGAACAGCGGCUGGAUUUUUUUGGAGAUGGCGGCUGGGGAAGAGAGGAAGAAAAAUAUGGAUUUAGGGUUACAUGGUUUUUAUCAUGGAAGUCCCUAUGGUUCCAUAAUUUUUCAUUUGAGCAGAAAGUUUUUUAAUUUUUUGCAUUUAAAUCCAAAAACAGUUUUGGGUUUAAUGAAUCCUAGUUUUAGGCCCAAUUUCAAUUGGGCUUAAUGGAUUAAAAAUGCAUAGACAAAAUUAAAUACAUUAAAUUUAUUUUUGGUCCAAAAGCUUUAUUUUAAAAAAAAAUAAAAUAAAAUAAAACUAUUUAUUUAUUUAUUUCCUUUCAAAAUUAAAAUUGGACCAAUUAUAAAUUUAAAAGCCCAAUUUCCCCUAGUCCAUUAACAAAAACAAGCUUAUGGAAGAUGGACAUUGACAAGAAGCCCAAUGAAGAUUAGGCUUAGGGUUAAUGUAUUUUUCAUUAUUAGGAAAGCCAUGAAUUAAGAUUAUUUAAUUAUUUUUCUAUAUGUUAUGUUUUGGAUGAUAACAUGCCAUGAUAACAUGUCAUAUAGAAUAGGUAGUGUCACUCUAUGCAUAAUGAUACAUGUCAUUCAUUAAAUAAUGAAUUUCAUUAUAUUGUUUGAAAUUUGCAUUUGCUUAAUAAUAUUUGAUAUCAUCUAGAUAAUAUUAUAGGAAGCAUGCAAUUAACAAUAUGUAUGUUUUAAAAAGGAAAAAUCAAUUUUAAAAUAUUGAGUGGGAGAGGGAAAAUUCAAGAUAAUUUUUCCCACGGGCUCCAUUGUUAGUUCAAUAAUAAAAUUAUAUAUAUACCUCAACUUCAUGAUACGGUGAUGCUCCCUACGGAGGGUAUAUAUAUUGGAUAUUUUAUUUGAUGAACUUCUUCAAAGAUAAAAUUGAAAUAUUUUUUCAAUCGAUUGCUCGCCCCAACGGUGACUAUUGAUAUGAAAAAUACGUAGAUUGAAACAAUGGUUAUACACUCAACUAAAGUUUGUUAUUAACCUUCCCAACGAAGCUCUGUUAACAAAUUUAGGCCCAAAGGGAUAACGAUAAUUAUUUAUCAUGUCUCUACAUGAAAGUAAAUAAUCUAAUGGAUAAUUGGGUCUAGUAAGUGUAGACAUGACUUCCCCAACGGAUAGCUUGUCAAAGCGGUACUAGAUUAUCGUUACAAUAAAUUAAAAUGCAUUUAUGGUUUUUUGUAUUUUUGUCAUUUAUUGUGAAUAUUGUUUCAAAGUAUUUAUGCAUGUCUAUUUUGUUUUUUCAGAAAAUGUCUUCCAUCAACCCAUUAUUAAUUAUUCUUGUUAAAAAUGAACUCACUGGCGAAAAUUAUUUAGAUUGGAAACGCAAUCUAUUUAAUAUUCUCACUGCUAAGGGAAGCAAAUAUGUUUUGACUCAGCCUUGCCCUCCUGAACCAUCGUUAUACGAUUAUAGAAAUCAGAGGGAGCCUUAUGAGAAAUGGUGCGAAGCUAACAAAAUGGCUAAGCGCUAUAUAUUGGCUUCGAUUUCUGUGGAACUGCAUAAGAAACAUCGGAGCAUGGAAACAGCCACUGAAAUAAUGGCUAGUCUUCAUCAGAUGUUUGGGUAAAAUACCCAUUUUUCUAGAGAAGCAGCAUUGAAACGUAUUACGGAUACUAAGAUGGAAGAGGGCACAAAAGUUCGUGAUCAUGUCCUCAAAAUGAUGGACUAUUUGAAUGAGGUAGAGAUUCAUGGUGUUCAAAUCAAUGAUAAAUCAAAGAUUAACAUGGUGAUUGAAUCUUUACCUGAUACAUUCAAAGAGUUUAAGGUCAGUUAUAUCUUAAACAAUAAAGAUAUGACCUUAAUUGAAUUAAUGCACGAACUACAUGCUAUAGAAGAAUUCUAUCAUAGCAGAAAACUUCCUGAAAAAGGAUUCUCUUCAAGGCUUAAGUCGAAAGACAAGAAUGAGCAAGCAAGAGUUGGGAUCGGCAAACUGUCCACUAAAAGAAGUGGCAAGCCAAAAGGCAAGUGUUACAAAUGUGGACAGAAGGGUCGCUGGAAGAAAGAUUGUCCUAAGAUUAUUAAAAUCAGGUAUAGGAAAUCUUUAAGCUUCCUAAUUAGUUCAGAUUUCUAUUGCAUCAUACAAUAAUGAAUUCUGAGAUAACUAAUCUUAUUUGUAAUUCAUUUAUUUGGUUUUCAGGAAACCAAGAGAUUAAGUGAAGAAAGUAUCAAACAGCAGUUGAGGACAUGCUAGUUUAUAUUAAUUGAAAGACUAGAUCAAUUUUACAAGACUUUAGUUUUGAUAUUUGUCUUUAUAUUAGAGGAAUUUAAUUUCGGUGGCUUGUUUUAAUAAACAGGAGUACACUGUUAUUUUUUGGAUCCUCUAUUUAUUAUUUAUUUUGGUUAUUUAUAAAGACAAUUUAUAUCAUAGAAGUCCAUUGAUCUAUUCAAAGUAAGAUAUAAUGAUAAAAAGUAUAUGCAUUUAUCUAAGAAAAGAAAUGUUUCUUCUAACCAAAAAUCACCUCUGAUAUUUAUGCCUAAGUCAUAUAAACUAUAAUAAGAUUUUAAGAAAAUGAUUAAUGAUAGACUUGUUGGCCUAUUAAGAUUGAUCAUUGUAACUCCAUAAAUCUUAUUUAGAAAAGUAAUAUGACAAGGAUGCUCUUUUUGAGCUAAAAGCAUAACUAUGUAUUUGAUGAUUUAGCGCAUACAAAUGUAUACGGACUAAUCAGUUUACAUGUUAUAAGGGGUUAUGAGUAUUCUAUCAAUCUUGUUGAUGAAUAUUCAUUUUAUUUAUGUUUGUCUAAAUGCGUCAUGAUUCCAUUGCUUUUGAAAUUCAAAAGAGUACGUGGAUAAGACAGAAGCAAUUAGACAGGAACAUAAAAGAACUUCGAUAUGAUCGAAACAAAGAAUAUCUCUAUGGAGAAUUCAAGCACUAUUUGGUUGUCAAUGAACACUAUAAUACAAUAGUGUAAUUAAAUGAAGAAACAAGAUUCUUUUGGAUAAGACAAGAUAUAUACUAAGUGGUUUAUCAUUUACCUUUUUUGAUUCCAGAUAUUAGUAUUUAAAACUACAAAGUUUAUUGAACUUAGUUUCAUCUAUCUCGGUGUCUACUACUCCAAGAAAUUAUGAAAAAGUCACAAACAUGGUUUGAGACACAUUCAUAUUUGGAGUUUACUAGUAUUUCUACUAGAAUCAGAGAUAGACAAGAUGGAUUCGUGUUCAGAAGCUUGCAUGUUUUAGGUAUCUUAAAGGAAUAAGGGAAAGUCUGAAUUAUAGUCCUCAAGAUAGGAAUGUAUUUAUAGAAAUAUUCUUUACUUUCUUUGAGGAAGACUCUAUAAUGACUUAUAACCUAAGAGUAAGGUAAAACUAGAGAAAUAAAAGAGAUCAGGUUGAUGCUCAGCUUUCAACACCUGUUAUAGAACAGGAAGAACAGCAACAACCAGCUGAUCAGCACAGGAUUAUCCUUGAACAACCAUCACUUUUAGAACCUUGUCGUAGUGGGAGGGUAACUAGGUUACCUGCGAGAUACAUAUUUUUGGGAGAAACCUAUAUGGCUAUCUUAGAUGAACAUGUACAAAAUCCCACUAGUUACAACGAAGCUCUAAUAGAUAGAAAUGUUAAAUUUUGGAAAAAGGCCAAGAACACAUGGUAUGUAAGUUGCAGAGAUCCAUUUAUAGAUUGAAGCAAGCAUCCCGGUCAUGGAACAUCAGAUUUGAUCAAGCGAUUAAAUCACUUGGAUUCAUUCAGAACAUUGAUGAACCAUGUGUGUACAAGAAAAUUCAGGGAAAAUUUGUAGCCUUCCUAAUUCUUUGUGUAGACAAUAUUCUUCUGAUUGGAAACGAUAUAGGAGUAUUGACUACAAUAAAGAUUUUGUUAGCAAAAUAAUUUGAUAUGAAUGACCUGGGGGAGGCAAGUUAUAUUCUUGGUAUCAAGUUACUACGAGACCGGAAGAAUAAAACUUUAGCAUAGAUAGAAAUGUUAAAUUUUGGAAAAAGGCCAAGAACACAUGGUAUGUAAGUUGCAGAGAUCCAUUUAUAGAUUGAAGCAAGCAUCCCGGUCAUGGAACAUCAGAUUUGAUCAAGCGAUUAAAUCACUUGGAUUCAUUCAGAACAUUGAUGAACCAUGUGUGUACAAGAAAAUUCAGGGAAAAUUUGUAGCCUUCCUAAUUCUUUGUGUAGACAAUAUUCUUCUGAUUGGAAACGAUAUAGGAGUAUUGACUACAAUAAAGAUUUUGUUAGCAAAAUAAUUUGAUAUGAAUGACCUGGGGGAGGCAAGUUAUAUUCUUGGUAUCAAGUUACUACGAGACCGGAAGAAUAAAACUUUAGCCUUGUCUCAAGCGGUCUAUAUCGAUAAGAUAUUGGCUAGAUUUAGCAUGGAAAAUUCCAAGACUGGUUUAUUACCAUUCAGACAUGGAAUUACAUUCUCUAAGGAUCAAUCACCUAAAACAUCUGAAGAGAUAGAGAGAAAGAGACGAGUUCCCUAUGCAGACGCUGUGGGAAGUCUCGUGUAUGCCAUGCUUUGCACUAGGCCAGACAUCUGUUUUGCGGUAGGGAUGGUUAGCAGAUAUCAAUUUAAUCCUGGAUCUCUAUACUGGACUGCAGUCAAGCAUAUUAUAAAGUAUCUGAAAAGAACUAAAAAUUAUAUGCUUGUGUAUUCUGGUGAUGAACUCAUUCCAGUGGGUUAUACUGAUUCUGACUUUAUGUUAGAUAAGGAUUCCAGAAAAUCAACUUCCGGCUAUGUGUUUACAUUGGGAAGUGGAGCUAUUAGUUGGAUGAGUGUGAAACAAUCUUGUAUCACAGACUUAAUAACUAAAGCUGAAUAUGUGGCUACAUCUGAAGCUGCAAAAGAAGCUAUAUGGCUCCGCAAGUUCCUACGAAAUCUUGAGGUGGUACCUAUUGUAACUACACCCCUUAAACUAUUUAUGUGAUAAUGGUGGUGCAGUAGCUCAAUCUAAGGAACCAAGGAACCACAAGAAACAAAACAUAUUGAAAGGAAGUAUCAUCUUAUAAGGGAAUAAUGUAGAAAGGUUAUAUGACAAUACCCCAAAUGGCAUUAGAUGCUAAAUGGCAGAUCUUAUUACAAUGGCCAUUAGUGGGAAACCUUUAUAACCUGCACUUAGAGCCCUAGAGCAUGUGCAAUAUGCCAGAUAUGCUUUGAGAGCUAGUAGGAGAUUGUUGGGAAAAUAUGCUCUUUAAAAGCAUAUGUGUUUAUUUAAUUGUAAUAAACUAUUUUUCUGAUUAAUAAAAUAAAUGAGGUAUUUUAUUCAAAUAUCUUAAUUGCAUUAAUACUUGUAUUAAAGUCCAUUUAAUCAUAUUAUAUGUAUUUAUGUGAUUACCAUGUGGAUUCACAGAAAACAUAAAUACAAAUUAUCUUAUGAUUAAAUAAAUUUAGUUCGCAGUUGAUAAAUAAAGUUGGGCACUUUAUUUAGGUAUAGACUGUAAUAAAUUCAUUGAAUGAUUUGUCUUAAUCAUGUAUGAAUUUAUUGAUGUAGUACGACUACAUUGAACAGGAUCACAUAUGAGAUUUAAUUAACUUUGUAAUAACUGUCAGACUUAUUAAAUCUCAUAGGCGUUGAUUUUACUGUAAUCUUAAUCUUGAGUUAAUUAUGAUUUCAUGAUUGUAAUUGUUAUUCCAUUUGAGUUACCAAUGGGCACGACACAUCCUUGUGGUCAAGAUUACCCGGUAUCUUGGUGGGAGCAAUUAUGAGUAUUGGAGUUAUAGAUUAACAAUAUAGAAUUUGUACAACACAUCUCUUCAUGGGUUUUCGGCACUUGAUCAUGGAAUUCUCUGGCCAGAGUGUGUCAACAUAUUUAGUAUGUUGAAAAUGAUCAUUAGAGAAAACCAGUAAGGAUCAAGGAAUAAGAUGUUAUUAAAUUGAUUGGACAGUUGAGAUAUCAAUUUAAUUAACGAUGUGGUACAAAGGAUUGUGCAGUAAAGAAAUCAAUGUGGCUUGGGACGAAUUAUUAUUCGAGCAUACAAUUAUGGAAGUCAGUUCCAAUCUUUUAGUGGAGUAGAUUUGGAAUUAAAUAAUUGGGCUAGUUUAAUUACAGGCCUAAUUAUUGUAGCCACUAUUGUAUGUUCCCAAAUGAUCCCCGGGUUAGCUCAUUUAAUUGACUGCACCACUACUGGACUAAUAAGUAAGAUAACUAGCUAUUUGGGUCAAAAGCCUAAAUAUAUCAUUUAGUGGGAGGCUCCAUUUAAUUAGCUUUUGUAUAAGGGGCCUUAUGUUAUUUUACAAGGUGGGUCCCCUAUUGAAAAAGCAAAUAAACGUGGGUUUUGUUUUUCAUUUAUUUGAAGCCUAGGGUUUUCACUAAAGGGUGAUAUAAAAGGCUUAUUUUUCCCUAAAGAAAAAGUGAGAAGCCACUUUAUACAGAUCAGAGAAAAAGAUUUUUCUCUCUAUUGUUGAGAGAAAAAUUUUCUCGUGCUAGUUGCUUUGGUAGUGAUAAAGGCGCCCACACGUCAAGUGCAGAUCGAACCUGAGUCAUAACCUGGAAGAUCAUUGGAGACUGUUCGUGAUCUAACAAGCGUGGUGGUGACGGAUCGUGAUCUAACAGGAGCGGUGGUGGCGGAUCGUGAUCUAGGAGCCUAAAACACUUCAGCGGAAAAAGCCAACUCGGAUUUUCAAGGUACGAUUUCUAGAAUACAAAUUCUUAUAUAUUAUAUGAGAGCGAUCUUCAAAAGGUUUUAUAAAAAAUUAAAAACCUAAUUUUUCCCCAACACAUGCAGCAAUAAAUAAUCAAAUUCUGUCCUGUAUAUUUUUAUUUAGAAAAUUGCAAAAAAGCUAGUCGCUAGAAAAAAGUAAUUAAUUAAGUAAACACUGGCUUUGCACUUUGCACUGUGUUUGCGGUAAACUUUUGUUAAAGACAAGUAUACAUAAACUACCAAGGCACUGAAAAUAUGAAAUCAAAACAAUAUAUUGAAUCAAAACAAUACAUGUCUAUAGCGAAGGAAUCUCAAAAUCUGCUCACUAGCUAUGGCUCGUGUAGAACAAACCUUCACAAACUGACCUUGUUGGUUGAUUGCUUUUGCUUGGCAAAUCAUAGAGUUGAUGCAACACAUCAGGUGGGAUGCACGUUCCUUCAUGGGCAUAUUAUCGAACACGUCCUAGGCAUGAGAAUUAUACCAUAAUUCCCCAACAACUCCCCUCUUCAGCUGGGCCUGCAAAUUCCAUAUAAUCAUUCCAUUGUCUAUUUUUCGUUCGUUCUGAACCUAAAUCAAGCUUGCCAAUUCAUCUGAUCAUAUUCAUAUAGAUAUUUGUCUGUCUUCCUAAAAUUCAACAUUUGUCCACCAAGUAUUAGACCCAUAAAAAUUCAGAGAGGAAAUGACAAGGAAGAGGGUGAGCUCAAUAGACAGUCUCUACCUCAGACCCUGUGUUUUUUUCCAGCUGCCGCUAAUUGCUAAACACGGUUAAGAAACUUGCACACCAAUCUGGACAGCUCAUCAAUGCCACGUCACUACCCCUUAAACUGAUUUUUAACAGAUUUUUCAAUAAAUAGAAUGCAAAUGAAAUAACAUUUGAAUGCAUGGUUAGUGACAAAUUCAGAUAAUAGUAGGUAUGUAUUUGAGUUCAUCUUUGAGGUUGUGGUUCCUCAUCACCACAGCAGCCAUUCCACUGGCUUCUGUACCAAAAACAUAUUUAAUUUAUUUAUAUUAAUAAUAUAUUUAUAUUGAUUUUUAAAGUUGAUUAUUGAGGGAUUAGAAACACUUAAUACAUCCCAUCAUCAUCAUCAACAACAACAACAACAACAACAACAACAACAAAGAAAGAAAGAAAAGACUCAAGAGUAUUUGCAAAAGAUAAUUAUAAAGAGCGACUAUGGUCAACGGUGGAGAAUGGAAUCAAAGACAUUGUCAAAGGUAGCAAAAGCUUCGAUAAUCUAAACACAGAGACUUUUCUUCAAGUAUAGUUAAAUAAUAAAAUAAUAAUUUAGAUUACUUAAUGAAACAAUAAGUAUUUAUGAUAAAUAAGAUACAUGGAAUAAACUAACCUCUCCGCUUAUCAUUUUCUCUAUUGUGUUUUUUUUUUCCUCUGUCUCUCCUUCUUGUUGUUUAGUAGAUGACACAACAUUUCAUUUUGUUUAUUCAAUUUGCUAUUGGAGCAUCUUUCAGGAAAGUACAGAAAUGUAAAUAUACAGCUAAUAUUAUAUUUAUGAAUUAUUUAUAUGUACAGUACAUACUAAGUAACUAAAAUAAGACAAAUGAAAUAAUAAAAAUAAAAAUAUAAAUUAGAUAAGAUCAAAAAUAUCAUAUGAUCAAUCUCUUUCAUCACCAACAUCUAAAACAUUAUUGCUGUAACGUUAUACAUUAUGUACGAAACAGGAAUGUAAGCACAGUAGUAAUAUAAUGUUAUACAUAUCAAAAUUAUGUCUACAAAUAAAAAGUAAAUUGAAAAAAGAUUAGUGAAAUAAUAAAAAAUAUAAAUAUAAAUGAUAGAUCAAAUAUAUCAUAUGAUCCUAAUUUAAUAAAUCAAUAAUGCCUUAGUAGACAAUAUAGUUUAUGGUAGAGAAUAUUACUUAUCCUCUUAACAUUGUUUGCUCAAUAAUCUUUACUUUUGAUCCAAGCAUCUUUGAUCCAAAAAUUGGUAGAGAAUAUUACUUAUUAACGUUAUAAAUCCAUCCGCAAUUAAUAAAGGAUCACAGCAUAUUCAAAAAGCAAUUAAUUUCUAUUUAGAUUUUUAGUACUCAUGCGAAAUAGAGAAACAAGAUAUGUGCGUAUGAAAUUAUUAUGGAUUACAAGCUACUCGAUCAAAACUCGGAAUCAAAUAAUUGAAUGGGUGUCGAGCACGCUUGUGGAAAGAGUCACGGCACGAGCUCCCCUUCAUCAUCUCUAAAAAACCACACUUCAAAUAAAAAUAUUUUUUUUUCCUGCAAAUUACUUGCAUUCAUAACCAACUAUUUUUUUUAAUAGUUAUCAUUCAUGACUUCCUCUCUAUCCAAAAUAAAUUUGCUUAAAUUUAAAAUAUUAAAUUAUUCUUUUUCUAAUUUUUAUUGAUUGAACCUUAUUUUUAAAUUAAGAUUACUUUCAAAUUAUAAUUUGGAAUAUGUGUAAUGAAGUCCUAAUUAUAAUUUAAUAAGUCAUAAUUAUAAUUUAAAGUAUUUGUAAUUUAAGUCAAUGAUUUAUAUUAAAAAAUUCAUCACUGAUAAUUUGUAUAUAGGAUAGAUUGCAAAUUAACAAGAAUGUUAAAGAAAAGAAAAAUUAGAAGAGUGUAUUAAGAAAAAGGAUGUUUUUGGAAUUAAAAGUAAGAAUAACUAAAAAGAGAGAGAGAGAGAAGGUUUCAUGACAAUAUUAGAGGGGUGGCACUAGUCCAGCUCCAUACAUAGAAAUUACAAAGAAUCAACAAGAUAAUAACAAAAACACAUCCCAUACUCACAAUAUCCAAUUAGAGGGGCACCAAAUUUUUUUUGGCGAAAAUCCUCCAAUGCUCAAGUCAGUAAUUGGGUCUCUUUUAGAAAAACUUGUAUCACAAACUCAUGGCUUAAUUAUAUCAAUUGAAAGUUAGAAAUCUUAAUUCUCAAAAGAAGAAAAAUAAAUGGAGAGAAUUAUCGAGAGAGAAAAAGUCAAAGAGAGAGAAAAUAUGGAAAUAAAAAAAAAAUUGUCCAGCCCUUUUUACCUCCCAUUCUCCGUAGCUUUUAUACCCAACCUGAACCAUCGACUCCAUCUUCCCCACGAUUACUGUUGGCUUGGAAGUGAAAAGCGUGCUGUGUCUUUGAAAUCAUGGGUCAAUGGACAAUGUAACUGCCGCUGAAUGGGCUUUGUGCCCGAGUUUCUUGGAGACAAACUACGUGUUGGCCUUUGAUCAAGCCUUCGAUCUGACUCGAUUUUGGUCUCUCCUCGCAUGCCCUCAGGUCUGCUAUAUAGUACUCGUACGACCAGUAUUCAGAUUUUUUUGAUACAAGCAGUGGUCAAUAGAGUCAACUAAGAUAAAACUUAAAUUUCCCGCCCAAACAAAAACUAACAUACAUAAAGAAUUCGAAUCAUCCUUCAAUAAUAACAUAAAUAGCAACUACUGAGGCUAGUAAUUUGAUCAUUUCUGUAUUUGUCAAUGCAUUAUGGAUUCUAAGACCAGGCUCUAAAAUCAGCAAAUCCAAAAAUUGUUGAUAAUAUUACUUAGUAAGGUUACGAAUCCAUCCACAAGACAGCUGUAAAUAGUCAUAUAUCCUGACAUAUGAACUUUUUAUAUGAUUAAUAAAGGAUAAUAGCAUAUUCAAAAAUCAAUUUCUACUUAAAUUCAUAGUAGUCAUGCAAAAUAGAGAUAGUGAAUGUGUAUAUCACGGUGCAGAAGUAAACAAAGUAUGCAAGCAUGAUAAAACAAAGUUCAUGAUAUGUGCCUAUGAGAUUAUUAUAGAACGAACCUGCUAUAAAAAAAUGAUGCAGUGACUAAGCUGGAAGAAAAGGCCACCUAAGAUGUGAAUUUGCUGUUAUUUGAUUCAACUCUUCGGCAUGGCUCUUGAAGUUUGAAUCAGCCUGUGGCAGGCGAGUGAGCAAGCUGAUAUUGCUGUUGUAGAUAGCUGAAUCUUAUCAACAUUCUUCUUCCAUCUGAAUCUUGAGUGAGCAAGCCUAUGCCCUUAUCAACAUUCUUCUUCCAUGAAUCUGAAUCUUUCGGUCGAAGAUAUUGAUAGGAAUGCACAUAGGAGUAAUACGGUACUGCAUGUUCUAAAGGCAAAUAUUAAUUUUGUAAAGUACCUUAGCGAUUCUGCUUUUGCUAACUUUUUUACUGUCUCCACUGCACUCUGUUCCACAUAGUCGAAAUCAUUCUGCAUUUUGGCCCGAUUCUAACAAGACAAUCUAACUUCCAAGCUUUCAACUUUUCCCAAGGUCUCUGGCACAUUUUUAAGUUUGGAGCAACCACAGAGAUACAACGUUCUAAGAGAUCUCAAACCAUUUAUGGUACUUGGACGACUCUUGAGAUUUUUGCAAUCUUUCAAAUUCAACAAGACAUUGCCAGAAAGAAGUUCAAUAGAUGCUGGCAAUCCUCUUAUAGCAGUUCCUUCCAAAUGAAGCUCCAAGAGCUGAUCCCUGCUUGAAGUUUUCUCUGGGAACUCUCUGAAUUUCAAAGGGCUGGAGAGAUUCAAAGUUGAUAGAUAUUUUACAGCACUUAUUGUCCUUGGAAGACACUCAAGAUUUUUGCAGCCAUUCAGAGUCAACUGCGCAAGUCCAAAUAGAAGUUCAAUUGAUAAUGGCAGUUCUUUAAUAUCAGUUCCAUCCGAAAGAACUUCCCACAAUGUCUAGAAAUUCCUUCAAUUUCCAGCAACCAGAAAGAACACGUGUCUUAAGAGAUUUCAUAAAGAUCUUGCCUGGAAGAGUUGAAAGACUUGUACAACCUUUCAAAUUCAACAGAAUCAGCUUCUUUGAAGCAGAAAAAAUGAGUGAAUCUCCUGCAACCUUGUAAAUCUUUCAGAAAUCAGCUCCCCUAAAUUUGGUACUCUAGUGAAGUCUGAUUGGUCAUAUUAGAAAAGGCUUUAGCACUGACAUGCAUCUCUUUGAUGUUAAAGCGAUCAAAUAUGAUGCUUCAACUACAUCAGUUUCCUAAACACUAUAACAAAAAAUAAGUGGGAACAAAAAAAAAAUGAAACAAAGAAAAUAUUGAUAAAACUAUGCAAAGGUUUAACUAGUUAAAUAAGUGAUCAUGAUCCCAAAAUUGCAAGUUUUCAACCUAACUGAACAUUUACUUGUGCUUUGUGAUAAUACAUGGCAUAUAUCUGCUUUCUCCCACAAUCUAUUGCAGUUUCUAGGCUCCUGAUGGGAUUGCCUCCUAACAAUUUGUCUACCCCAUUUCUUGUAACUACUCAUGCAUCCACAGUCCGCUGAAAUCAUCUACAGUUAAUAGAGAUUUUUCAAUAGGACCAACAAUUUCAAUAAUUGGGUCAAAAUCACAAUAUUUGAGAAUUUUUGUCACAUAAUCUCUGUACUUCCCUUCAUAGAAACAUGCAAGAUCGAGAAAUAUUUUCUUCUCUGUUUCUUUUGACCCAUCAAAACUUAUUUGAAGUACAUCAAGAAUCUCAUUCUCAGGAUCUCCCUAUAGUCAUUGUAGUAUAAUUCUGAAAAUAUUUUCUUCUCUGCUUUGGAAAUUAAUGAUCUUCUUCUUCAUAUUUAUUCUGAAAAUUCAAAAACAUAAAUGAAAAUAAAGAGAACUGCAUGGCAUAAAACUUACAACUUUGAUUAUGUCGCAAGCAGCAUAGUAAUCAAAAUUUUUUAAAUAUCAACUACAUGUCAACGAUGCGGAAUUCCAAGGCAUCUUCUAUUAAACAAAAACAAAUAAUAAGAACCAACAGUUGUCAAUUCUUAUCAACAAAGUCUUCAAAUUGACAUUGUGAUCUGUUGUUUAACGAAAAAAAGGAAAAUCAAUUCCUAUGAACUAAGUCCUCGGACCAAAAUUAAACAUGGAGGUGGAGAAAAGAAAAAUCAAAAUCAAAUGUUGAAUCCUCUUGAUUGUUUCAUGGAUAAAUCUGAUCUAGAUCUGAGUCCAUAUUUAACAUAUUCAUCUACCCAUUUUCAGACAUACCAUGAAUUGUAAAUUAAGCCAAAGAUUCGCAAAAAGCAACAAAGAAACAAAAAACAGAUUCUAUGUUCAGCCACAAAUGGGCUAUUUCACAGCCAAGCACAAUGGUUAAGGAAGAUUGCUAGUAAACAAAUGAAGAAAAUUAAUUGCUUUUCACAGGUUCAAGAAUUAACACUAUUAUUGAUUGCUUCUCUAGUGGAAGAAAUAAUUUUGAAUAAAGCACAGCAUCAUUCCAACAAAUGUGACGAUAUUUUUUUCAUUCAUUCCAUGGCCGGACUCUGUUUUAUGUCUAAAACUCAAGAAAUUCUACAAUUCCUUCUUUCUACCACAUCAUUCACGAAACAACAAAUAAUCAAAUUCUGUCAUGUAUAUUUCUAUUUAGAAAUUUGCAAAAAGGUUAGCCGCUAGAAAAAGAAAAUAAUUGAUUAGAUAAACAUUGGGUUUGCACUGUGUUUGUGGUAAAAUUCUGUUAAAGACUAAAGACUCUCAGAAUCUGCUCACUAGCUAUGACUCAUGCAAGACAAACCUUCACGAAUUGACCUUGUUGAUUGAUUGCUUUUGCUUGGGAAACCAUAGAGUUGAUGCAACACAUCAGGUGGGAUGCACAUUCCUUCGUAGGCAUAUUAUCGAACACGUCCUAGGCACGAGAAUUAUACCAUAAUUCCUCAACAACUCCUCUCUUGAACCUGGCCUGCAAAUUCCAUAUAAUCAUUCCUUUGUCUAUUUAUCGUUUGUUCUGAGCCCAAAUCAAGCUGAGAUCGAUCAUAUUCAUAUUCAACAUAUGUGCACUAAGCAUAGUAACCUCAAUUCCGAGGUUCAAGUAUUUAAACCCAUAAAAAUUCACAGAGGAAAUGACAAGGAAGAGCGUGAGCUCAAUAAACACUCUAACUCUUCGCUCUACCACGGUUAACAAACUUGGACACGUCACUAACCCUUAACUGAUUUAUAACAGAUUUUUGAAUAAAUAGAAUGUAAAUGAAUUAUCAUGUGCAAAAUAACAUUUGAAUUUGAGAUGCGCGCGGUGAUAAAGUCAGAUAAUAGUAAAAAUAAAAUAGUCAAGAAUAAUAAAUUUAUAUUUUUUAUAUUAAUAAUAUAUUUAUAUUUAUUUUUAAAAUAUAAUAUCAAUUUUUGGCUUACUAUAGUCAAGAAUAUAAUAGUAAAAAUAAAAUAAAAUAAAAUAAAAAUUACACAAAAAAUAAAUAAGCAUGUCGAAAUUGUAAAAAGAAGUCAACUAUUAUGUGAUCACUUAAGUUAUAGUUACGUAUGAAUCAAAUUUCUACUUUAAUUGAUCUUGCACAAUUUUAUGUUAUCCUUUCUUUAAUGAAAAGAAAAUACCAUACCGAAAAUCCCAAAAUAUAUCAGAAAAUUUUACUUUCCACAUCCUGACGGGAGAGUGUACCUGAGCAAAUCUUAAAUAGAGAGGAUUUUUGUAAGUAAAUGAAUUCCAAUGAAGUACUUUGCUUUAAGAGAACUUAAGCUAAUCAGGGAAGUAUAUUUAUUUUAAGGAAAAGCAGAGGAUUUUUAUGAGUAAAUGCCUCUUAAAUUGAAAGAAAACAAAAGGAUUCAAGAGCCUACCUUUCUUGAUGAGUCCUGCAGUGGAAUGAUCGAAUGUUGGAUCACGUUAAUGGCCGAAAGAAAAUCACAAGUGGAAAACUUCCUUUUGAUCACAAUAUAAAUGCCUUCUUUCUUCAAUGGAUUGUUCAAUGUUCUCUUUUUUUCAGCAUAUGGAUAAGAGAAGAAGUUGAAGAAGCAAUUGUUUUUUUUUGUGUUGUUGGGGGAAAAAAUGUGUACUCACAUUGAGUUCCAACUCAACAAGUACCGAAAAAACUGUACAUAAAUAAUCAAAUUAGCAAAGAAGAGAACAUAAUCUCCCUCUAAUAUUGACUGAGUGAGUGAUUAGGAACACUUAAUCUAUCACAUCCAAAAAAAAAAAAGAAAAAGAAAAAAAGAAACACUUAAUACAUAAUAAUACUUAAUACAUAAUAAUGUAAGACAAACAUUCAUGGGAAGCAAUGUUGGAAUACAAAACUGCGAGAAAACUUAAUGCUUUGAGCGUGUUGGACGCACUGAAAGAUGAUGAAAAUUUACCUUGCCAAAGAUAAUUCCUCUUUAUAAAGGAGAAAUGUUCCAGUCCGGAAUUUUAAAGUGCGGGAAAGUGCAGGAAAUCUUUAAAACUGCAUGGUUUUAAAGGCUUAAACUGUAAGCCUUUAAAACCGUGCGGUUUUAAAGCUUUCCCGGACUUUCCCGCACUUUAAAAUUCAUGACCAGAAAACUACUACUUUAUAAAGAUCUUUUCAAUUUUGUUUGUUUCAAAGAAAUCAACGAGAGGAUUUCAUGCUUUCUAAUUAAUUCCUCCAAUAAAUGUAAUAAUAUAUACAUUGUAACAUAAUUUCAAUACUUAGAAAAUAUUUUAAUAUUUUACAAUCUAUUAGAUAUAUUUUAUUAUAUAACAUAAAAUUUUAUAAUAAAUAGAAUCAUAAUAUUAAAACAAGUGUAUUAAAAUUUAAAUUAUUUUGAAUAUUAUGGAAAAUAAUAAUAACAUUAGUAUGUGAGACUUUGUUAUUGUAAAAUAUAUUUAAUGCAAAUAUUUAUUUAAAAUAUCUAAAAUAAAUAAAUAUAUUAUUAAAUAAAUAUAACAAUUUAUAUAUUUAAAUUUAUUAAAAUAUUAAGUUAUUUUAAUAUUCUUAGUCUAUUGCGUAGAUUACAUUAUUUAUGUAAUAUUUCUAUUUAUUAAAAAUUUUAAAUUCAAUUUUUUAAAUGACAUAAUGGUCAAAAAGGGGUCUUAGUGUCCCUUUUUUAAAAGUUGUGGGUGUUGGUGACAAUUUCUUCAAAUUUAGGGGUUUACAUGUCCCUUUUCCUUAAAAGAAAGAAUAAUUAAAAAAAAAUGGGUAAAAGCUCGUUUAGUCCCUAUAUUUUGAAGUUAAUGUCCGUUUAGUCCCUAUAUUUUUAAAAAUACUUCAAAGCAUCCCUAUCAUUAAAUUAUUGACAUUCUUGCCAUUAUCUUUUGUUCAUUUUGACUUAUUUUUACAAUAUUACCCUAUUACAAUAAUGUUCCUUUUUUUAAACAUUAUUAAAAAGAAAAAUUAAAUUAUCAGUUUAACACUAAAAAAUAAAAUAAAAACAAUAUAUACAUUAAUUUUUGUGGAACACUCUGCUGAGAAGUUAAAAUAUUAAUUUUUAAAAAAAAUUGAUAUCUUAAUUUUUUACAAAAUUAAAUUUUUUUGGACACACAUGAGCUUCCACAAAAAUUAAUAUAUAUCUUUUUUGUUUUUUAUUUUAUUUUUGGGUUUAAUUUGAUAAUCCAAUUUUUUUAUUUAUAUCUAAAAAAGAAACAUUACUGUAAGAGUGUAAAAUUGUAAAAGCAUGCUAAAAAAAUAAAAAAUAAUGGCAUAAGUGUCAAUAUUUAAUAGUAAGGACGUUUUGAGGUAUUCUUAAAAAUAUAGGGAUUAAAUGGGCACUAAACUCAUAAUAUAGGACCAAACAAGCUUUUACCCAAAAAAAAAGUCUAAUGAGAAUAUUAGAGGGGUGGCAAUAAUCCAACUCCGUGAAAAAGAAUCAACAAGAAAAUAAUAAAAGAUAUUUUUGAAAUUAACUCACGCAUCCGUUAAAGAUCAAGACAAGAACUUAAGUCUUAGAAAAGCUUAGCUGUGAAGCUAGACCUCAACUUCAUGUGAAAUUUAAAGUAAAUUUUCACAAAUAAAAAGUAAAUGAAAUACCAUAUGCAAAUUUAAAGAACAUAAAUUGAAAUUGGGAUGCGUACUCUCACUGUUACACCAGGCCUUACCCUUCAUUUGAGUUGUUUAAAUCUUUUAGGUGGUUGUUCGUCAUCAUCAUCACAGCAGGCAGCAGCCACUGCCACUGGCUUCAGCUGCCACUGCAUUUUCUGCAAGGCUUCGCUUUGAUGUUGUGGCUACUUCCAUUUUUGAUCCAACAAAAUUAUGAUGGGAUUCAUUCAUAUUUGAACGUCAUAGUGAAUGCUUAGGGACAUGAAAAACAAAGCAAAUAGCAUAUCCCACAACCUUCUUUGUAUUAUACAAAUAUGAAGGCCUUGUGACUGUUUUUGAAGAACCCUCAUUCUGAUACAUGAACCACUUUGGAAUUUCACUUCCUGGAACAACGAUGUGCAAACGAUGGCUUGGAUCUGACAUUGCCUGCAACAAAUGGGCUAUUUCACAGCCAAGCAAGAAAACAAAUGAAGAAAAUUAAUUGCUUUCCACUGGUUCAAGAACUGACACCAUUAUUGAUUGCUUCUCUAUUAGAAGAAAUGAUUUUGAAAAAAGCAGAGCAUCAUUAAAACAAACGUGAUGAUAUUUUUUCAGUCAAUAUUAAAUUAAUAUUUUAUUGAAUUUUCUACGUGAAAAAAAAAAAAUUGUGGCAAUAGAUGUAUCAUAAAGUUGCAGCAUAAUUGACUUUAUUGAUUAACUGGGAAAUCAUAAAGUUGAUUUUGUUGACUGUUUGAUUCUGAUUGCUUAGGAAAUCACAAAGUUACAGCAACAGAUGCAUCAUGUCGUUGCUCUCCAACAGGUUAAAAAUUUAUUUAGUCCUUAUAUUAUGAGGUUAGUGUUCAUUUAGUUCUUAUAUUUUUAAAAAUACCUCAAAACGUCCCUGAUGUUAAAUAUUGGCCCUCUUGCCAUUAUUUUUAUUAUUAUUUUAGCUUGUUUUUACAAUAUUACACUUAGUAAUAUUUCUUUUUUGGAUAUUAAUAAAAAAUUAAACUAUCAAAUUGAACCCAAAAAUAAAAUAAGACAAAAAAGAUAUCUAUUAAUUUUUGUUAAAGCUCACGUAUGUCCAAAAAAAUUAAUAUUGUAAAAAAUUAAAUUAUCAAUUUUUUAGAAAAAUUAAUAUUUUAACUCCUCAGCAAAGUGUUCUACAAAAAUUAAUGUAUUUUUUGUUUUUAUUUUAUUUUUUGUGCUAAACUAGUAAUUUAAUUUUUUUUAAUAAUGUCUAAAAAAAGAAACAUUAUUGUAAUAUGAUAAUAUUGUAAAAACAAGUAAAAAGGAACAAAAGGAAGUGGUAAGGGUGUCAAUAAUUUAAUAGAAAGGAUGCUUUGAUGUAUUUUUAAAAAUAUAGGGACUAAACGGACACUAACUUCAAAAUUUAGGUACUAAACAAGAUUUUACCCCUCUCCAACAUACCAGGUGGAUGCAUUCCUUCUUGGGUAUUUUAUCAAACAUGUUCUGGGCAUGCUCUUGACCUGCAAUUCUAUAUUAAAAGACGAACGAGGCCGGCCCUGGGUCAAUUGUUUUAAAGUUUUUUAUUUUGUGAUCAAUUACUUUUAAAUAAAUCCAAAAUAAAAAUUCAUUUUUUUAUUAUUUAGUCUAAUAAUAGCAAUCUGAUUUCCUCUCUGUAAUUUUUAUUUUAGGAUGCCAUCUAGUUGAGAUACUAUACUUAUUAUGUUGAAAACAAGAUAUUCGGAAUUCUAAAAUAAAAAUUACUUUUUUUUGUUUAUUUAUUCUAAUGUUAUGUUUGUACUUAUUUUAAAAUUUAAAAUCAAUUUUAAUAUUACUAUAAUUAAAAGGUAUAAUAGCCAAAAAAAGAUAUUAUAAUGGAAAAAGGAUAUCUACACCCCCAAAGUUUAGAGAAAUAAUCAUUGACAGCCACACAUUUUUAAAAUGGAACACCAAGACCAUCUUUUAACAAUAAUACCCUUUAACCUCUAUUAUCCAAAAAACAAUCAACUCUAAUGUUUUAUAAUAAAUAGAAAUAUAACAUUAAAAUAAAUGUAAUAAUGUAUAUGUUGUAAAUUAAUUUCAAUACUUCAAAAAUAUUUUAAUAUUUUGCAAUCUAUUAGAUAUAUUUUAGUAUAUAAAAUUAAAUUUUAUAAUAAAUAGAAUCAUAAUGUUAAAACAAGUGUAUUAAAAUUUAAAUUAUCUUGAAUAUUAUGUAAAAUAGUAAUAACAUUAGUAUGUGAGUUUUUUUAUUGUAAAAUAUAUUUAAUGCAAAUAUUUAUUUAAAAUAUCUAAAAUAAAUAAAUAAAUAUUAUUAAAUAAAUAUAACAAUUUAUAUAUUUAAAUGUAUUAAAAUAUUAAACUAUUUUAAUAUUCUUAGUCUAUUGCGUAGAUUACAUUAUUUAUAUAAUAUUUCUAUUUUUAAAUGGUCAAAAAGGGGUCUUGGUGUCUUUUUUUAAAAAAAGUUGGGGGUGUUGGUGAACAUUUCCUCAAAUCUGGGGGGUGUGGAUGUCGUUUUUCCUAUUAUAAUUGCUAUAUUAGAAUGAGAGAAAUAAAAAACCAACAAGUACAUAUUAAUGAUACGAAAGUUUUCAGAUUACAUAAUUCAAAUGAAUAUAUAGUUUAUCAAGAAAUCAAAAAUCCAAGUUGGAUUGCAAUUUCAAUUAGCUAAUAGCGAAACAUGAACAUAAUACUAAGCAUGAGUAUAAAAGGGCUUUGCUCUUUAUUAGAUUUCUUAAAUUCUUGUAGCAUGAGGUUCUUCAUCAUCAGUAAGGCUUCGCUCAAAAAGAAAAAAAGAAAAAAUCAAAACACAAACACAAUAUCUAGAGAUGUUUAGAGAGAAAAUUGCAAGCAACAGAAUGGGCAUCAUACAAUAUACCUCAUCGGUCAUCAGCUUAUUAUGGGUUUGUAAUAAUUUCCCGCCCUUUCUAACCGAUUUAACAGCUACAUGCUGACACUAAUGCUCUUCAAAACGACAGUAUUUUCAGGUCGUUUGAUCAUUAUGUAUAAGUGAGUGCACGUGACCAACGCGUGCACUCACUUACUAAGUUUAGACGACUUGAGCCAGACGUCGUACACGAGUCCUCUAGGAGUAAUCGAGAGAUCGUAUGCAAAGAAACAUCAAUUCAUACUAUCAUUUAUUAUUCAGCCCACAUUGCGUCUGGUCUGGGAAUUAGAUUCUGGUUCAUUCUUGAACAAUAGGCAUAAGUGGCAACUAUCACUUGGGAUUUCUCCUCCUUCCACUGGUAGAUUACAGUCACUGAGAUCCCAUUUUGUUAAAGAACAUAAGCCUGAUAGAGAAGGUAACAUCAAAUUAGUCAUGGGAUCUAAACUCCUUCACAUCAUAUUGGUAGGGAAGCACAAAUCCCAUGAUGUAGAUGAUAGUGGUCCACUGGUUUAAGAUUCUUCAAGAUAGAAACAGACGUCGGAAGUUGCCUAAUUGCUGUUCCACUAAUAUCAAGCUCUUCCAAGCUAUCUACUUUCCCCAAGUUCUCUGGCACAUUUUCAAGUGUGGAGCAGCCAGAGAGAUUCAGAAUUUUAAGAGAUUUCAAACCACUGAUGGGACUUAGAAGACACUCGAGAUUUUGCCAAUCUUUAAAAUUCAACACAACAAGGCCAGUUAGAUAUUCAACUGACAAUGGCAAUUCUCGAAUAGCAGUUCCAUCUAAAAUGAGCAUAGUUAGAGAUUUUAAACUUCCCCAAAACUUUUCCAGCUUCGAGCAACCAGAGAGCGUUAGAGUUCUUAAACAUUUUAAUCUACUUAUAGUAAUUGGAAGACUCAAGAGAUAUUUACAACCUUUUAAAUUUUGCAAAAAAUGCCAGAGAGAUAUUCAAUUGACAUUGGCAAUCCUCUUAUAGCGGUUCCCAACAAUCGAAGCGCCAACAGAUGUUCCAUACGUCCCAUGAUCUCUGGAAACAAUCUGAAUUUCAAAAGGCCAGAGAAAUUCAAAGUGGAAGGAAAUUUUAGAGCACUUAUGAAAUUUGGAAGACACUCAAUAUUUUUACAACCUUUCAAAUUCAACUAAACAAUUCCAGAUAAAAGUACAAUUGAUAAUAGUAGUCCCUUAAUAUCAGUUCCAUCCAAAAGAAGCUGCCGCAAAAACUUCAUAUUUCCCACAAUCUCUGGAAAUUUCUUCAACUUUGAGCAACCAGAAAGUACCAAUGUUUUUGGAGAUUUCAUAAAAAUUAACCUUAAGUUCUGAAAAGUCAUAUACCAUGCAUUCGACUACUUCAGUUCCUUACAAAUCAUAAAAGCAGAUGAUAAGUGCAGACUAGGAUGUGAAGAUGUCCAUAAAAUUAUUUAUGCAUAGAUUUAAAGCAUAGAAUGUCAAGCAAAACAAAUGUUUGAUAGAAUGAGCAAUAUGCUCAAUGAAAUGCCUCUAUGAGUCAAGCAUGUCAGAUGACUCAUAAGAGUGAUUCAGCAAGAGAUGAGAAUAAUUUGGAAUAGUCAUGAAGAUAAGAUCAAAGAUUGAAUUAAGCAAAUGUGGGCAGACCUUUCUCAGGGCACAAAGUCGUUUCCUUCGUAUCAAUGUAACGAUGACCAAAGGAUCUCCUUAAAAGCCUACAUUGUGAAAUUGAUAGCUUGGGCAAAGGAAAACAUUUUGUACGUGUAUCAUUAAAAAAAUGAAUAAAAUGUAGGCUGCAUUACAGAAUAUGUUUUACUUUGCAUUAUAUAAUGAUAGCAAUUUUAUACUUCAUUUCUUGACUUUUAGAAUCACGAACUCAAAAUACAUGCAUUGCACUUUGUCACUUACCCUUUUUUUUGUUAACACAUGAUGUACAUCUGUUAUGUUCCACAAUCUGCUGCUGUUGUUCAGCUAAUGUUCUUACAACAUUAGCUGAUUGGUUUACAACACUUUCGACAGCUACACAUAUCCUUUCCCUGGCUGAUUGGUUUUGAAGGCUUUCAUACAAAGAAGUCCAAGAGCUUCAUCAUAGUAUAGUUGCUUAAGGACCAACAAUUCGUCCACUCUAUGUGUUGUCAACGAUGCUUAUCUCUAGAUGUUAUGAUGAUCCUGCUGCCUGAACUUUCUAGCUAACCUUUUUGUGUCGUAGCCCACUUCGAAUUAUGUUGAUAACAUUAUAUACAUUCCAUUUUGUUAGGAAAUCUGACCUCUUUUUUCUGAGGUUUAUCUAACGUUGGCAAGAAAACUACUUACUUCAAAUUCAUGAUAGAUCAAGUUAUAAACAACCUUUGCAAGAGCUGCCUUACCUAUACCUCCGAUAUCACAGAUCCCUAUCAUACGAAUAUCAUUAGGCCCUUUAUCCAUUAGAAUCGUUAGCUUCUCCAAGUGUGAAUCCAUUCCUACUAGCUCUUUAAGAGUCUCUGAUUUUAAAGGAAUUUUGCUUGAUAUCUCAUUGACAAUCUCCAUAAUAAAGUCUGAUUCAUUCCUGCGGGUUGAGUAGAACAAGAAAAGAUUUGUGUUGGUGAGCUAAAGCUAGUGUGAGCGUAACGUAGUGUCAAAAAAUUAGAUAAUAUAGAUCUACAAAACGGAAGUGAUAAAGUCAUAACUUGUGUUUGAUUAAUCUCUAGGUUAUUCUUCAUGUAACUCUUCUCUAAUUUCGUCUAUAACUCUUCGUAUGUAGAUAUUCAUUGAUCAAGUUAUUAUUUCAAUUAAAUCCUAUGAUUUUAACAAAUUCUUAUACAUUUAUUCUAUUGUCUCUCCCUGUUCUUAUGCCUAAAACUUGAUAAAUUCUAGAAUCCCUCUGCUCUACCACAUCAUUCACCCAACAACAUAGUAUAAAAUCUUGUCAUGUAAAGUUUAUUGGAAAAUUGUAGGUAAGUUGGUUGUUUCAAUAACGAGAUGAAUAUGAACGCUAUUUUGGUAAAAUCUUAUUGUUGAUACAAAUAUGCACAUGCACAUGCACACACUGAACAUGAAACUAGUAAAUAAAUAUACUGAAUAAAUAUUGGCAGUUUUUUAAUAGUGGAGAAAUCCAGACAUCUUCUCACUUAUUAUGAUUCAUGCAGAACAAACAAAAAUUAGUUGAUCCACAUCUUAGAAAAUUAAUCAUUGAGAAUAAGAAUGAUUACCUAUCUUUCAAUUCCUAGCCAAAGAUAUUAGCCACCUCUUGCAGAGCGCCUCUCCAUUUUUGCACCUUUUCUAUAUUCUCCUUCAAGAACUUCUUCAUGAUUAGCAAUCGCUUCUUGAAAACUUCCUAUAUGUUUCCUUACCACUGUUGGUUCAACAUCAUAGAAAAUUGGAAAAACCAAUUGUUGGCGAACAUGACGUGUUCUUCCAUUCAACAAUCUUAACAAGUUCAUCCAAGCACCAAGUUGAAGAAGCACAGUUUCUUGAGAAGACAAUAACUGAAAUUCUUGAUUCUUCAAUUACUUUAGACAGUGUUGGUGAAAUGGAUAUUCCCCUUUCACGUUCUUUUUCAUCACUGAAUACAUUAAUUCCAGUUUUAUUCAAAGUGGACUAGAGGUGAUCUGAAAAGUUCUUGCAGUGCGGGUGUCUUGUCUUCACCUCUGAAGCUCAAGCAGACAUGGUAGUUCCUGGGAUGCUCAUGAUGCAAGCAAUUGACUCCACAACCUCUUAUUGCAAUAAGUAACUGGCUGUUAAAUAAUCGUACUUCAGCAAACGAAAAUAAAAUACCAGCAAGUAAAUUGAAACAGUGGAAAACACCCAGAGUAUACCAGUAAAGUGGCAACAGUUUUGGUUCUUGGCAACAAGAGAAAAAAAAAAUUCUCAUUCAACUGCUUUAAUUGAAUUUCUUAUGUGAAUAAAUUGUAGCAACAGAUGUAUCGUCUCAUUGUUCAACAUAUCAGGUGGGAUGCAUUCCUUCUUGGGCAUUUUAUCGAACAUAAUUUCUCAAAAAUUCCUUCCUUAAACUUAGCUUGCAAUUCCAUAUAAGGUGAGAUCGAUCAUCUACAUAUUUGUUUUUCAUCCUUCCAAUGCUUGAAUUUCUUCGAAAAUCCCUGCGAUAUAAUUUACUUGAUCUAGGUUGUUCUAACUUUUUUUCCUUUUUUUUUUUUGAUGAAUCCUCACCAAAGUGAGGAGGUUUUAUUAAAAUAAAAUAAAAAUAUAGCAAGAAAACCAGCCAAACUAAAAUUACAAAAGCUAGCUGAACAGAUAGCUAGGCAGCCUAAAAACAUCCUCAUGCAAAAGAGAAGCAACAUGAAGGGUGCAGAGUCCCACCAAGUAAAGGAAUCCACCAUGGCACCUAAAUUGCUCAAACAAUCAGCUACCCUAUCAGCCUCCCUGAAGACACGAGAAAAGCGCAACGUCAUGGAAUCCAUGAGAGCAAAACAAUUAUUCCAUCGAUGAAUAAGAAACCAUGGGUGGAAGCCGCUUGUUACAAAGAUGAAGCACAGUUAAAGCAGAUUCACAUUUGAUCCAUGACGUAGUCCAACAUUCAAAAGAAGCAUGCUCAAUCGCCAAGAUAACAGCAAACAGUUCAGCAACAAAAGCCGUUUCAACAUGUAAUGGACAAGAGAAAUCCCCCAGAAAUUCUCCCUCACAGUUUCUGAACACAGCCCCACAAGCGAAAACAUGCAAAGAACCUUCAGCGAUUUUUGACUAUAAACGUAAGCAGAUUUUUAAUUUUAAUAUACGCAUUAAUGAUUUAACUAAUUUUAUGUAUGUAUUUAUAUUUUUAAUUUUUUCUCAUUCCUUUUUAUGUAAGAGUGAGUUGAGGCUCGACCCCAAUUCGGCCUUUAAACUAAGACCUUGUUCCUUAUACAUGGGCCCAAAUGGGCUUGGGUCAUUUAUUUCAAGAGUAGCCUUUUGACAUCCCUUAAAAUUUCUUAUAAAACUCAUUUUCUAUUAAAACUACUUGAAUAACUAUAAAUAAAUAAUUUUUUUUAAAUUUUAAAUGGGAUUUCAAUUAAACACUUAAAUAAAUUAAGGUUUUAAUAAAUAAUUUACACCCACAUCAUUUCAUAAUUUAUAUCUAUAUUUAUGAGAAGAUAUUUAAUUUUAAUAAAUGAGUUUAUAUUUUAUAAAUUAAAUAAGAAGUAUUUUUGGAAAUAAAAUUCAAUAAGUGGUGUUGUCUAUUAUGUUUCAGAUAGAUCACCAAAACUAUUGGUGUGUUAAAACUUCACUUACUUUCAAAUCUUAUUGAAGACAAUAUGAAUUUGAUCCAACUUAAUGCUAGUUAAUAUGUUGGUUUAAUGCCUAUGUUGGGGGUGUCAAUGCCUUUGCAUUCAACCAUUUCAACUAUAGACAAUAGAUCUAUGCUGUAUUUUCUUUGUGAUAAAUAUACACAAUGUGCGUCUUGCAACACUUUAAUUCCAAGGAAAUAAGAUAAUAUUCCUAGGUCUUUUAAGGCAAAUGCUUUCCUAAACUGAAUUAUAAAACUUUUUAACUUUAUAGUACUUGGACUUGUAAUGAGUGUUUCUUCUUAUGAAAAGAGAGGUAUCCAAAUUAGUAUUAAUAAAACCCUAAUGGAAUAAACAGCUUUUUAGCUUAUCAAACUAAGCUCUAGGAACUUGUUUGAGUCUCUAUAGACAUUUGUACAAUUUGCACACAAACUCAGGUUUCUCAGCAUUAAUAAAGCCUUUCGGCUGACGCAUGAAUACUUCCCUAGUUAACUCUCCAUUAAAAAAGGCAUUGUUAACAUUAAUUGCCUUAUUUUCCAUUAGUUCAUCACUCCUAGGCUCAGUACCACUCUAAUAAUAGCUAAUUUAACCACUUGACUGAAUGUGUUAAAGUAAUUCACCCCUGCCACUUGCUAAAAUCCUUUAGCAAUAAGCCUGGAUUUAUACUUAGCUACAUUUCCAUCUUUGUUAUACUUGAUCCUUUACACCCAUUUAUUGUCAGCAACAUGAUGACCAGCUUGUCUUGGAAUUAAUGUCCAUGUAUUAUUCUUAACCAAAGCAUUAUAUUCUUCUUUCAUAGCUUGCAGCCCUCUGGAGUCAUCUAAUGCCUCUUGUACAUUAUCAGGUUCUUUAUGAAUGAGAGCAACAGUUGUUGUAUCUUUUUUUUUUGUUUUGUUUAUUCAAUAACAAAAAAACUGAUGUUAGAGCAUCUUCCAGGAAAUUAUAUACGAAAACGGAAACAUAAGUACAAUCAUAUUAUAUUCUUAAAUUAUGUCUACGAAUACAAAGUAAAUUAAAAUAAGAUUAGUGAAAUAAUAAAAAUGUAAAUAUUAAUGAUAGAUAAAAAAAAAUAGCAUAUGAUAGUAAUGCCUUACUAAACAAUAUUAUAGUAGAUGGCAAGUCUAGCUAUUUGAAGAGAACUUUAAAACCAUAGGCAUCUAAAAAAUUACCGAAAAUAAACUUUAUUAUACGCUAAUUAUUCCGUGCCAUUUUCCUGAGCACUUUUGUAUAUUUUAGAAAUGCAUACUUAAACAAUCUGAUCAAGUAUGAAAGCAUUUUCGAUUCAUGGAAGGUAACAACUUUGAAGAUGAUAUUUUGGUUUUGUGGUAAUUUAACAUAUAUGAAAUAAAAAUUGCCAACUGAAAUUGAUGAUGCAUGCUUACUGAAAUAUUCAGAGAAUAGUAAGCAGGCUUCUCCCUUUAUUUGAGUUUACUAAAUGGAUUCUUGAGGUUGUGGUUCCUGAUCACCUCAACAUAUGCAGUAAGGCUUCGCCUUGACGUUGUUGCUACAACCAUCUUUGAUGCAAAAAAAUUUGAGGGGAUGCAUUCAUAUUAUAAUUGGUAAAGCGAUUCCAUUGGAUUGUAGUUUUGUCAAACUCCUCCAUAUAAACUAGUGGAUAUCACACCUCUCACCUCCGAUCCUGGCAAGAACACACCCCUGAGAAGUUACAGAAUUUAUGAUUACAGUCCACAAAGCAUUUGUACUUUUCAUGGGAAUGAAUGGAAAAAAUAUUAUCUAUUUAUUACAGUCCACCGCAUGGUUUUAAAGUUUUUCCGGACUUUCCCACACUUUAAAAUUCUGGAUCAGAAAACUACCCUAUUUGGCAAUGACACAGUCCACAAAGCAUUUAUACUUUUCUUUGGCUACUAACACAUGAUAGAUUGAAAACGAAAACGAAGCUAAUGAGGAGGCAUAUUCCAAUAGGCAUUAUAUAUGAUCAUUAUGUUUUUUCGGUGAAGGAUAUGUUGCAUGUUCUUAGGGAUUGGAUCGUGGAAAAAAGACUUUGGAACCGAUUCCUCCCUGUGGCACAAUGCCAUCAAUUCUUUUCUCUUAAUCUAAAGGAAUUGACUUGUCAAAAUCUAUUGAGUAAAAGGCUGUUGGGUUCAAAUUUGAAGUGGAGUACUUUAUUUAGAGUACUUUGUUUGGAACUUUGCAAGUUCGUUAGUGAACAUCAAGCUUGCUUGGCAUUGUUAAAGUUUUGGAAAUAUGAUGGGUGACCUUCAAGUAGUUGGAAGAGUUAAAAAGCUCGACAAGAAAAAUUACAAUACGUGGGCAACAUUGAUGGAGUCUUGCUUACAAGGUCAAGAUCUCUAGGAGAUUGUUUGUGGUAACAAUAUGAGACCACUAACUGAGGAUGCCGCUUUAAAGAAGUGAAGCAUUAUAGCUGGAAGGCCAUGUUCGCCAUCAAGACUACAAUUGAAGAAGAAAUGCUGCAACACAUAAAAAAGGUUAAAAUACCUAAGAAAACUUGGGAUACUUCUACAAUGAGUUUUUCAAAGAAGAAUAACAUAUGGCUACAACUUUUGAAAAAUGAGCUACUAUCAAUUUUAUAAUGAAACAUGAUGAUUGACGAGUACUUAAACAAGUUAAAAUUCCGAUACCAUAAAAUUUCUAGGUUAGAUUCUACUGCUGUAAUUUCUAAAUUUAGAAUAAAGAGAAUUAUUGUCAAUGGUUUGAGGCUUAAGCUUAAGAGCUUUGUUACAACUAUCUAAGGUUGUCCAACUCAACCAACCAUUGAGAAUUUUGAAAACUUACUUACUGAUCAAGAAGUAAUUGACAAGCAAUUGAGUGGGGCCUUAGUAAUGGAUGAUGAGGAAAUGUUAUUUAUUGAUAACCCUACUAGAAAAAUGACUUUUACUAAUAUUAAGUUGCUGAUACUAAAUAAAAAAUAUCAAUAUUUGAUGACUUAAUUAACUUUUAGUGUGUUUUACAUAUUAAUGCCGGUGGUUAUUAAUAAUAUAGUAUCAUAAACUCUUACUGAUACUAAGAUAUAUAUUUUUAAUUUUAAUUUUAAUUUUUCUUAUUUCACACGACGUGGUUUUACUUUUAAAAUUAGGGUAUCUUAAAUUCUAACACUUGAGAAAUUUUUUGGCCUUAACGAAAGUACUAUUCCCUCUUCAUCUUGCCUCUCUCCCAAAUCCUUCCUACUCAUUUGAAGAAACCCUAAAUUGAAACAAAGCAAAUCACCCAGCCUUUUCAGUCUUAACAAAACAAUUACUCUCAGUCUCCCAACAAAGUAAAAUCAUCCUAGUUUUACUUUAUGAAGCGUAUGGGUCUUGAUUCUUCGGUCACCACCGAAGACAACCAAAGGAUAAAAAAAGUCAAACAAGAUGAGGAGGAAUAAGAAAGAGGAAGAGCAAGUCAAAGAAACUAGCUUCACAAAUCUAUAUGAGAACUCCCUGUUCGAGGUGUUGAAACACGCGGACACCAGGACUUCGUUGCAGGCGGCCUUGCGUCAACAAGCUAUGGCACAAGACACUCAAAAUGAGCACCUUUGGAAGUUAAUUUGCACCCACCACUUCGCUAACGUUGGGUGCGCUACCCAACAGCUCAGAUCUGUAGUCCUGGCUCUUGGUGGCUCCCGUCGCCUUCACUCCCUCUAUCUCGGUGGCUCCCGUCGCUUUCUCUCUCUGCCAUUCUUUCUCUCACAGUCGAAACCAAAACUCAAAUCCCUAACUCCCCAGCCACAAAACCUCUCAUUUGCCUCAAAACAAAACAAAAUCAAUCUGUACUCCUCUCUGAUUAUUCGAAAGUUAGAAGCACCUUCAAUAGUUCUCUCUGAAAAGCCAUUCACCUUAAAUAGUUCUUUCUAAUUUUCUCUUAAUUUCGACUGUGAUUUUAUUGUUUCUAUAGCUGUAGUUUGAUUAAUUUUGAUAAAUUUUGCUUGAUUUGAUGGAAAGCAUGAUUUAUUACAUGUCUGCUUGAGAUAAGCCGGUUAGUAAUUUUUUUAAAAAUAAUUAUAUGUAAUAUUUGUUUUGAUUCGCAUAUCGUAAACACGAUGUUAUUGUCUACUAACUAAUUAUAGACUUCGAUUUACAUUCACCUAAAUAGGAUAUGAUUAUGUAUCCUUUUUUUUUUUUUUGGCUGUUUGCUGAUUGUGUUAUUUAUAGUGUUGUUAUUGGCGGUUUAUAUGGUGAGUAGGGCAGUAUUUUAAUUGAAACAAUUAAAGAUAUGGGGAAUUAUUAGGUAGAAAGUGGCUGCAGGAGGAGGUUCUUCUAUUUCAGUGUGCCUAAAUAGUAUUCAUUUUGCCCCCUUUUUUUUUUUACUGCUGACUAUUGUUCCUUGUGAAUGCGUUUCUAAUCCAGAGACUUCGCCCUGUGGUAUCCACUUUGAGAAACUACUCAUCUGCAACUAAACAGGUAAUUGUGCCUUUUAUAACUUAUUACUUGUAAUGCACUGAUUUUGGCUGUAUGAUGAUUGUAUUCUUCUAUAUGUAUAGGCUUUUAUUAUUAUUAUUAGUGAAUCAGCUGAAUGCUUAAGAAAUUCUAAUACUAAUAGUUAUGUUCUUCAUUAUACUUACUAUGUAUGGAUUUUGAUGCAUUUUAAGAAGAAUAUGAAAUUAAAUAUUUGACUGUAGGGACAACAAAUAUGUUCGAGCUUUUAUUAGUAUAAUAGUAUGUGAAUUAAAAAUAUUAUAAUUUGAACAAACUCCGAAGCUUUGAAACUAUGCACUUUCAUGUUGCUAUUUGUGACAGUGGAUUUUGAUUGCUCUUUGUUAGCGACUCGCUUUUACUUGUUUGAUAAUGUUUAUAAUUCGUCCAUCUCAUUAUACUUGAAAGUUGGUGAUUCUAUGUAAUUUAUAAAUCCAACCGGUAUCUUUUUAUUUAAAUCGGUAGGCCAGAAGCAAAGCAAUCUUUUUAUGCAUUGGCUGUAUUAGUAAAUCACAUAGAUAAAAUCACAGGGUUUAUAUUGUUAUUUAUUUCUUUUCUGUUUGCAGGAAAAUUCCAAGGGAUUUGACAGAGGCAUCACUAUCUGGUGCAGGAUUAUCCAUAAUAGCAGCCCUUUCUAUGUUGUUUUUAUUUGGAAUGGUAGGUUGCCGCUUGCAUAGUUGUGCCUCUUUUGUCGGAUAUCAUGGGUGCAUUUUGCAUAUUCAGUGUAUAUUAUCGUCCACCUGGAUUGUUUGUGUAACAUGAUGCUUUCAUGGAGUUCUAUUUGGCUUUUCAUUGUUUCUAGAACAGAUUAAAUUUAACAAAAACUAUUCGCAAUUUUUCUAUAGGACCUGAUUUAAGACCCACUGGUUCUGAAUUCCACUCAAUGCUUGUUAUACAUUCGCUUAAGCAUGGAGAGGAAGCUGAUGAUGAUUCUGUUGAAGGUUCUCAUACGCUACCUGCCAAUAAUUUUGAUAGUUAUUCACACGAGUAAGUGAGCCUUCUCUGAACCACAACUUAUAAUUUUUAUUUUCAAUUCUGUGAUCACAAUAUUUCUCUGCUAUGUGGCAAUUGCAAUGAUGCCUUCUUUGAUUUGUAUUAUAUUUCCUUUCCAGGUAUCCUAUUUUAGCUGUCAAUUUUUAUGAUCCAUGGUGCUACUGGAGUAAAUGCCUGGUAUUUUUAUUUUCACCUUUUGUUUCUCAAAUUUUGUCUUGUUGCUUUUUGAUCAUUGUUGUCUAGAUUUACCUUAUUGGAUCUAUUCUUUCUCAUGUUUGUGUUGAUGUAAUUGCCAGAUAUAAUAUUUUAAAUUUAUUCACUUGGAUGUCAUGUUUGUGCCUGCUCAUAUGCACACAUUGCUCUGUUUGUCCACUGACAGUUGCACAUAAAUUCCUUCAUUACUUUGGUUAACUCCAUUGGUCUCUGUGUUUGUGUUGAACUUUCCAUGCCUGUUAUACAACCAAGCAUGGGUUUUCUUUUGUUUGUAUGACUGUAUUGUUAGACUUCCUCUCAUGAUGUUGUUAAUAAUUUCUCCUCUUUUUCUUGGACAACGGUUAAAAUAAUUUUUAUUGUUAAUAUAAUAUGCUUGUCUUGCAUGCAUUUAUAUGCCAUUAGGAAACUAUGUAGAUUUCAGCAUGUAAAUUUUAUCAGUUUUUUUAUUGUGCAUGUCUUGAAUGGUGCAGGAUGACUUACAAUAAACCAAAGCAUGUAUGUGGGUCAAAACUAAAUAAUCAGAGCAAAUGUCAAAUUGGAACAUGGAAACAAUAAUAAGCAUGUAUGUGUUGGAAGAUUGUGCUGUUACUAUAUAUCAGAUUAUAAAUUAUUUGUAGUUGGUAAACAAGGUAAUAAGUUUCAAACAAUGUAAUAAUUUUUAAAUUGUUCAUUGCAAUGUAAUAGUUUUCAUAUUGAUGAAUGUAAAUUUCAAUUCAAAUGCCAAUUGCAAAUGUUCAAUUUCUAUUAUAUGGAUUUCUAAUUUUUUUUAAUUUUUUCGCAAAUAAACAUUGAUACCAAAGUAUCGUUAUAUUUAUUAUGCUUUUGUAUCAUUAUUUGUUUGAUAACAUAGUCUCGUUAUAUAUGUGAUGUUCAAGCAUCAAUAUUUUUUUGAUACUACGGUGACAUAGAUUCGUUGAUACAAAAAACUCGUGUCAAUAAGUUUCUUGCACCGUAUUCAGUGACACUAAAUUCGGUGUAGUAAAACAAGUUCUUGAUACUAAAAUAGUAUCAAAGAAGGCUAUUUUUUUACUAGUGUAAAAAGAGACAUCGAUUCAGACAAUAUAGCGAUAAAGUAAUGUAGGAAGCAUAUUAGAUAAAAUAAAUUAGAAUUUAUUAGGAAUUAUAAUAUUUGGGUAUUUAGUAUUUUAUUAGAGUUUAUCUUAUUUUUUAAACUUAUUCGAUCAUGUUUGGAAUUUUAAUCUAAUUAGCAUUUUAAAUUAUUUAUUUUAUUUAUGAAGGAUUAAGAUUAAGUUGGCUACUUAGUAUAUAUAGGCUUCUUACUAAUAGUUCUUUAUAACAUACAUAAGCUUAUCAUCAAUAAUAUUUAAUAUUUCUUAAUUGAGAUAUUUUCUUCUUCAUAAGAGCCUUUUUUCUUGAAUUUUCAGAAACGUAUGUUAUAAUGAAAUUUAGUAUCGCUUCUGCGAUGCGUCAAGUGGUGUCAGAGUCUUUCUUUGUAUUAGGCAGAGCUUUCCUGACCAUCAACCAUUCCCCAUACACAAAUCCUCCCUCCAUCAUCCAUUGUUUUCAUUAAAAAAAAAAAAAAAGAAGAAGAAGAAGAAAAAGUUAGAAAAAUAGCAAAACCCGAAGCCACCUCACGUCCAUCGUCUGCAGCUGCUACCUCUGUCAUUCUUCACCUUUUUCAUGCUUUAAUAAAAUUUAACAUAAUGCUCACUAUUUUGUAUAUUAUUAAGGACCAUUGAAUGAUUAAUCAUGAAGUGUAUAUUAUUUUUCACAUCAAUUUAGCACAACCUAUACCAUGAAAUUAUGGAUUAUGUUACAGUGAAUACUUUUAUAUGGUAGGAAUAUAAGUUUAAGUUUUACAAGCCUAUUUUCAUUUAAUUUUCCAAUAUCACUUUGUUGAUUUCGUAAAGUUGAAAUUAACAUAAAUUCUUAAUUAGCUAUAUAGUUUAUGAAUCAUGAAAGAUUGUUUUGUUGAUAUUCAUUGAUUGUGGUUACAAAAUUUUAUGUCACUAAGAGGCUGAUUGCAUUUAUGAUGGUAAUUAAUAUAAUAAGUAAAUAUUAACUCCAAUAAUAUUCAUGAAAUAUUAUCUAUUUAUUUUAUAUUCUCGUUAUAAAAGCAUGGUUUUGGAUAUUUUAACUUAAAUUUUGACACAAAAAAUGAGCCAUUAAUCUCUCACAAUCUAAUGGUUAAUGUUAAAAGUCAAUCACCCUAAGAUUAAAUAAAUACUUUUAGGUUGAUCAAGUUCUUAACCAGCCAUAUGUUACUUUGACAUGGUCAAAAAUUUUUCUUGGUGUUUGUAUUUGCCAAGAUUACAUAAUACAUUUUCUUCUUGGCACAAGAAAUUUAAGCAUAUUUAUCUAGGCAGAAUCCAGAAGAAAUAUACUUAUAUUGAUUCUAUUAGUGACUCUCACAUAUUCAAAUAUGUAAAAAGAUAAGUAGUUAUAGCAAGAGAUUUUAUUUUAAUUGUUAAUCCUGACGUGAUAAUCAAAUCCAAUACCAAAUACUUUCAUUAAUUUUCUAUCUCUCUUAAAAUAUUUGAGUCCAAAAAUCCGCAAAAUGUUGAAUGUUAUUUACAAGUCUUAACAUAAUGUUUUUGAUCUGGCUAAUUAAUUAAGACUUAAGUGGUGGAGCAUUCAUUAUAAUUGAUCCAUGUUCUUCAACCGCAUCCACGUUAAAUUCAAAUAAUUUUUUUUAAAGAUCUAGGGAGUUUUGUUUUGUUAAGUUUGAAAAUAGUUAAAUAGUCAAUCUUAAGAUUUAUUUUUAAUACUAAUGUUAGACACUUACCUAGUAUCUUGAGUUUUUGAAUUAAAUGAUUUACUAAUUGACGAUAUUAGUGCUAAAGUUUCGUAUUUGAACUCUCCACAACAAGUUCAUUUGUAUCGAUUAAAUUAUGUUUCAAUUAUUUCUCAUUGGCAUGCAUCGAACUCUCUCAUGCUUGCUUUGUGUUAAUUUACGUUUUUUUUUUCUUCUAAUUCUGAAUCAUUUUUCAAGUCCAGUCCUUUUAUAUAUAUUUUCAAAAUUUUGUCCGAUCGCUCACCGCAUCUAUGUACGGCAUCUUUUGCAGGAAAAACAGAGUAAUAAAACAAAGCAGGAAAAACAGAGUAAUAAAACAUCUGUCCAACUGUUUGACCCAAGCCAGGCAUUUUCUGGUAAUUUAACAGGGAAAUAAGUAACAAGAACAGAUACAAUAAAUAAAUACAAAGAAAGUAAAUGAAAUGCGAUCUGCAGAGAAAAAUAAAAUUUGUGCCCUUCAUUCGAGUAGUCUAAAUCUUUUAGGUUGUGGUUCCUCCUCAUCAUUACAGCAGCCACUUCCACUAGCUUCAGCCGCCCCAACAUAUCCUUCAAGACUUCGCUUUAGAAAGCUUCGCUCAGACGACGUCGUUGAUCCUGCAUCAUCCCGGCAGCAACUUCCACUGGCUUCUACCCUGUCUAAGUCAUCAUUAAGGCUACGCGUAAAGGAUGUUGAUCCAGAACAAUCGUGACCGAAUUCGUUCAAUCUCCAAACCGGACCAAUUGUUUGGUUGAACUUAUCCCCUUGAUGCACAUAUAUUGGAUGCAAACCGCACCUCUUCAGCAUCAAUCCCGACGGCGAAGAAAAUUCCACUUUACAAAUAUUAUGGUAGUAUCGCCACACCUCUUCCCUAUUCAGGUAGUAUAGCCAAAGAUGGUCUGACACAGCCUGACUGAAUUGCUUUCCAAACAAAAUUCCAUAACUAUUCACGUCGGUAGGCCGGACACGCAGAUAAUGUACGGGAUAUGGAUACGGUCGUAUAUAAUAAGGAAGUGAAUAUUUAGGGGCAUGAAAAACACAGCACAUAGCAUAUCCCACAAGCUUACUAUUCUUAUACGUCUUUGGAGGCGUGCUUAUUGUUAUUGAAGAACCCUCAUUAUUCUGAUACUCGAACCACUCUGGGAUUUCACUUCCAGGAACAAUUAUGUUAAACAGAUAGUUCUGAAACCCCACAAAUACAUAUAUAUAUAUAUUAGAAAGCCAUACCAAUGCAUAAUUUUUAGGCAUGAUUUUAGCAACAGGUGAGAGAGUGUAAGAAAUUGACAUUACCUGUUUAAUGUACUUGUCCGACAGUGACAUAUUCUGCAACCCCACGGAAAAAAAAAAGUGAGUAAAUAAAUAAAAUAAAAAGACAUAACAUGUAUUGCAUCAGUUUUAGGCAUGAUGUAGCACAGGUGAGAGUGAGAGACUGACCUCAGAAUUUUUAAUGUACUCUUUCAGCAGUGAAAGCGCCAAAUCAUAGCUGCCAGUCAAUUUCGAGCAAUCCCCACAAUAAAGGUUUAACGACGGGAGUCGAUGCUCGUUUAAGUUUAAAUUUAAUACAUCUGAUAAUGUCUCCAACGAAACACAACCCCCUAACGAAAUCCGAUGUAUACUGGCUGGAAGUCGAGGCAGAUUUUGAAGCAUUUUGCAUUCCUCUAAUUCAAUCUCCCGAAGAUUAGAAAGACGGUAGAUGCUUGCCGGUAGCGAAACAAAACUGUUUCUACUCAAACAUAACGUUUCUAAUGAGCAUAAGUCGCCAAUACCACUUGGGAUUGCUCCUUCCCCUAGAUCACAGUAACUGAUAUCCAAUUUCGUUAAACUACACAAACCUGACAGAGAAGACGGCAAACUGAAAUCCAUCGGAUCUGAACUCCUUCGUAUCAAAUUGAUAGGAAAGCGCAGAAACCAUGAUGCAGAUGAUGGUGAUCCUUUGCACCCACGACAAGAUAGUUCUUUAAGAUUCUUCAUAAGAAAAAUCGACGAUGGAGGUUGCCUUAUAGCUGUACCACUUAUAUCAAGUUUUUCCAAACUUUCUACUUGCCCAAGCGUCUCAGGCACAUUUUCAAGUUUGAAGCAGCCUGAGAGAUUCAAAUUUCUGAGGGAUUUCAAACCAUUUAUACUGCUAGGAAGUCUCACGAGAGUUUUGCAGUCAUUCAAAUUCAACAAUCGAAGUUUGGUCAAAAGCUCUAUAGAUGAUGGCACUUCUGUGAUAGAAGUUCCGUCUAAAAAGAGCUCUGACAGAUCUACCACACUUAUCACAGUCUCUGGAAAUUUCACUAUUUUCGAGCAACCAGAUAGCACGAGCGUUUGUAGACAUUCUAAACUGCCUAUUGUAAUUGGAAGACUCGCGAGAUUUCUGCAAUCUUUCAAAUUCAAUGAAACAAGGCCAGACAUAAGUUCAAUUGAUACUGGCAGUUCUUUGAUAUCAGUUUCAUCCAAAAGAAGUUCCCGUAGACACUCCAUACUUCCCACAACGCGUGGAAGUUUCCUCAAUUUCAAGCAACCAGAAAGAACAAGUGUUUUAAGCGAUUUCAUAAAUAUCUCACCCGGAAGAGUUGUAAGACUUGUACAACCUUUCAAAUUCAACAAGAUCAGCUUAUUGUGACGUAGCAAAGACUGGUGAAUUUCACGCAACCUUGUACAUCCUUCAAGAUCCAACACCUCUAAGUUUGGGACCUUUGUGAAGUCUGGUGUCUUAAUCAGAUUCUCCGAAUGGCUGAGUUUCAAGACUCUCAACAUGUUUAAAGGCUGUUGAAAACAAAAAAAGGAGCUAAAAUGAUAUUUCUUAAUUCAUAUACUACUAUAAUAAUAAAUUGUUAUCAACAAUUAUUCACUGAAAAAUAUAAAUUAGUGACCAAAAAAAAAAUUGAUCUUACUUUGAUUCCCUUCCAUAAUUCUUCAAUGCGGCUGUAGCACAUUUUAAAUUUAACAGUUUUAUCCAAUUGCAAAUUUGAUGGCAAAGAUUUCAAAGGAUACCGAUGCCAAUCAAGUAAUCGCAACCUGUUCGAGAGGUAUUCUAGGCCUUCAGGAAGUUGCACAUUACUGAUUUUGAGCAAUCUUAGGUUGGUCAUCAGUGAAAAUGCUUUAGCACUUAAAUGCACAUCAUUUCCACGAAAGAAAUCAUCAUCAACCAUUAUUCCUACAACUACUUCACUUCCCUGAAAAUUAUAAAGAAAGUCGUUCGUUAGAAAUUUAACUAGCUAAAAGAAGUGAGCUGAGCUAGAAAUAAAUACUUUUAGAUCCCCUUUAUUAUUCACUUACUGUAUUUUGUGACAAUACAUGGUGUACAUCUGCUUCCUUCCACAAUCUACUGCGUUUUCCAGGCUCGUCGGGGGAUUGUCUCCUAACAAUUUGGUGACCCAUUUCUUGUAUCAAAUCAUGCAUCCACAAUCUGUUAUUCUCAUGUACUGUUAAUAAAGAUUUUUCUAUAAGAACUUCUAUUCCAACGACUGGGGAAAAACCACAUCCCUCUAGAAUUUUCAAUACAUAAUCUCUAGUCUUCCAUUUAAAGAAACAUGCAAUAUCGAGAAAUAUUUUCUUCUCUAAUUCUUGUAGUCCGUCAAAACUUAUUUGAAGUAUACUCAUAAUCUUAUUGGGAGGCUCUAUUUGUAGCCUUUCCAAGGUGCUUCUCCAUUGAUCCACGGAUCUACCAUUCAAAAAGGAACCCAAAACUUCGAGAGCUAAUGGAAGACCACCGACAUACCGUAGAACACCUUCUGACAGCUGCACACAUUCUUCAAGAGGCUUUUGGAUUUUAAAAGCUUUCAUGUUGAAAAGUUGAAGAGCAUCAUGGUAAUUUAGUUCAUUAGGCUUAUAUAUUUCAUCCAUUCCAUGUGUCUUUAAUAGAUGUUCAUCUCGCGAUGUUACAAUGAUCCUACUGCCUGAACCAAACCACUCACGCUUUCCAGCUAAAUACUCUAAUUGCUUUAUGUCAACCACAUCAUCAAUAACAAGAAGAACCUUUUUGUGUUGCAGCCUGCUUCCUAAAAUGUUGAUGCCAUCACCGACAUUCCAUAUGCUAUCUUUUUCGAGCUUCAAUAUUUCGAAAAGGAGUUGCCUUUGAAAAGAGAUUACACUGCCUUUGUUUUCAAAUUUUUCUCUAACAUCGGCAGAAAACUACUCCCUUCAAAUUCAUGAGAGAUCAAGUCAUAAACAACUCUUGCAAGAGUCGUCUUACCUAAACCUCCCAUACCACAAAUCCCUAUCAUACGAACAUCAUCAUUAGGCCCUUUGUUCAUAAGAGGACCUCAGUUCUUCAAGCGUGGAAUCUUAUCCCACUAGAUUCUUAANNNNNNNNNNNNNNNNNNNNNNNNNNNNNNNNNNNNNNNNNNNNNNNNNNNNNNNNNNNNNNNNNNNNNNNNNNNNNNNNNNNNNNNNNNNNNNNNNNNNNNNNNNNNNNNNNNNNNNNNNNNNNNNNNNNNNNNNNNNNNNNNNNNNNNNNNNNNNNNNNNNNNNNNNNNNNNNNNNNNNNNNNNNNNNNNNNNNNNNNNNNNNNNNNNNNNNNNNNNNNNNNNNNNNNNNNNNNNNNNNNNNNNNNNNNNNNNNNNNNNNNNNNNNNNNNNNNNNNNNNNNNNNNNNNNNNNNNNNNNNNNNNNNNNNNNNNNNNNNNNNNNNNNNNNNNNNNNNNNNNNNNNNNNNNNNNNNNNNNNNNNNNNNNNNNNNNNNNNNNNNNNNNNNNNNNNNNNNNNNNNNNNNNNNNNNNNNNNNNNNNNNNNNNNNNNNNNNNNNNNNNNNNNNNNNNNNNNNNNNNNNNNNNNNNNNNNNNNNNNNNNNNNNNNNNNNNNNNNNNNNNACAACAAAGAUCAGUAUGGUUAAAUUACAGUUAGCCUGAAUGCGGUAUUAAUAAAUUUAGUAAUAGAAAAAACCCAAAAUAUGCAAUAUUCGUUGGAAAAAAUUGAAGUAAUGUAAGAUGUUGUUACAUAUGGCUAAUCUUUAGGUGCGUUCAUGUAAAUAUCUGCAUCCAUUUGUACCACUUUUGUUUGCAAAUAUUCGUAUGUGGAGAUAUUGUUUCAAUUAGUGCACAUCAUAUCAUACAGGUAUUGAAUGAAAGUUGUUUAACUGACAACAGGAUGCUGAUUAAAGCUAUUUAAAAUGAUAUACAUAAUAAUAAGAAUGGGUACCUGUACUCUUUCAAUUCCCAGCCAGAAAUAUUAGCCACCUCUUUCAAAGCAUCUCUCCAAUUUUUCACUUUUUCUAGAUUCUCCUUAAAAGCUUCUUCAUGUUUAGAAAAAGCUUCUCGAAAACUUCCCAUUUGUUUCCUUACCACAGUGGGUUCAACAUCAUAGAAAACUGGAAAAACCAUUUGUUGAUGAUCGUUUUUGUUCUUGCAUUGAACAAUCUUAACAAGUUCAUCCAAGUACCAAGUGGAGGAAGCAUAGUUUUGAGAGAAAACAAUAAUUGAAAUUCUAGAAUCUUCAAUUGCCUUAAGAAGUCCAGGUGAAAUGGAUGCUCCUCUCUCAAGUUCUUUGUCAUCCUUGAAUAAAUAAAUUCCUUUUCCAUUCAAAGCAGCAUAGAGAUGACUUAUGAAGCUUUUACGGGUGUCUGCUCCUCUAAAGCUUAAGAAGGCAUCAUAUGGCCAAUGAGACACAUUUUGUAUGCUCGAUGAAGCCAUCACAAUAUUAAUUUGUUCUGAAAAUUUUGAAAAAAAAGCAAGAAAUGAUUGCCUAGGAACAAUACUAUGUAAACAACAGAAUUCAUCUAGAGUUAUGGAUUAUCUCAAAGUGUCAAAGUCGUAUACACUAGCGUAGGGAGUGUGUGGUGCACUACAUUAUAUCGCAGUACUAUGUUUUAGUGUAGUAUGUACAAUAGUGUUUAUUGAAAUAUUUUAUACUAAUAUUAUUAUCAAAAUUUAUUAUUUGACAAAUAAAAUUUAAAAAUUUAUUAAUAAAUAAUACUUAAUUAUAUUGCUUGAGCUUUAUUGCGUAGCAAUAUUACAUUAACCUUUAAAACAGUGCCAUAUUUAGUGCGGUAUAUGCGUGAUCUUGUUUAUCUAAAUUUUUUUAUAAUAUUAUUUUAUUAAAUUUAUUGGUUAAAUUCAUUAUUAAAAUAAAAAAUUCAUUAAUGAAGUAGUACUAUUUCUAUUUAAGUAAAUUAUAAAUGUGUUAGGUAAUAAAAUAAUUGAUUAAAAUUAUUUUUACAUAAUAAAAGUAAAAUAAUAAAAAUGAUUUUAUAUCAUAAAAGUAAAAAAGUACGCAAUUAUUUAUAUUAAAUUCAUAUUAUAUGGAUUUAUUUAUAUUUAAUUUUAUUAUUUGAUUUAAAUAUCUUAUUUAAAUUUAGGUAAAAUGACACUUAGAUGGCAUAUUUUGAAUAAGAAACACUAAAAUCCUCUUUUGACUAUGAUACCAUUUAGCUCUAAUAACUCAAAAAAAUUAAUUUCAAUGUUUUAUAAUUAAUAUAAAUAUGAUAUUAAAUAAAUGUAACAAUAUCUAUUAGAAACAUUUGUAAUAAAUAGAAUUAUAAUAUUAAAUCCCAAAAUUUUUUCAAGUGUCGAUUGGAGAGUGCGUACACCGAUCUCUACUUGAGAAAAUCUUGAUUAAAGCCUCUUAGAGAAGGCAAAGAGAUUGUGCCAAAUUAACAUUAAAAGAUUUCUUUCAAUUUACAGCUUGUACAAAAUUAACAUUAAAAAAAUUCUUUCAAUUUUAUCAUUAUUUAUUUGUUUUUAAACAUCAAGAUAUGCAAAUUAAUUAUGAAAGUAAAAGAGAGAGAUGUAUGAGAUAGAACUUACAGCUUUUGAGUGUAUUGCAGAAAGCCAUUUAAAUGAACUCCAAUGAAGUAUUUGAUUCAAAGAAUUUAAAUAUUUAAUCAUGCAAAUAUAUUCUUUUGGAAAAAAAAAUAAAGCAAUCAGCUAGUGUAUGUAUUUCCAAAAGCAAGUCUUGGUCAAAAAGUGACUUUCUUAAUAAUUAAUAGACAUUUGUCACUGUUUACUCACAUGCUGGAGUUACCAUAAAACUUCCUGGAAGCUUCGAGGAAACUGAGCGAAGAUUGUCUGGCUUUUCAAUUGAUGACGCGUCCAAGCCACUCUGCCCAUUAGCCACGUUGGAUUUCAUUAAAAUGGAAUGGAAUCCAACGGUUGACAUCAAUAAUUGAUAAAAAUAGUUAAAUUGCCGCAAUCUAUAGGAAUGGUAAAUCUUUUAUUAGAAACCUUUUAUUAGUAAAAUUUCAUCUGAGUCUUUAGGAGAUGUUGGAUCAAUUUAAUAAUUUGUAGUUUUACGAUAAUUGUCAUAAACUGUGUUGUAUAAAUAAUCAUUUGUAAAGGUAAUUAAUUAAACGUUUGAUAAAUUUACUUUUAAAAGUUCUGCAAAUUUUAAAAAUAAUCGUAUGUGUUUGAUAAAUUUUAUUUUAAAAUUGUGUUUGGUGUUUCAUCCAAACACCAAGUAGAAAAAGAGCAGUUCUUUUAGAGAAAAAUAAUCGAAAUUCUUCUUCAAUUGCUUUAAAAAUUUUCUGGGAAAAUGGAUCCUCCUUUCGCAAGUCUUGGUCCAAAAGCGACUGGUUACUCACACGAUGAAGGUCGCAUCAAACUUCCUGGAAGCUUCAAGGAAUCUGAACGAAAAUUAUCUGGUGUUUCAAUUGAUUACGAGUCUUCUCCACUCUACCCAUUAGCCAUGUUGAAACCAUUGUAUUCAACUAAAAUGGAAUGGAAUCCAACGGUUGAUAUCAAUAUUUAAUUAAAUAUCAAGAUACGGUUGAUAAAUCAUUUUACCUGAAUUUCCAAUUAAGUUUGUUUCAAAGAACUCAAUGCAAGGAUUUUUAUGCGUUCUAAGUAAUUUGUCAAACAACAAACAAGUUUAGUCUAAAAUGUGUGCCGACAGUAAUGACGAAGAAUGAUUUUGGUCUUUAGUGGAGAAAGACAUGGUCUAUCUGAUGUUGACAAAAGCUAGCUUUAAUAAUCUACACACCAAAAGCAAUGAUUUCUUUAUGUAUUUUAUUAAGGGCAUCUUCAAAUGUAAUUGCAUUUUUUAGGGAAAAAUGAGUAAAAUAUUUUUUGGAAUAAUUCCACUACAAUCUUUCAUUUUUUUUUAAUUAUAGUAUUUUCUCAUUAAAAUAAAUAAAGAUUGGAAAGUAAAGGUUGAAGGCUUGAAAUUUUUCUUUGAAGUUGCUUAAACCUUGGGAAGAAGGCCGUCCAUUUCCCUUAGAAAUAAUUGGUUUUAGGCAUCUUUUGGUUACAAGCCUCACAAGUUGUAAGUUAUUUUUCAGAUUUUUUAUACAAAGAAUUGGUCGAGGAGAGUCAAACUCAGAUAAAACUUGUUAAUGUAGUCCACGUCAGCCGCUUGAGCAUCUGAAUUUCCCGCCCAAACAAAAACUAAUAAACAUAACGAAUUUGAAUCAUCAUUCAACAAUGACAUAGCAACUUGUGAGGCUUGUAUUUUGAUCAUUUCUGUAUUUGUCAAUGCAUUAUUCAUCUACGACCAGGCUCUAAAAACAAGUAAAUGCUACAGUUGUAUGCAAUUGAUGAAUAUAGAUAAGCAAAUCUAAAAUUUUUUGAUAAUAUUACUUAUUAAGAUUACAAAUCCAUCCGCAAGGCAGCUGUAAAUAAUCAUAUAGCCUGACGUCUGAACUUUUUACAUGAUUAAUAAAGGAUAAGAGCAUAUUCAGAAAUUAAUUUCUACUUAAAUGUGUUGUAGUCAUGCAAAAUAGAGAAACCUUAUUAUAGUGAAUCUGUGUGUGUGUAUGGCACUGUGGCAGAAGUAAACAAAUAAUAAAAGCAUGAUAGCAUAAAGAAUUAAAGAUCAUGAUAUGUGCAUAUUAGAUUAUUAUAGAACGAACCUGCUCUCAAAACUGAUGAGUGACUGAGCAGGAAGAAAAGGCCACCUAGGAUGUGAAUUUGCUGUUAUUUGAUUUGACUUUUCGGCAUGGUUUUUGCCGUUUGAAUCAGCCUAUGGCGGCCAAGUGAGCAAGCUGAUGCUGCUGUCGUAGAUAGCUUGCUGCCCUUAUUUACAUUCAUCUUCCAUAUUACAGUAGAACAACAUUGAAAGGAAUGCACAUAGAAGUAAUACGGUAUUUCUUGUUUUAAAGGGAGAAAUUUACACUCGUCCACUUGUUUGUUUUGUCUUUUUCAAAAAUACACAAACACUUUUUUUUUCAGCGCGCCAUCUUAAGUUUGCUUUUUGUUGCAUUCGUCCACUUCCGUCUAAUUUCCGUUAGUGGAUUUAACAGAAUGUUAACAAAAUGACCUUUUUACCCCUCAAAAUUACAAUUUAACCCAAAAUAAAUAGAAAUUGGAGAUAAAUUAAAUGGAUUUAAUUUUUUUAAAAGGUGAAUGCUAGAAAUUGAAGGAAAAUAGUGUUUGUUGCUUGCUAAAUUUAGAAAAUUUAUAUUUAUUUUUUUGAAAGAGAAAAAAUAACUAAGUAGUUCAGGAGAUCUAUUCCUCCAACUUCCCCUAUGUGACUCAGUAUUCCGAUGGUAAAGUGAAACUAUCGUUCAGGAGAUCUACCUCAUCCAGAUUUUCUGAUAAAGCGUCGUGCUCAAGCAAUCCUUCAUUAGAAAGGAAAUUUACAAAAAUACCCUCUGUUAUAAAUCUCCCUUUUCAGUCCAUAAAAAGUCAACCUAGGUUUUCUACUUCAUAUAUACCUAGUACCUCCAUUCGAUCAGUUGAUUACACCACUAGUGUUCCUCAUCCGAUCUACACUAGUAAUCAACAUGUACAAAGUCAGGAAGAGAAGGAACCUUCUCCUCCAACUUCCCCUACAUUUUCUGCUGUUACAGAAAAUGUCAUUAAUGUCAUUGAAAAAGAAUUUGAAUUAGAUAAAACUUUUCUGCAUAAUGAUUUUUAUUAUGAUUUAAACAAAGAAAAAAGACUUUGGUUUUUCAAACACUUUUUAAACCAAAGAAAAGAAAUCCAACAAACUUACUAUGAAUUUGUGAAUUUUCAUAAAAUUCAUAUAUUGUUUUUUGAUUGGUUUGAGAUAUAUUCUUCUGAUAACAACAUCUCUUAUCCUUUUAAAGAGUCAAACCCUAUUACUAUUAGGAAGAAAGUUCCUGAAUGGAAACUUCUUGAUAGUGAUAGAACUAUAGAGUCUGAACACCCACCUCUUCGGAGUGUAACCGUUGAUCACGGUGAACCUCCUGUCCAAAUUCGAGCUUCACCUUACAAAAUUCCAAAACCAAAUGAUUCUGAGGCAAAUUUAAGUAGUAUUAUCCAACAGAAUAAUUUCUGUAAUACUAACUUAAAUACAAUCGGAAAGCAGUUGACUAGGAUAGAAAACCAAAUCCAGAAGUCAACCAUUACUGUUCCAUCAAUUUCUCCUAUUCCAACAAAAUCGGAUUCUGACAAAAAGCUUAAGGAACCUAUUUUCAAACCCUUUCAGGUUUCGAAAACUAGCCAAAAGCUUGUUCAAGAGUCAAAAUCAGAUUUUGCUAAAGCCAUUAGAGAACAAUUAGAUAUGAUAGAAGCUGCUUCUUCCUCAUCUAGCAAAGUUCAGAUAGCCCCUGAUACUCCUCAAUCUAGCAAGAUUGGAGUAUUAGAACAAGACCAAAUGUCUAUAGCCUCUUCUGAUAUAGAAGCCUUCAAAGAAGAACCUUCUACUCCUAAAGCCAACAAAAUUCAUUGGGAAUUAGCCCUUCCCACUGUCAAGACUCCACCGGAUCUAGCAAUAGAUAAUAGACCAAGUGCAUUAAAUCAAUCCCGAUAUAAUGCAUCUUCAGUCUAUGAGUGGAAUAUUGACGGUAUGUCCGAAUACAAUAUCCUAGGAUUGUUGCAACAAAUGACAAUGGCAGCCAAUGCCUAUAAAACCCAAGCAGGAACUUCUGAUCGUGCUAUAUCAGAAAUCCUCAUUGUCGGUUUUACUGGUCAAUUAAAAGGUUGGUGGGAUCAUCUUCUCACUAAUCAGCAACAAUUAGACAUUCUAAAUUCCAUUCAAGUUGAUGAAAAUGGAGUCCCUAUUCUUGAUGAGUUCAACAAUCCAAUCCAGGAUGCUGUUGCUACUCUAAUUUUAACCAUUUCCCUCCAUUUCAUUGGUGACCCUUCACACCUUCGUGAUAAAAACGCUGAGUUACUACACAAUUUAAGAUGUAGGAAACUUAGUGAAUUUCAAAGCUAUAAAACCUCAUUUUUUACCAGACUAUUUCUAAGAGAUGAUGCAAAUCAUAUAACUUCGAAAGCAAAAUUUCUUGCUGGAUUACCUACCCUUCUAGGUGAAAAAGUAAGAAAUUCCAUCAAAGCCCUUUAUGAUAAUCGUAUUCCUUAUGACGAGCUUACCUACGGUGAACUUGUCAGUUUCGUCAAUAAAGAAGGUUUAAAGAUUUGUCAAGAUUUGAAAUUACAGAAACGUCUUAAGUGGGAACUUAAAAAGUCUAAACAAGAGUUAGGCGGUUUCUGUAAACAAUUCAAUUAUGACCCCUUUAAAACUUCUUAUUCCAAAGAUUGUAAUAGCGAGUGUUCGACUAAACCCCGCAGGAAACAUUACAAAUCAAAAAUUUUUAGGAAACCCUUUCGUAAUUUUAGAGAACUUCCUUAUAAGAAACCUUCGAGGCCUUAUAAGAAACCCAAAUUAUCUAAAAGAAAAGAGUUUAGAGCCAAGCCAAAGACCCCUUUCAAUUACAAAGAAGCUAUAUGUCAUAAAUGUGGCAUGAAAGGUCAUACUGCAAAUUAUUGCAGGAUGAGCAAAACGUUUCAUGAACUUGACCUCGAUGAAGAGAUCCUCUCCAAAAUAGCCCCCCUUCUUGUCGAAUCUUCUGAUUCCGAAUCUUCCAUGUCGGGAGACAGUGAUCCAUAUCAAGUUGAUGAGCUUUUUGACUCAGAUGACUCUGUAUCUAGCAGUAGUGAAUCUGAAUCUGAUUCAUAUUCAAAGAAAAUCAAUGUUUUGACUAAAGACCAAGAAACUUUUCUUGAACUUGUAAAGCAUAUUUCUGAUCCAAAUCUUCAAAAAGAAUAUCUUGAUAAACUUUUGAAAACUUUGGAUUUUAAUAAAGCCGAGACUUCUAAAGUCCCAGUUGUUAAAAAGAAUUCUUAUGAUCUUACUCAAAUUUUGGAUAAAAAGAAAAUAAAAAAGACGGUUCCUAAUAUCCAAGAUCUUCAGAAAGAGAUAAAAGAAAUCAAAUGUGAAAUCAGAGAUUUAAAAGAAAAACAAAAAAGUGAUUCUGAUACUAUCCAACUUCUUUUACAAAAACAUUUGCAGGAUAAUUCAGACAAUGAAUCUAAUCCUGAUGAUGGUGAUGAUAUUAAAGUAGAAAACAUUGAGUCUGUACCCAAUGAUUUCCUAUUUGUUUUAAAGCAAAUCACCACAAGAAAGUAUUUGAUUAAAGUCACUUUAAUCUUUUCUGAUGAUUUUGCAAUGGACGCCAUUGCCCUUUUUGAUACUGGCGCGGAUUUAAAUUGCAUUAGAGAAGACAUCGUCCCCAAAAGAUUUCAUGAAAAGACAAAAGAAAGACUUUCUGCCGCUAAUAAUUCAAAACUGAAUGUCAGUUCCAAGGUUGAAGCCUCAAUCCAUAAUAAUGGUUUUGAUUUUAAAACUUCUUUUGUCCUCACAAAUGAUAUUCAUCAUGCCAUCAUUUUGGGAACUCCUUUUAUAAAUCUUAUAACUCCAUAUACUGUCAAUUACGAUAGUAUAUCCUUCAAAGCAAAAAAUAUAAACCUUGUUUUCCCUUUUAUUGAAAAACCUAAAACAAGGAAUUUGAAUAUCGUUAAAGCCUGUUCUGUUUAUCAAAACAGAAUAAAUAACCUACUUAAUUCAAAACAGUGUGAUCUAAUGUUUUUACAAAAGGAUUUAAACUUACAAAGAAUUGAAAGCCAAUUACAAAGAGAUUUCAUUAAAAGAAAGAUUUCUGAUUUCAAAACUCUCAUUGAAAAAGAAAUUUGUGCUGAUCUACCUUCUGCUUUUUGGAACAGAAAACAACACAUGGUAGAUCUACCCUAUGAAACUUCUUUUCAUGAAAGACAGAUCCCCACUAAAGCACGUCCAAUCCAGAUGAACAUGGAAUUGGAACAACAUUGCAAAAAUGAAAUCAAGGAUUUAGAGUCAAAAGGACUCAUUGUUAAGUCAAGAUCCCCAUGGUCUUGUACCGCUUUUUAUGUUAAUAAAAAUUCUGAAAUUGAAAGAGGUACUCCUAGAUUAGUUAUAAACUACAAACCUCUUAAUAAUGCCCUAAAAUGGAUUAGGUAUCCAAUACCUAAUAAAAAGGAUUUACUUCAAAAACUAUGUUCUGCUCUUAUUUUUUCAAAAUUCGACAUGAAAUCUGGUUUUUGGCAAAUUCAAAUUCAUCCUAAAGAUCGUUACAAAACUGCUUUUACUGUUCCAUUUGGACAGUAUGAGUGGACUGUUAUGCCCUUUGGUUUAAAGAAUGCACCCUCAGAAUUUCAAAGAAUUAUGAAUGAUAUUUAUAAUCCUUAUUCUGAUUUUUGCAUUGUUUACAUUGACGAUGUGUUGAUAUUUUCAAAUACAAUCGAUCAUUUUCAAACAUUUAAAGACUUUUUAUUUUGCUACCAGAAAGGCUGGAUUGGCAAUCUCUAGCUCUAAAGUUUCUUUAUUUCAAACAAAAGUCAGAUUCCUUGGUCAUCAUAUUUCUAAAGGAACAAUCACUCCAAUUGAGCGAUCCCUUUUGUUUGCAGAUAAAUUCCCUGAUAAAAUUCUUGACAAAACCCAAUUACAAAGAUUUCUUGGAAGUUUAAAUUAUGUUCUUGAUUUCUGUCCUAACAUUAAUAGGAUGUCUAAACCCUUGCAUGAUAGAUUAAAGAAAAAACCUGUUCCUUGGACAGAUGAACAUACCAAGGUUGUAAAGCUUAUAAAAAAUUCUGCUAAAACCAUCCCAUGUUUAUAUCUUGCUAAUCCUACAUUACCUAAAAUUGUUGAAACUGAUGCAUCUGAUUUAGGUUAUGGAGGCAUAUUAAAGCAAAAAGAAAAUGAUAAAGAGCAGAUAGUACAAUAUGUUUCUGCACAUUAGAAUGAUUGCCAGAAAAAUUAUUCUACUAUCAAAAAAGAAAUCCUUUCCAUUGUUUUAUGCAUUACAAAAUUUCAAAGUGAUUUAUUAAAUCAAAAAUUUCUACUUAGAAUUGAUUGCAAAGCUGCAAAACAUGUUUUGGAAAAAGAUGUUCAAAAUAUUACAUCAAAACAGAUUUUUGCACGAUGGCAAGCCAUUUUAAGUGUUUUUGAUUUUGAUAUUGAAUAUAUUAAAGGUGAUACAAAUUUUAUUCCUGAUUUUCUAACUUGGGAAUUUCUUCAAAACAGAUAAUGCCGCCGAAGAAGAAAGACAAAGGUAAAGCUGUUCUUAAAGACUCUGAAUCUAGAGCAACCUCUAAAGAACCCCAAGUUACCCCUUCUAAAGACAAAUUACUUUCCUCAGCCAUGCCUAUUAAAUCUUGGAUUGAAAUGGUUGAAGAACAUGGUACCCAUUACAAAACCACUUCUUCUGAUGACCAAGUAAAAAAAUGGAUGAGUUCCAUUACAAGGUCCCCUGAGCUUAUGCUCGCCUUACAAAACCUUUCCCAAAGCCAGAUUUUCUCAAAAGAAGAAAAAGAAAACUAUAUCUCCAAAGAAAUAUCAAAACCCUCUUCUCAAAAAGUGAUUGUUUCUGGUGAAAGCUCUUCUUCCCAAAUUGUGCUUUCCCAACCAUCACCUUCAAAGAAAACCUCUGAUUGGUUUGAUAAAACCCAUUUUCAAAAUAUUUUUUCUUUAGAAGAUGGAUUUUACCAUGCUGAUCCUUUUCAAGCAAUUUCAAAGUUUUUCCUAAGGGCUGGUUUUUUAAACCAUGAGAUUUAACAAAACCCCAGUCCUACUAUCAAAGCAUUUUAGAAAUCACUGAUUCAGUUAAGUUCAAACAUUUCUUUCUCAGUGAAUCACAUUCUGAACCAGCCUAUUCCACGGCUACUAUUUUAAAAGUUUUGAGCCCAAAUCAAUGGGGUGACCUACUCCAUAAUUUUAAAACUUUCCCUUUAAAUUUUCAAACACGUUUACCUCAUUGUCGGACUUAUUCCUACUGGGAUUACCAACAAGCCUGGUAUAACACCUUUUUUAUCCAAAAUCCCAAAAAAUCCCAUUCUUGGUUAUUUUUCUUCAACCCAAAAAUAACCGUCCAAAGCCUUCCAAACUGGUUCCAUCAUUGGUGGAAUACUUUUGGCCCAAUACCACAAAUUUUAACCCCGAAUGCCACCCAUUGUUUAAACCUCUUCAAAGUCCACUAUACUCCUUCUGAAUCUGAGAAAAGGUUUCCCCCCCUUUCUCUGUUUCUGUACAAAUUUCUUCCUUCCGUGGGUAUGGAUGUGGAACCUUAGGCUUCAUACCCAAGAUUCCCAACUCAUCCUUCAAAGAACCUUUAAAGUAAAAUGGUGGUCCAAAUUUGACGAACAGUCAAAAUUGACUGAAAAUUUGGUCCGAGAUUGGCUCUCUGCCAAAGGCCUUCUUCAACCCACCAUAACACAUUCCAAAGCCCAACAAACCUUUUUGACCCAAAAGUCCAAAGCCCAAUCACUAUUGGCAGGUGCCAAAACAGAAGAAGAAUACUUCAAAGCCAUGGAACAGCUCCUCGCCUCCUGGUCAAAGUCAUCAGUGGCUGACACCUCUGAAGACGAAGAUGAAGAUGAAGAUGAAGAACCAUUCAUUUCUCUUGGAGACGAAAAUGAAGAUGAUUGUUUUGGAAUUUUUUCUCCUUUAAAGCAUUGUAAAUAACUAUUUAGUUAUUUACUUAAAAAAAAAUUAUUAUUUGUUCUGUAUAUUCGGGUGGUCCUCUGGACACAAGUGAGAGCGCACAUGUCUCUUCACCCGUAUCGUAUUUCAAUUUUUGUACAAAGAAUCGACUAUUCAAAGAUACGAUCCAAAUGUUACUGUGCACUUAAAGCUCCGCUACAGUGAACAGUGCAAAUUCCCAGAGUUUACUGUUCACUUAAAAUCCCGCUACAGUGAACAGUUUAAAGAUCUUUGUAUAAAAACCGAGAGGAAGACUCAGACUCCUCAGGUUUUUCAUUUUCUAAGUUUAGAACUUCUCUCUCUUCUUCUCUCCCUUCUCUCUAGAAUUCUCUCUCUCUCUCUCUCCGGGAAUAGGAAUCUGGAAUCCGAAGACAAAAAGGAAUUUCUCAUGUCUUCAGAUUAAUUUCUCAUUAUUUUCCUUUCUUCUCUACAAAGAAAACCAACCGAUGUAAGCAUUUCAUUCCAGUUUUAUUAAAGCAUAUAAAGCAAUUUACUUUCCGCACUUUAAAUUUCAGCAAUUUAAAUUUCAGCAAUUUAAAUUUCAGCAAUUUAAUUUCAUGUAACAUUUAAAUUUCCGCAAUUUACAUUUAAAGCAUUUAAAUUUCAGUCUUUUAAAGCUUUCCAUGCAUGCUCAGCAGACUGAUCUGUAUCAGAUCUGCCAUAUAAAUUGUACGUUCCUCUGAGGCAAAGAGACCAGAUCUCGAUCCUCAAUUGUAAAUCUUCUCUUCUCCCUCCAUUCCUUCAGAGCACCAUUUCCGGGAACCGGAUCUGGUACUGUGUUUGUACCCAAGCCUUUAGAUGUAUGUGUUGCUAGGCUUGCUAAAGAAUUUAAUAAAGAUUUGGUAAAUUGUUUAAAAUCUGACAACCGCGUUUAAAGAACUUAAUUAUUAUUUGGUAAAGCAAAAUUAAGUUGAUAUAUCGGCUGGAAACCCGAACGUGCGGGCUAUUGAUCUGUUCUAAGUCAGAUCUGGGUCCAAAGGCAGAUACUUAAUCUGCAUCAUUCUGGUUUAACAACGCCACGUACUAAUAUAAAACCUGACCAACCGCGAUCCAAAGCAAAUCUACUUAAUCUAAAGUUGGUAACUGAAUUUAAAAUUUGAACAACCGCGAUCCAAUUUGUUUUUAUCUAAAGCAAUCAAUAAAGAAUUAUUUCGAAAACACAUCGAUCCUUCGAUCCUAUUUCCUUCUGGUAUCAGAGCUUGAGUUCAUGAAGCAUUUUGCUCAUCCUGCAAUAAUUUGCAGUAUGACCUUUCAUGCCACAUUUAUGACAUAUAGCUUCUUUGUAAUUGAAAGGGGUCUUUGGCUUGGCUCUAAACUCUUUCUCUUUUAUUUUUUUGAAAGAGAAAAAAUAAAUACAAAUUUUCUAAAUCUAGCAAGUAACAAACACUAUUUUCCUCUAAAAAAUAAAUACAAAUUUUCUAAAUUUAGCAAGCAACAAACAUUAUUUUCCUCCAAUUUCUAGCAUCCACCUUUGAAAAAAAUUCAAUCCAUCCAAUUUAUCUCCAAUUUCUAUUUAUUUUGGGUUAAAUUAUAAUUUUGAGGGGUAAAAAAGUCAUUCCGUUAAAUUUGCUAACGGAAAUUAGACGGAAGUGGAAGAAUGCAACAAAAAACAAACUUCAGGUGGCGCAGUGGAAAAAAAAAAGUGUUUGUGUAUUUUUGAAAAAGACAAAACAAACAGGUGGACGGUUGUAAAUUUCUCAAAAGGAAAUUAUGAAUUUUGUAAAGUACCUUAGCAAAUUUUGCUUUUGCUAACUUUGUUACUGUUUUAAUUGCAUUCUAUUCCACAGUCGAAAUCUUUCUGCUUUUUGGCCCGACUCUAACAAGACAACCUAACUUCCAAGCUUUCAACUUUCCCCAAGCUCUCUGGCACAUUUUCAAGUGUGGAGCAGUCAAAAAGAUGCAACGUUCUAAGAGAUCUCAAACCAUUUAUGGUACUUGGAAGACUCUCUAGAUUUUUCCAAUCUUUCAAAUUCAACAAGACAAGGCCAGAAAGACGUUCAAUAGAUGCUCGCAACUUACAGUUCCUUCCAAAUGAAGCUUCAACAGCUGCUCCCUGCUUGAAGUUAUCUCUCUCUGAAUUUCCAAAGGCCAGAAGAUUAUAGAUGCUUUAGAGCACUUAUGGUACUUGGAAGUUUUGCAGCCAUUCAAAGUCAAUGAACAAGUCCAAAUAGAAGUUCAAUUGAUAAUGGCAGUUCUUUAAUACCAGUUCCAUCCAAAAGAACUUCCCACAAUGUCUGGAAAUUUCUUCAAUUUCAAGCAACCAGGAAGAACAAGUGUCUUAAGAGAUUUCAUAAAAAUCUUGCCUAGAAGAGUUGUAAGAUUUGCACAACCUUUCAAAUUUAAUAAAAUCAGCUUCUUUGAAGCAGCAAAGAUGAGUGUAUCUCACGCAAACUUGUACAUUCUUCGAGAAUCAGAUCCUCCAAAUUUGGUACCCUUGUGAAGUCUGGUGUCCUUAUGAGGUUCUCAGAAUGCUUGAGACUCAUGAUUUUCAACUUGCUCAAAGGCUAUAAGAAACAAAAUGGCACAGCAAAUACGUGCUUUUCUCAAUUUGUCACAUUACUUAAAAUUAUCAAUAAGCAUUUACUGAAAACUAUAUCGCAAAAAAGCUGAUUUUAUUGAGGAAAUCAAUAAAGUUAGUUGUUGGAAUAACUAAUUGAUUAAAUAAACACUGGGUUUGCACUGUGUUUGCGUAAAAUUCUGUUAAAGACAUGCAUACAUAAAUUACUGAGUCGCUGAAAAUAUGAAAUUAACUGCCUCAGUGACUCUUUUAGAUAUAUUGGAUCAAAACAAUACAAAUUGAUAGUGAAGGAAUCUUAAAAUACCUGCUCACUGUUCACUAGGUGAGUAACCUUAGUGUUAGAAAAUCAAUUUUUGAGGAUAAGAAUGGUUACCUGUCCUUCAACUCCCAGCCAGAGAUAUUAGCCACCUCUUGAAAGCGUCUCUCCACUCUUGAAAGCUUCUUCAUUUUUAGAAAAAGCUUCUUGAAAACUUCCUGUUUGUUUCCUUAUCACAAUACUUGGUAGAAAAUUGGAAACAUCAUUUGUUGAUGAUCACUUGUGUUCUUCCAUUCAACAAUCUUAACAAGUUCAUCCAAGCACCAAGUCAAAAAAGCAUAGUUUCUUGAGAAAAUAUAACUGAAAUUCUUGAUUUUUCAAUUGCUUCAAAUAGUUCUGGUGAAAUGGAUUUUCCUCUGUCACAUUCUGUCAUUGCUGAAUACAAUGAUUCCUUUUUUAUCCAAAGCACAUAUAAUGGUCUGUGAAAUUUUUUGCAAGUGUCCUUGCCUCUGAACUCAAGAACACUUUGUAUUUCAAUUACAGAGAGGAGAUGGGACAUAAAAAAAACUCCCCGGAUUGCUCAUGAUUCAAGCAAUAACUGGAUGCUCAUGAUUCAAGCAAUUGAUUCCACAACAAAGUUGCAACAAGUACCAGAAAAUUGAUUUUGCAAUAGAUAAUUGUCGCUUAUAUAAUGGUAAUCACCAAAAAAAAAAAAACAGUUAUGAAAGCAAACAAAAUUCGAUGUGGAGCCGAAAAUGGAAAACCCACACUACCAGAAAAUUUGCAACAAGUUCGAGCCUUGGCAACAAGAGAUUAAAAUUUCCUCGUAAAUCGAAUUAUGUGAAACACUUAGUACAUAAAAUAUGAAAAGUCAAACAUAACUGAAAUACAAGAGUAAGUAAACACUAAAAUGUAAGAAAAUAACUUACAGCUUUGAGUGCAUUGUUCCACUGCAAGAUGAAGUUUUACCUGAAUUCAAUUAAGGGUGCGUUUGGGAUUGAGAUUGGGCAGCUGUAGCUUAAAAGCUACAGCACUAAAGUGUUUGGUAAACAUUAGCUGCUGUAGCUUUUAAGCUAUGUUGAUAUGAUUUUUCACUUGUAUAAUAUAAAAUUUAUUAUAUCUUUAAUAAUUUUAUCAAAAUUAUUAUUUAAAAUUUAUAUUUACUAUAUAUUAUUAACUUUUGUUUCAUAAUUACAGCUUUUUUUUCACAAUAGCUGUAGCUUAAAAGCUACAGCACCUCAAUCUCAAACGCACCCUAAGUUUGUUUCAAAUAAAUCGAUAAGAGGAUUUUAUGCGUUCUAGUUAUUAAUUUCUCCUCUUUUGGUAGCUACAGCAAGUCUAGCAAAAGUGUUCACAAAAGAUAAUACUAAAGGAUCUGUGGUCUACAGUGGUGUUUCCAAUGAUCAUAUUUUCUACAAAAAAAAAGGUAAAAUAAAUUAAUUCAAAACGAACCUGAAGGUGACACAGACCAAUUUGCCAUUUGCUAUCUUUGAGCUCCCAAACUCCAAGCAUUGGUUUGUUUUGGCCUGUAUAAGCCAUGGUUGCCUGUUCCUCCUUGACAGACGCAAGCUGAUGUUGCUGUUGAAGAUAGCUGCUGCUCUUUCUCAGUCUCUUCCAUUGUUGUAGUACUGGUGAAGAAGGGGUAGAAAAUCUGAGUCUGAGUUUCAUAGCUAGAUCAGUUCUGCUAUUCAUUGCUAGCCGCCCUCAUCCACAUUCUUGAUGCAUGAAUCUGAAUCAUUCUCUCGAACAACACUGAAAGGAAUGCACAUAUAAGUAAAACAGUAUUGCAUGUUAUAAAGGAUAUUAUGAAGUUUGUAAACCACAUGAGCAAGGGAGUAUAUCAAUAUCAUAGUUUCGCAAUUGUCCGGCAUCCCUCGCUGCAAUUUUUGCUGCUGCUAACCUUGUUACUGUCUCAACUGCACUCUUUUCCACAGAGUUGAAAUCAUUCUGCUUUUUGGCCUCCGUUGUCUGCACCCAGACCUUCACAAAUUGACCAUAUUGAUUGAUUGCUUUUGCUUGGGAAAUCAUAGAGUUGAUGCAACACACCAGGUGGGAUGCACUUUCCUUCUUGGGCAUAUUAUCGAACAUGUCCUAGGCAUGAGAAUGGCCUGCAAAUUCCAUAUAAUCAUUCCUUUUUCUAUUUUUGUUUGUUCUGAAGCUAAGUCAAGCUGAGAUCGAUCAUAUUCAUAUUUUUUAUUCUUCUUAAAAUCCUCAACAUUUGCCCCCCAAGCAUUAUAGCCUCAAUCCCUAGUUUCAACUAUUUAAACCCGUAAAAAUUCUCUGAAAAUCAUAGAAGUACAUUUAAUUAUAGGUAUAUUAUUCAAAUCCUACACCUACAUCCAUGGCCAAUAAUGGCUUGAAGAGAUAUUAUUAAUGGAGGAUUUUAUGUUAAAAUCACAGAGGAAAUGACAAGGAAGAGAGUAACCUCAGUAACACUUUUUUAACUCUUCAAACGGACACAUUAAAGACUGCCAAUAAAUCAGCCCGCGUUUAUAUAUAGAUGCUGCUAACCACGGUGAACAAACUUGGACACCCAUCUAGACAGAAUGCCACGUCACUACCCCAUUAUUUGAGAUGCCUGCUUACUGAUAAAUUCAGAGAAUAAUAAAUUGCCUUUCCCCAUUAUUUGAGUUCGUCUUUGACUCUUUGAGGUUGUGGUUCCUCAUCAUCACAGCAGCCAUUCCACUGGCUUCUAUUCCAAAACCACAUUUAGUUUAUUUAUAUUAAUACUAUAUUUAUAUUUUAUUUUUAAAAUAUAAUAUCAAAUUUGGGUUACUGUAGUCAAGAGCAUAAUAAUAAUAAAAUUUUUUUACCGUUCUAAUGGAGGCAUAUUAAAUUUGGACUCUUUGAGGUUGUGCGUUUUAUUUUUAAAAUAUAUUAAUACUAUUCCAAAACCACUGGCUUUUUUUUACCGUUCUAAUGGAGAAUAAUAAUAUAUUAAAUAAAAUAUAUUUUAUUUAGUGAAUUUUAAAAUAAAAACUAUCCAGAUGCGAGUUCUGGAUUUCCGGGUUCAGGUAAAUGUGAAACCGGAAUCAGAUAUGCACGGGUUCAAAAUACAACUUUCGGAUCUGCAUUAUUUUAGCAUUGAACCCAGUCCGGAUCAUCCGGGUUUAUCCGGGUUUUGGUUAAGUUGCCAUCCCUAAACCCAAUGAUGAAGCUUUGGACGUGUUCUUCAUCAUUAAGGCUGAAGCUAAUUAUUUGACUGACUUUUUCAUCAUCCCGGCUGCCGCUUUCACUGGUCUCUGCCCUGUCAUAUUCAUCAAUGAGGCUUCUCUCAAACAGCGUUUUUGAUCCUGAAGAAUCGUGAUUGAAGUCGUUCAAAUUCCAAACAGGAGUUGUUUUGUUGAACUUCUCCACUUGAAUCUCAUAUCCUGGAUGGAAACCACACCUCUUCACCUCCAAUCCCGACGAAGAUUCAAAUGACAACACCCCAUUAUUCAUUCCAAACAAAUGUACAUUGGGCUCAUAGUGUAGCCAAAAAUGUUCUGACACAGCCUGACCGAAUUGCUUUCUGAACAUAGGAGUAGAAAUCCAAGUAUCACCGCCAUCACAUUUGAUUUUGCAGUCCAGCUUAUGAAGAUGACUAAACCACUCUAGAUAAGGAGGUGAAUGCUUAUGGACUUGAAAAACACAGUACAUAGCAUAUCCCACAAGCUUAGUGUUCUUAUACGUCUUUGAAGACCAGCUUAUUCUUAGUGAAGAACCCUCAUCAUUACGAUGCUCGAACCACUCUGGGAUUUUACUUCCAGGAACAACAAUGCUACAAUAUUUGUGAUAAUCUGACAUAUCCUGCAACCCCGAAAAAAUAAAUAAAUAAUAUAAAAGCCAUACCAUUGCAUAAUUUUUAAUUUAGGCAUAAUAUUAGCACUGGUGAGAGAUAGUGAGAGACUGACUUCAUACUGUUCCAUGUGCUCUUUCAGCAGUGAAAGCGCCAAAUCAUUGUUGCCAAGCAGUUUCACGCAGUCCAUACAUUGAAUUUCAAAGUCCUUUAGCUUGUUUAAUUCUAAUGGAUCUGAUACUGUCUCCAAUGAAGCACAACUAUUUACACCAGCGAUUCUCAUUCUGGCUGGAAGUGGAGGCAGAGAUUGAAGCUUCUUGCAACCAUUCAAAUCUAGGCUUUCAAGCUCAGAAAGAUGGCUAAUGCUUGCUGGCAGAGAAACAAAACUGUUGUUACUCAAACAUAGAACUUUCAACGAGCGUAAGUUUCCAAUAUCAUUUGGGAUUGAUCCUUCCCCUAGAUUACAGUCACUGAUAUCCAAUUUUGUUAAAGAACACAAACUGGACAGAGAAGGCGGCAAACUCAAAGCCACCGGAUCUGAACUCCUUCGCAUCAAAUUGAUCAGGAAGCGCAGAAACCAUGACUUAGAUGAUGGUGAUCCUUUGCACCCUCCACAAGAUAGUUCUUUGAGAUUCUUCAUAAAAAAAAUCAACGAUGGAGGUUGCCUUAUAGCUAUUUUGGAUGCUCGUAGAAGCCAUUGUCUAUUAAUUUGUUCCAGAAAAUUUAAAAUAACUCACGUGAAAUCCUGGGAUCAAUAUGAUGGGAUUCGGUUGAAUUUUUUGUAUACGGUUUGCUAUAACUUUUGAAAGGAGCAUGCGUCGCGUCUUACGUCAUUCAUUGUUGUGUUGGUUACCUUAUACCACAAGUAAUUUCCGAGAAAUUUCUUGCUUUGGACAAAAAUAAAUAAUUCAAAAAUAAUAAUAAUCACGAUGACUUUUUAAUUUGACAAAUAUUACCUGUCAACAGCUUUUCCUUCAUCUUCUUCGUAUGCCCUGAAAGAUUUUACCAAACACACCAUAUGGCUCUUUCCGAUCAAUUGGCAAACGCGCCUGAAGAUAUCUCGACAGAGAGAUUACGAUCUUGGCUUUAUCGUUCUUUUUGGCUGGAGAUGACAAGAAUAAUCGGAGGGACAACCGGUUAUGCUGAAGAUGAUGAAAAUCCCAAUUGUACUGAAAAAGAUGAAAUCAGAAAGGCAUCUAUUUCCGACCUCCAACCCAAAACUGUUCGUAUAGGGUUUCCGUCACGGUGGCUGGAGAAGUUGAUUGAUCGUCCAACUAGGGCAGAGAAUUUGGCGUAAGUAUCUCGUCGAUUUGAAGAAUUCAAGAAACGGGUCUUCACACGCAGCUAAUGUUAAGGAAUCUUCAUAUCAAAAUUUCCCUGCGCUGUCGAGGAUGGACAGGGAGACGGUCUCUGAUUCCUGUCAUGCUCAAGAUGAAAAAAUCAGAACGGCACCUAUUAAUCCCAUCUCCGACUUCCAGGACCCAGCUGGUCGAGCUAGCAUAGAGCAAGUGGUAAUACUUUCUUUGUCAUUAAGAUCAGCCCAUGUUUCGCGAAUUUGGUAUGAUUGGGAGAGUCCGUCUUUAUGUGGAAUUAACCUUCCAACUGAACCUCGGGCAGAUGUCCGUACUGAACGUCUUGAGUUAGCGUUGGAUAAACCGCUGGCCGUCAAAUGGAAGAAUUCAAGAAAGUGGCCUGAUACGCUGCCUCAAGUGGAAAAACUUUUGGCACAGAUUAAUGGUUGGCCUGAUCUGAAGCCAUAUAACAUGUUUGGAACAACUGCUUUUAGAAGUCAGCCGCAUUGGGGAGACAAUGGUGGUGAGAAAGAACAUUGAAACGGAUGCAUAUGGAAGUAAUACAGUUUGCAUGUUAAAAAGGAAAUUAUGAAUUUUGUAAAGUACUUGAGCAAAUGGCAUAUGAUGCAUAUAACAAAGUCGCCUUUGUUCUCCCAACAAAUGCGACUUCCUUGCGACUCGAACUGGGGAGCAAACCCAGUCAAGCCAUUUAAGGAGACUCCAUUGCCAGUAGAGCCAACACUUUAUUGGUUCGAGCGGGGACUUCUAGUCUGGGUUGUGGUACAGGCUUAAAGGUGCCUCCCACAGUUGGGGCCCUCCUCAGGAUACCUCGUGGUCAAAAACUAAAAAAAAAAAAAAAAAAAAGUACUUGAGCCAAUGGCAUCCCUGAAGCAAUUUUUGCAUUUUCUAGCUUUGUCACUGUCUUAAAUGCAUUCUGCUCCAUAGAGUACGCCUCUGUUCUGUGCACAUAAAUCUUCUCUUCAAGCAAAACUGCCGUAAUAUCAGAUUCUAUAGCACCGCACGAUGAUUGGUUAGUGACCAAUCAAUACCCUUGAUCUUGAACAAGCGCAAAUAUUUCAGGUCGAAGAAAAGAAGUAAGAUUAAUCAGAGCAAUCAAUCAAGAACAGAGCACAAACUAGAAAAAUUGAAGAACAAGAAGAGAGUUUCAUGCUCUUUCUUUCCUAAAGAAAUCAACCGACAAUCUUUAAAACCAUACCUCAUUUGCUUCCUAAAUCACAGUACUUACAGAGUCAUCAAGCCUAGAAAGAUUGCCUAACGCUCAGCUAACAAACCCAGAAAAGUCAACCAACACUUUUUCUAACCAAUUCUUUUGACCAAGACAGCAACGCCAAUAACAGCUUUUCCCGCUAAAUACAGAUGUCUCAGUUUAAGCAAAUGCACGCCUGACAACUUUCGAGUUAUUACGAGCUAACCUCAGCGAGUUUACAAAUCUUAUAAACACACCCCUCAAUUUAUAUUAUUGAAUCAGACUCCAUUCGCCAGUUCCUCUCUUGAGCUUGGCCUGCAAUUCCAUGUAAUAUAUAACUCGAGAUCGAUAAUCUACAUAUUUGUCUUUCAUCCUUCCAAUGCGUGGCUUUAUGAGAAGAUUACGGGGGUGCCAAGGCUCAACGAAAGUCGAAAAGCCCAAAUUAAAUAAGCACAGUAAAAUUCAACAAAAUUCCAAUAUCAUCAGAUGGGAAUGGGCCUUGGGGAUGCUAAGAUGUUGUGACACUACCUGUCAGCGGCUAUGAACAAUAAUUUUUUGCCGAAUACAUUUAUUUGAUAGAUCCUUACAUAAAAUAUAAGUAGUAUUGAUAAUUUCACUUCAUCCAUCUCUGAAACUAACAAGAGUAAAUUUAACCUAAACACUGGUCAUUCAAUCUCAUUUUCCUCUAUAAAGCAAUUUAAUUUAUACAGUUUGUUUAACAAUUUAAUUUGUACAGUUUAUUUAAUUUGCAGCAUUUUGUCAGACUUGGUAUUGGUUUAAUUUAUAAUGUUGAUAACUAAAACUCAGAAGGCGCUGGAGCUAUUCAAGUAAAAUCUAAAAAAAUUAAGUAAGAAUCUCAACAAAGGAAAAUCCAUAUCAGCUUCAAGUGCUAUAUAAUUUAGAAUAAGCUUAGCUGAGCUACUCAAAUAGAAAGAACAGCAGAAGCUGCACGCCGACAAUAAAAAUAAUAAUAAUCAGAUUGCAAUGACCUAAUUAUUAGUUUAUUGUUCACUCGUAGCAAUGCAAUUGAUGUAGGAUAGUUGUGUAGGAUAAAUAGAGUAUCUUUCCGAAGACAUAAGUUCUAAGUGUCCGUUUGAGACAUAUAAUACUAUUUCAAAGCUUACAAUGAGACGAAUCUAAACUAAUAUGACUGUACCAAAAGAAAAAAAUCAAUCAGAUUGAGAUGGCCUAAUUAGUGUACUGUUUACUCGUAUCGAUGCUACAAUUCGUCAAUUAUGUAUUCAAAAAAUGAGAGAGCUUCAAGAAGAGACAAUGCUGCAAUGAAACAGGCAUAAUAAGGAUAUAAAGCAGAGGUUUACUUCAGUCCUUUAUUUUUUUUCCUUUCUUUAAUUUUCAGCUCAUGAGAAAUCACAAAAUUCAAAGCUUCAAUUUGAUCGUGCACGAAAGCAAUUUUGAUUCUUGCAAGACAUAUUUUGAUUCUGACCAACUAUUUCACCCUAGCCGAGCAUUUUCUUGUGAUUUAACCCAAAAAAAAAAAAAACUGCAAGAGAAGAUAUAGUAAAUAAAUAAAAAGAAAGCAAAUGAAAUACCAUAUGAAAAGAAAAUAAAUUAUUGAAAUCGAGAUGCAUACUUUCACAAAAAUGCAGAGAAUAAGUAACAAGUAGGCUUUGCCCUUCAUUCGAGUUGUCUAAAUCUUUUAAGAAGUGGCUCUUCAACAUCAUCACAGCAGCCACUGCCACUGGCUUCAGUUGCCCCAAUAUUUUCUGCUCGGCUUCGCUUUGAUGCUGUGGCUACUUCCGAAUUUGAUCCAACAAAAUUGUGAUGGAAUUCGUUCAGAUUAUAAGAAGUAAAGCGAGUCCAUUUCUUUGUUGUUUGGUCAAACUCCUCGACUUCGUGCAUAUAAACUGGAUGGAAACCGCACCUUUUCACCUUCAAUCCAGGACCUGACUGAGGUUUAAAUGACAACUCAAUAUGAUCAGAUUCAAAAUGCCAAUUAGUAUCAUAGCAGCGUUGACGAGACAAAUAGAGUAGCCAAAGAUGGUCUGACCCACAACGACCAAAUUUCUCUCUAAAAUCUACAAAGUAAAAGGUAUUAGAACCGACCAUUUCGCAGUGCAAUUGAUGUGUGGGAUAUGAAUGCCAUAAUUUGAUACCGGUUGAAUGUUUAGGGACAUGAAAAACAGAGCAAAUAGCAUAUCCCACAACCCUAUUCUUAUUAUACAAAUAUGAAGGCCUUCUGACAGUAAUUGAUGAACCCUCAUUCUGAUACAUGAACCACUUGGGAAUUUCGCUUCCUGGAACAACAAUGAAGAAAAAAUUUCUUUGAUCUGACACUUCCUGCAACCAAAAAAUAAAAAAUUAAGGAGUCCAUAUCAUUACUCAAUUUUCGGGCAUAAUUACAGCAUAGCUGGAAGACACGGAGUGAGAGACUGACCUUAAGGUACUCUCGUAGCAUUGAAAAUUCCAGACCGUUGUUUCCGAGCAAUUUCAAGCUGCCUAUACAAUUAAUUAAUGUGCAAUAGGACUUGCGCAGUUUUAAUGCACCUAACAAUGUCACCAACGAAGCACAACCAUUCACUUUAACUUUCUUUACGUUGGGUGGAAGUUGUGGCAGAGAUUGAAGCCUUUUACAAUCUUCCAACACCAAUAUUUCAAGCUUAAAAAGACGAUUAAUGCUUGCCGGUAGCGAAACAAAAUUGUUUCCGCUCAGAUACAAUUUUUUUAAUGAGUAUAAGUUGCCAAUAUCACUCGGGAUUGUUCCUUCCCGUAGAUCACAGUAACUGAGAUCCAAUUUGCUUAAAGAGCACAAACCUGACAGAGAAAUCAACCUUAAAGCCCCUAGGUCUGAACUCCUUCGCAUCCAAUUGAAGAGAAAUUGCAAAUGCCAUGAUGUAGACGACGGUUGUCCAUAGCACCCAGAAAAAGAUAGAGUUUUAAGAUUCUUCAUAAGAAAAAUGGAGGAUGCAGGUCGCCUUAUAGCUGUUCCGCUUAUAUCAAGUUCUUCCAGACUUUCUAUUUGCCCAAGCGUCUCUGGCACAUUUUCAAGUUUGGAGCAUCCUGAGAGAUUUAGAGUUUGAAGAUAUUUCAAACCAUUUAUACCGCUGGGAAGUCUCACUAGAUUGUUGCAGUUAUUCAAAUUUAGCAAUUGAAGUCCGGUCAAAAGUUCUAUAGAAGAUGGCACUUCUGUAAUGGAAGUUCCAUCUAAGAAGAGCUCCGUCAGAUCUUUCAUACUUCCCCAAAUCUCUGGAAACUUCCUAAACUUCGAGCAACCAGAGAGCUUAAGAGUUCUUAGGCAUUUUAAUCUUGUUAAAGAAAUUGAAAGACUCUUGAUAUUUUUGCAAUCUUUCAAAUUCAACAGAGUAAGUCCAGUUAGAUGUUGAAUUGAUAAUGGCAACUCUUCAAUAGUUGUUCUGUCUAAACAGAGUUCUGACAGAUCAUUCAUAUUUCCAUCAAACUCUAGAAACUUCUUUAUCAGUUUUGAGCAACCAGAAAGAACGAGUGUUUUAAGCGAUUUCAUAGAAAUCUUGGUUGGAAGAGUUGUAAGACUUGUACAAUCUUUCAGGUUCAAUAUGAUAAGCUUACUGUGAAGCAGUAAAGAUGGGUGAAUUUCACGCAGCCUUGUACAUCCUUCAAGAUCCAGCUCCUCUAAAUUUGAGACCUCUGUGAAGUUUGGUGUUUUAAUCAAGUCCUGUGAAUGGCUGAGUUUCAUGACUUUCAACAUGUUUAAAGGCUGUUGAAAACAAAAGCAGGAAAAAUGAUAUUUCUUAAUUUAUAUACAACUGUAAUACUAUCAACAAUUAUUCACAGAAAAAAUUCAAAUUAUUGACAAAAUUAUUGAUCUUACUUUGAUUCCCUUCCAUAAUUCUUCAAUGCGGCUGUAGCACAUUUUAAAUUCAACAGUUUUAUCCAAUUGCAGAUUUGAUGGCAAAGAUUUCAAAGGAUACCGAUGCCAAUCAAGUAAUCGCAACCUGUUAGAGAGGUAUUCUAGGCCUCCAGGAAGUUGCACAUUACUAAUUUUGAGCAGUCUUAGGUUGGUAAUUUUCGAAAAUGCUUUAGCACUUGCACUUAAGUAAACCUCAUUUUCAGGAAAGUAGGCAUUAAUUAUUAUUCCUUCCAUUACUUCACCUCCCUGAAAAUUAUAAGCAAACAAUAAGCAAAAUAAUAAUAAUAAUAAUAAUAAUAAUGUAAAGAUGUUGAAAAUUCGUCAGAGAUGUAAUUGGGAAAAAUAAAGUAGCAAGCAUCAACAAGUUUUUCAUUUAAUAAUUCACUUACUGUGUUUUCUAUCAACACUUGGCGUACUUCUUUUUCCUUCCAUAAUCUGCUGCGUUUCCCAGGUUCUUCGGGGGACUGUCUCGUGACAAUCAGUUGUCCCAAUUCUUGUAACAAAUCAUGCAUCCCCAGUGUGUUGUCGUCAUCAACUAUUAAAAGAGAUCUUUCAAUAAGAACUUCUAUUCCAAUGACAGGGAAAAAACCACAUCCCUCUAGAAUUUUUGUUACAUAAUCUCUAUUCUUCCCUUUAAAGAAACAUGCAAUAUCAAGAAAUAUUUUCUUCUCAGAAUCUUGUAGUCGGUCAAAACUUAUUUGAAGUAUACUCAUAAUCUUCUUUGGAGGAUCUAUUUGAAGUCUUUCCAGGGUACUUCUCCAUUGCUCCACAGAUCUAACAUUCAAAAAGGAACCUAAAACUUCGAUAGCUAAUGGAAUACCACCAGCAUAAUUUACAAAACGUUCAGAUAGCUGCACAUGUUCUUCCAAAGGCUGAUUGUUUUUAAAAGCUUUCAUGUUGAAGAGUUGAAGAGCUUCAUUGUAGUUUAGUCCAUUAGGCUUAUACACUUCAUCCACUCCAUUUGUCUUUAACAAACCUUCAUCUCUUGAUGUUAUGAUGAUCCUACUGCCUGAACCAUACCACCCAUGCUUUCCAGCUAAAUAUUCUAAUUGCUUUGAAUCAACCACAUCAUCAAUAACAAGAAGAACCUUCUUGUGUUGCAGCCUACUCCCUAAAAUGUUAAUGCCAUCAUCCUCAUUCCAUAUCCUAUUAUCUGUAAGCUUUAGUAAUUGGGAAACGAGUUGCCUUUGAAAAGAGAUUACACCACCUUCCCUUUCAGAUUUUUCUCUAACAUUAGCAAGAAAACUGCUUCCUUCAAAUUCAUGAGAGAUCAAGUCAUGUUAAGGAAGCUCAUCAAGCAUCAAAAGAAUGCACACACUUGGCACGUGUGAUUUGAUGUCCAGUCAGCUUAGCAGUUAGGAAUUAGAAUGACAGCUCAGCAAAGUCUGUUAUGUAAUCUCUGUAUUCUGUUAGUACUGUUUUGUGUUCAGCUUUGUGAUUAGCAGCAUGUAUAUAUAUAAUCAUUACAGCCGAGGUUUGUAAUUAAUGAAAUAACAAGCAAAGCAAUAAAAGAUUUGGAAUAUUCAUUUUCUUUCAUUUUCUCGAAAGCCAAACAAAUAUAUCAACUCUGUUUUUAACAUUUCAACAUGGUAUCAGAGCCACAGAGAGCAAGCUCUAGUAAUCAGCAAACAACUAAUACAAAUCAAUACACUCAAAUCAAUUUCUCUUUCAUGAAUCCAAUCAAACUAGAUCGCUCAAAUUACCUGCUAUGGCGUUCACAAGUUCUAGCUUCAAUUAGAGGAAAUCGACUGGAGGACUUCAUUACAGGAGACAAACCAGCACCUGAGAAAUAUCUUAUUCUUACUGGAGCUAAUGGAUCUACUCAGAAGGUUGAUAAUCCAGAGUAUCAGAAUUGGAGAUCACUGGAUCAAACCUUACUCGGAUGGUUGCUGUCAUCAAUAAAUGAAGGUAAUCUAAGCCUUGUUAUCAAUUGUGCAAGUUCGUUUGAUGUUUGGAAAACUCUAGAAAAGAAAUUUGGUGUUCAGUCUGAAGCUAGGGUUCUCCAGCUUAGAUAUGAAUUGAAUACUCUCAAAAAGGAGUCUUUAAAUGUUGAAGAUUAUUGCAUAAAAAUGAAGUCUAUAGCUGACAAGCUUGCUAGUGCUGGAAGUCCUAUAACAGAAAAAGAUCUUAUGUUAACCAUACUGAAUGGACUAGGAUCUGGUUUUCGUGAUAUUGCAACUUUCAUAACUGGAUCUAAAAUGGAGUAUGAUGAUGCUUAUGCAUUGUUACUUACACAUGAAACUAGACUAGAGCAAGAACAGGAAGAUAAAGGUAUGUUUAAUGCAAAUUAUGCAUACUAUCCCAAGAUGUUUUAUGCUCAAUCCAGAGGUAGUUUUAGAAGAGGAGGAUAUACUGGUGGUGGUUUUGGAAACUUUGGUGGUAGGAAUCAUAUUAUGGGGAGAGGUAAUGUUCACCCUCAGAGGUUUCAUUCUGGAGGUUUCAGAGGAGGAUAUGGUAGAGGAUACUCUCCUGGACAAACUAAUACUUUUAAUUCCUUUCAAGUACCUAGAAAUCCAUCACAAGUUGCUAGAGGUGGAUUCACUGGCUCAAAUGGAAUGCAAGGAAGUUCUGGAAAUUCAGAAGAGAUAACAUGUCAGAUAUGUUUUAAGACUGGUCAUACUGCUGAUGUCUGCUGGCAUAGGUUUGUUGAAGAUUACAUGCCUACACCAAGGGGUUUUGGAAAGGGUAAAGGACCAAGAGCAGCUUAUUUCAGUAAUUUUGAGGGCUUUACUCCUUAUCAAGGAUAUGAAGACUGUGAUAAUCUCAAUUACAUGUCACCAAAUGCUUAUUCUCCCUCUACUGCUAACAGUUACUCUGGAAGUGAGUCUUAUAUUCCUGCAGCAGCAUUUGUAGCCAAUUGUGAAGGACCUGCUGAUGAUGGCUGGUACUUGGAUAGUGGAGCUACUCAUCAUCUGACUAAUAACAUGGAUAAUCUGCAUCACAGGGAGGAAUAUAAAGGUAUGGAUCAACUUAUUAUUGGAAAUGGCCAAGGUUUGCACAUCUCUCAUAUUGGAAAUUCUUUUCUGUCAUAUAGAGCUUCAUCACACUCAAAUCUAAAGCCUACACACACUGCUAUAGCACUUAAAGACAUGUUACUUGUUCCAUCAAUUACCAAAAAUUUGUUGAGCAUUUCUAGAUUGACAUCUGACAACCCUUUAUCUGUCGAAUUUUGUGGUAAUGUUUGUUUUGUAAAGGACAUGAAGGGACAAGUGCUUCUGCAGGGUUUUGCUGAGAAAGGUCUAUACAAGCUGCUGCUGAAAACCAAAAACUCCUCACCUGCAUCUCACAUGUCUACCUUUCAAUUGAAUAAACCAGUGUCUAUGUUGUCCUUUUUGAAUAUUCCUUCAACUUCUCAAAAUUGUACAGCUCUUGAUAAAGCUUGUUAUCAUGCUAUUCAAAAUAAUUGUAACCAGAAACAUGAUGAUAUGACAAUUUUACAUAGACGAUUUGGACAUCCAAGUUCUGUCAUUCUGAUGCAUUUGCUUAACUCUUGUUCUAAGCUUAAAGUCUCUCAAAAAUCUGUUCACUCUUCUGCACUUAACUUGUGUGAAGCUUGUCAGCUAGGAAAAGUCCACAAACAGCACUUUCCAGCUACUGAAACAAAAACCAAACAGGUGUUAGAACUAAUUCAUACUGAUCUAUGGGGGCCAUCACCUACUGUGUCUAGGAAUGGUUAUAGGUAUUAUAUCAGUUUCAUUGAUGAUUACAGCAGAUAUACUUGGAUUUACCCACUUAAACUCAAAUCAGAAGCCUUUGAGGUUUUCAAGCUCUUUAAAAUCCAAGUUGAAAAUCAGUUUAACACUCAGGUCAAGAUGUUGCAAUCUGACUGGGGGGGAGAAUAUAGAGUGUUUAAUGAUUUUCUUAACCAAAGUGGGAUUCUCUUCAGGCAUUCAUGUCCAUACACUCAUCAUCAAAAUGGUUUGGUUGAGAGGAAACAUAGGCAUAUAGUUGAGCUAGGAUUAACUCUUUUAGCUCAGGCAAAUCUCCCUUUCAAAUUUUGGUGGGAUGCUGUCCAUACAGCUGUAUAUCAUAUAAACAGACUUCCAACACCUUUACUGAACCUAAUCUCUCCCUAUGAAAAGUUAUUUGCUCAUAAACCAGACUAUAACUUCUUAAAGUGUUUUGGGUGUCUAUGCUAUCCAUAUUUGAGAGAUUUCAAUAAACACAAGUUUGAUUUCCAUACCAGCAAGUGCAUUUUUAUUGGCUAUAGCCCUUCUCAUAAAGGCUAUAAGUGUCUCACAAGUUCUGGUAAAGUUCACAUACUGAGACAUGUGAUAUUUGAUGAAAAAGUGUUUCCUUACUCAACUGAUAAUGCUUUCAACUUGUCUCAACAAAACAAAAACUCUGAAACACCAGUAUCAGUGUCUAAUUUUUCUCCACAACAAGUCUAUCAGUUAUCUACCCUUUUCUUACCUCACAGCAGCUUUGAAGAUGCUUACUCAGCAAGCUCAGCAGGACAUCAACAAACACCUUCUAUGCCUGUACAUACAGACAUUCCAUGUCAACAAGAACAAGGUAACCACACUCUAUCAGAAUCAUCAUCAUUUUCUUUACCUUCACAAAAUCCAGAGUCUUCACGAAAUCCAGAACCACUUCAAACACAACCUGAAAACCAAAUAGACAUCCAACAAAACACAGCACAUAUCACAAACAAAAUUCUUGCUUCACAACCUUCUCAUAAAAUGACUACCAGAUCAAAAUCUGGAAUCUUCAAACCCAAGCUAUACACUGCAACUUUAGCCAAUAAGGAACCUGAUACAAUUCAAGAAGCUCUUUGUGAUCAGAACUGGUACCAAGCCAUGAGAGAUGAGUAUGAAGCACUGAUCAGGAAUAACACUUGGUCAUUAGUUCCACAUUCAGCUGAGCACAAAAUUGUUGGCAAUAAAUGGGUGUUUAGGAUUAAGCAGAACACUGAUGGUAGCAUAGCUAAGUACAAAGCUAGGCUAGUUGCUAAAGGUUUUCAGCAAACUGAAGGAGUUGACUAUUUUGAGACUUUUAGUCCUGUUGUGAAACCAUGUACUGUGAGGAUUGUGUUGAGCUUAGCUAUGAUGAACAAGUGGGUAGUUAGACAAGUUGAUGUGAACAAUGCCUUUCUAAAUGGAGAGUUGAAUGAGGAUGUAUACAUGUGUCAGCCAGAGGGAUUUGUUGAUAUGCAAAAACCUGGUCAUGUGUGCAAGUUGAAGAAAGCUUUGUAUGGUCUGAAACAGGCUCCUAGGGCCUGGUAUGACAAGCUAAAGAACUCCUUAAUCACAAUCUGGAAUUUUCAGAACUCUAAGGCUGAUACAUCUCUUUUCUUUAAGGAGAUACAUGGAUCAAUAAUACUAAUUCUGAUAUAUGUCGAUGAUAUCUUAAUUACUGGUGCAAAUAGUAAGGAAUUGGAAAGGUUCAUCUCUGAGUUUAGUAAAAUGUUUGUUUUAAAAGAUCUGGGAACACUGUCAUACUUCCUUGGCAUAGAAGUUGUUUAUGCUCAAGAUAGUAUGUAUUUGUCACAGAAGAAAUACAUUAGAGAUCUACUGAACAGAGCUGACAUGUUGGAUUGCAAGAGCUGUGACACUCCAAUGGUUACAGGUUACAAACUUCAGAAGGAAGUUAAAGGGCAUCUAGGACAGUAUAUUGAAGAUGCAACAGUCUACAGAAGCUUAGUUGGAGGCCUGCAGUAUCUGGUUUUAACUAGACCAGAAAUUGCUUUUGCAGUUCAUAAACUAAGCCAAUAUGUAGCAGCACCAACCCUUCAACAUAUAUUAGCUUGCAAAAGAGUCCUCAGAUAUUUGAAAGCAACAGAAGAUUAUGGAUUAAAAUUUUCAGCUGAAGGGGAAAUGAAAAUUACAGGCUACACUGAUGCAGAUUGGGCAUGUGAUGUUGAUGAUAGAAAAUCGAUAGGAGCCUACUGCAUUUACUUUGGAAACAACCUGGUGUCUUGGUCAUCAAAGAAGCAAACUGUAGUCACAAGGUCAAGUGCUGAGAGUGAGUAUAGAGCACUUGCCUCUGCAAGUGCAGAAAUUACCUGGAUACAAUCACUACUUAAAGAACUUAAAAUUGAAUGCACAACUUUACCAACAAUUUGGUGUGACAAUGUCAGUGCAACAGAGUUAGCUAAGAAUCCUGUCUAUCACUCAAGAACAAAGCACAUUGAGUUAGACAUGCAUUUUGUUAGAGAUAAGGUGCUGGCAAGAGAGCUUGAAAUCUACUAUAUUCCAAGUGAAGAGCAGAUUGCAGACAUCUUGACAAAGCCUCUCACAUUUACUCAUUUCAAUUACUUUAGAGCCAAACUCAAGGUUCAUCCAUGUCCCUUGAGUUUGAGGGGGGCUGUUAAGGAAGCUCAUCAAGCAUCAAAAGAAUGCACACACUUGGCACGUGUGAUUUGAUGUCCAGUCAGCUUAGCAGUUAGGAAUUAGAAUGACAGCUCAGCAAAGUCUGUUAUGUAAUCUCUGUAUUCUGUUAGUACUGUUUUGUGUUCAGCUUUGUGAUUAGCAGCAUGUAUAUAUAUAAUCAUUACAGCCGAGGUUUGUAAUUAAUGAAAUAACAAGCAAAGCAAUAAAAGAUCUGGAAUAUUCAUUUUCUUUCAUUUUCUCGAAAGCCAAACAAAUAUAUCAACUCUGUUUUUAACAUUUCAACAAGUCAUAAAUAACUCUUGCAAUAGUCGUCUUACCUAAACCUCCCACACCGCAUAUCCCUAUCAUACGAACAUCAGCACUAGGACCUUUAUCCAUAAGAAACCUCAGUUCCUCCAAGCGUGAGUCUAUUCCUACUAGCUUCUUAAGAAUCUUUGAUUUUACACGAAUUUGACUUGAUAUUGGAUUGACAAUAUCGGAAAUAAAUUUUGACUCGUUCCUGUAGUUUAAAAAGACCAAAGAAAGAUUGGUGUUGUUAAAUUAAAGUUAUUAUGAACGUGGUAACAAAUCAAUUCCAUAUUAUGAAUAAAAUCCAAACCAUGCAAUAUUCAUUAGAUCAAAUUGAAGUAAUGCAUGUAACAUGUUGUUACAUAUGGCUAAGUAACACUUUAUUAUAUAUGGCUAAUCUUUAGGUAUGUUCUAGCGAAAUAUCUACAUUCAUCUGUACCUAUUCAUUUGCAAAUAAACAUAUAUGGAGCUAUUAUUUUAUUUACUGCGCAUCAUAAGGUAGACAUAAUAAUCAGAAGAAUUUUAGCUGAAAAUAGUAUAUUAGAUGUUGUUUGAUUAAACUAAUAAACAUAUUAAUCAGAAGAGCUACCUGUACUCCUUUAGUUCCCAGCCUGAGAUAGUAGCCACCUCUUUCAAAGCUUCUCUCCACUUCUGUACCUUUUCUAUACUCUUCUUAAAAACUUCUACAUGUUUAGCAAAUGCUUCUUGAAAAUUUCCGGUCUGAUUCCUUACAACUGUUGGUUCCACGUCAUAGAAAAUUGGGUAAACCAUUCGUUGAGCAUUUUUGUUUUUGCAAUCAAGAAUAUGAACAAGUUCAUCUAAGCACCAAGUGGAAGAAGCAUAAUUUUUUGAGAAAACAAUAAUUGCAAUUCUUGAUGCUUCAAUUGCUUUAAGGAGACGAGGAGAAAUGGACUCUCCUUUCUCAAGUUCUUUGUCAUCCUUGAAUACAUAAAUUCCUUUCCCAUUCAAAGCAGCAUAUAGAUGACUUAUGAAACUUUUACGGGUGUCUGCUCCUCUAAAGCUUAGGAAGACAUCAUAUGUCCAGUGACAGACAUUUUGGUUGCUUACUGAAGUCAUUUUAUUUGUUCCUGCAAAUUUAGAAUAAAGUAAGUCUUACUAGGAACAACUGAUACUUUUUAGAAUUAUAGAGAAAAUUCAUUCUUAUUAAUUUCAAAUGGCUCUCAAGCCUAAUUUAGAUAAAAUAUUCAAUAACAUAAAAGUAAUCAAUCAUCAGAAAUCAAGGAUCCAUAUUAAAAAAAAAUAAUAGUUGUAAUACUUUUCAUAUGUGUAUGACUAUAAUGGCCUUGAUUAUUGCCAUAUGUGAAUGCCACAAUGGUCUUGAUUCUUGUCAUCCAAUUAUCACAUAAUGGGUUUGAUUCUUGCCACCUGUGCAUGUUGUGAUGGUCUUGAUCUUUGUCAUGUAUGCAUCACAUUACGGAUUUCAUCCUUGCCAUAUACGCAUUACAUCCAUGUAAUUCUUAUCACAAUUGUAAUCCAAAUUACAGAUUUUCUUGCUGAAAGAUGUGAUGAAAUCUUGUAGCCUUUUUUUUUUUAAAUGGGCUUAAACGUAACCUAAAGACCCUCUAAAACUCAACACCAGGAAAGAGUGAAAAAACCUGCUUUUGACAUUUUUUUUUUAAAUAAAAAAAUUCACAUAUAUAUCACACCCACAGCCCACCAUGUUUGGAAAGCGAUCAUCGACAUGCUAACCAAACACCCACAGAUUUGAAGACUCUCAAACCCGUUCUGAAAUCAUAAUAACUUUUCUUUUCUUUUCUUUUCUUUUUAUUUUGUGCAAUGGUGCGAGGGAAUUUUAUUAAUUAAAAUUAGUUGACAAUAAAUUGUACCAAAAUAUUGUUUAAAGAGAAUGCUUCUCAUUUGGAAAUUAAUGAUCUUCUUCUUAAACAAAAUAAACAGAUGCACAGCUUCUUAUUUGCUUUCUUUACUCCAAAAAAAAAAUUAUGCUUUCUUUACUCUAAAAAAAAAAAAUUAUACUUAAUAAAUCCCAAAAUGUAAGUAGAAUUUUUUUUUCAGAUGCUGAUUGUAGAGUUCGUAUGCCGGCCUUUAAGUUCAUAUAAAAUUAACAUUCAAGCUUUCUUCCAAUAUUUAAACAUACCGGAUAUGCAAAUUAAUUCUGAAAAUAAAAGAUAAAUAUACAAGAUAAAACUUACAGCUUAUUUGAACUCCACUGAAGUAUUUUCCCAAAGGAAAGAAGUUAAUAAAAUGGCGCAACUUCUAGCUAGUUUCUCAUCCUCAGAUCUGUAGUAUGAGCAAGACUUAGUAAAAAUUGACUUGCAUAAUUAAAUUACUCGUCAUAGACUUCUACUCGUAUAACUAAUUAUUCAUUAUAAAUUUCCACUUGUUACAAUUAAUUAUUCAAAGCACUGUUAAGAAAAAGGAUACUAAGUGUCAUGGACUGUCCAAAAUUUCCAGCCUUUUAACUUGACAAGUUCAAGAUGUCCUAGCUUGGCUUGUCUCUAGAAUGCUCCAUCUCUAUCGCAUUGCACACUUGUACCUGGUUAGGAUGUCUUCAGAAUUUGCUAGAGUGUUUUAGCAUGCAGCUUGUACAUAGAAUUCUCUAGGAUACUGUAGGCAUUGUUAGACAUAAGAGCUCUCUACGAGCCAUGAGAACUCUCGAUACAUAGAAUACUCUAGAAUUCUAUUUAUAAGGCAAACCUCCUUAUAAAUAGGGCAUGACACUAAGCAUUUGCAACAAGUAAGAGCAAUAAGCGACUCGAGCGCUUGUAGACAAGCUAUCAAAGCUCUCUUGUACAUAUACUCUUGUGAAUAAUACACGUUCUCUUUGUCUCAAUUGAUCACUUCCUCUUUGGCUCUUCCAAAAGCAUCUUAGCUUAACUAGUUAUGAAGAUCAAAGCUUACUUAACAAGUUUCGAAAAAAAAUUGUAUAAGUAUCACACAAGUUUGCUGUGCAAAAUACUCACCCUGUGAUACCAAGGUUUCCUUUUCACCAUAAUACCCAUUGGCUUUAUAAACUAAAAGAACUAUCUCCAAUAUUUUAUAAUAAAUAGAAAUACAAUAUUAAAAUAAAUGUGAUAAUAUAUUUUCUAAAAUAAUUUCAAUAUUUAAAAAUAUUUUAAUAUUUUACAAAUAUAUUUUAUUGAAUUAAAGUCAAUUUUAUAAUAAAAAGAAACAUAAUAUUUAAAAACACAUUAAAUUUUAAAUUAUUUUCAAUAAUAUGUAAAAUAAUAGUUUUAAUAUAAUUAAUACAUGAGAUAUUGUACCAAGUGUAAUUUCUAUUUAACGCUAAGAUUUAUUUAAAAUCUUUAUAAUAAAUAAAAAUAUAUUCUAAAAUAAAUAUAAUAAUUAAAAUUUUUAACAUUAUUUUAAAUAUAAAGAAAUAUUUUAACACUAUUAGUCUAUAAGACAAAUUAUAUUACUCAUAUUUAUUUGUAUUUAUUAAAAAAUUUAAAGUCAAUUUUCUAAUUGCUAUAUUUAAAGAAUUUUAUUAUUAAAAAUGAAUCUUGUUAUUCCAUUUUGAAAAUUGGGGACAUCAAUAACCAUUUCCACAAAUCUUGAUGGUUUAGCUAUCUUUUUCCCUAUUAAAUAUCAUAAAAUUCUUCAAAUAGCAUUCACUAUCAUUGAAAAUAAUGUGCUUCUUUAGUUUGUUAAAUAGUCAACAGAACUGUUGUUCGAGCAUCUUCCAAGAAAUUGUUUAUGAAAUGGAAAUAUAAAUAUAGUAAUAAACAUGGUGGUGUUGUUUCAAGUUAAAUUUUUUACUUAAAAAUUUGAUAGAUUAUUACUUUCAAGCAAUCUAAUUAUAGGUAUUGAAAGUUAAAGUAGUAUUUAAUAUUGAUUCUUCAUCGACUAUUAGAUUUCUUAGAACCAAUCUCUCAACAUUUAUGUCAAGAUUUUAAGUAAAAGUUUUAAUUUAAAAUAUCAUAGUCCUGCAAAUAUAUAUAUAUAUAUAUAUAUAUUUAUAUAACCACGACUACGUUGCAUUAGGGGUAAACAAAACCCAUUGUUUGUCCUUUACCUAAAUGACCGUUGAAUAAUAUCCAACAAUUGGAACCGGAGUACUUAGUAAUAAGACAGUAAAGGAACUGUUAGGAAAUUAAUUGCAGCAAACUGGUGGACAGUUAGUAAUAACUAAUUAUACAAUAUAUGCAACAAAGGGCCAUGCAAGUGGGGUUUGGAAUCAGAUUUAUCUAAGAAUAUGAAAUAUUAUAAGGGAAAAGGACAUUUACACUUCAAAAUUUGAGAAAAUGGUCGCCAACAUUUUCAAGCUUUUGAAAAGAGAUACUAAGACUCAAUUUUAAUUAUAAUGCCCUUUGUGUCUAUUAUUCCAAAAAAAAUUUGUACUAAAUAGAAAUAUAAUAUUAAAAUAAAUAGAAUAAUAUAUAAAUUUUAAAAUAAUUUCAAUGUAUUUAAAAAUAUUUUAAUAGUUUACAACCUAUUAGAUAUAUUUUAUUAUGUUAAAGUAAAUUUUAUAAUAAAGAGAAACAUAACAUUAAAAUAAAUGUGUUAAAUUUAAAUUAUUUUGAAUAUUAAUGUAAAAUAAUAAUUUCAACAUUAUUAGUAUAUGAGAUUCUUUUUAAUUGUUAAAUGUUUUUAGCGCAAAUAUUUAUUAAAAAUCUCUACAAUAAAGACAAAUAUAUUAUUAAAAUAAAUAUAAUAAUAUAGAUAUUUAAAUUUAUUUAAAUAUUAAAAUAUUUUAAUAUUAUUAGUCUAGUAAAGAGAUUACAUUAUUUAUAUAAUAUUUUUAUUUAUUAAAAAUUUUAAAGUUAAUUUCAGUAAAUAUUUCAAAGCAUAUUACAGUCAAAAUGGAGUCUUAGAGUCCAUUUUUUUAACUUAAGGGUCUGCAUGACCGUUUCCCCAAACCUUGAGGUAUAAAUAUCAUUUUCCCAAAUAAUUAGUUAAAUAUUCUUACAAGAUUUAUUACUCUUCUAAAAUAGAUUAUGGUUAACACCUUGUCUUUGGUCUUAAUUUAAUUCGAAAAAUCUAAAGACUUUUGAAAGUAAAAAUUAAUUUGAUUAAAGGAAACACAGUUUACAAUUCGUAAUAGCGUAAACAAAUAUCAAAUUCGGGGCAUCCAUCCUUGUUAUCCACAACUUUAAAGUUUCCAUUAUUCCGAUUUUUUCGGCCUUCCUAUGUGAAAGACAAUGAAGCAAUUAACCACUUAGAUAUCAUAUCAUAGACCUGCGGAUUCGCAUCGAGCACUCGUCUCCAUUCUUUUUUACAUUUUUCCAAAUUCAGAGAGACAUAAAUCUUCUGAACAAAUUGCUAAUAAUUUAGAUUACAUAAUGCUCUGUUUUGCUUACACAAGCUCUACUAAACAGAGCAACAUUAUUAAUAGGGUUUGAAAAUGAACAAGAAUCUGUAAUCCAAAUGAGAUGACAAUGUCGGUUACAAGAAAUUGUUGUACAGUGCCUAUCAUCCACUUAUAUACUACAUGUCGGUUAUUUUGAGAGGAAGCUCGUAUGAUGAACAGUUAAUGUCGUCUACAAGAAUAAGUAACGUACGUGUUUGAUCACUUAUAAUAAACAAAAGUAGUGCUCACUUAUAAUAAACAAAACUAGUGCUCUGUUCUUCAAGAGGACACAGGGUAGAACUAGUUGAAUCUUUAUAAUCAGAGUGUUAAGUGAGGUCCUGGGGGGUCGACAGUGAUCGUCAACUGAUCUUGAUCCGAGAUUUUUCCUACUAUUGUAAACGACGGCAUCAAGGAGACAACAAGAGAGAGAGCUCUUGUAACGGGCCUAAGCUUCUCGAAGCUGCAUUCAAGCAAGUCUCAGGAUUGCAGCACUUUGGAUUGAGUCCAUCUUGCUCCUCAAGAAGCAACUGUCACAUUUCAGGUAACCGCAGGAAUGUUAAUAACAAGUUCUUUUAAUGAGCAUAAGUUGCCAAUAUCAAUUGGGAUUGCCCGCCCCUUCCCCUGGACUACAGUUACAGAGAUCCAAUUUUGUUCAAGUGUUGGGAAAGCCGGAAAGUUGAUGAAAUUUUACUUGAAUUCCGAUUAAGUUUGUUCCAAAGAAAUUAAUGAGAGAAUUUCAUGUUUUCUAAUUAAUUUGACCUUUUCUGCUUGCCAACAGCGGAUAAUUAUAAAAAAAGACUACGGUCUAUGGUGGUUUAUGGAAUCAAAGACAUUGUCAAUGAUAACAAAAACUUGAUUAAUCUAAGCACCAAAAGCAAGGAACUUCAUUAAGGGUGUCUUCAACGUAAGUACUUAAAUAAUAAUUUAGAGUAUUUAAUGAAACAAAAUAAUUUUAAAAUGACAGAGAACAUGAAUCAUUUUCUUUCUCUCCCUUAUUCUUUAGUAGGUGACACAACAUUUCAUUUUGUCUCACAUACAAGCACAAAAUUUUCAACUAUAAUUUUAAACCAAUGGGCUUCACAUCUUUGUCCUAAUCGAAAGUUCCAAUUAGAAAGCUCCUUGGAUGAAACAUAUGUAAACUUCCAUUGAAGAGGCAGAAGUGACAAAUUUCAAAGGAUUUAUUGAAAAUCAUGAAAUUCCUCCCUCAGGAAAUCGUAUAUGAAAUUAAACAAAAAUGUAAACACAGUCAUAUUAUAUUCAUAAAUUAUGUAUGCAAAUACUAAGUUAUUUUAAUAAGACUAAUGAAGUGAUAAAAAAAUAUAAAUAUAACUGGUAUAAGGUUAAAUACAUGAUAUGAUUCUAAUUUAAUAAAUCAAUAAUGCCCAAAGAACUCAAUCAAAGCCCAAGGAAAAAACACAUUAUUUGAAGCCCAAGCUCAAUAUGGAAAAUCCUCUAAACAAUGACGUUAAGAUUUUUGAAAUUGAGAUUAGUAAGUACCACAUAAAUCUUUUAGGUUCUGGCUCCUCAUUAUCACAGCAUCCACUCCCACGCGCAAGUGCAAUAAUAGAUACGAAAUGAGAUAACGCUGCAAUGAAACAGAGAUAUUAAGAAUACGAAACAGAGGAUUUAAUUCGGUCCUUUAAUUUUUAGCACAUGAGAGAAAUCACAAAAACUUAAAGCUUCAAUCUGAUCGAGCAUGAAUGCAAUUUUCAUUCACGAAAGGCACAUUCUGAUUGUGACCAACUUUUUAUAAAUGGCAUUUAAGAAAGUAAAUGAAAUACCAUCUGCGCACUUACACAUAAAUUCAAAGAAAAUAAUAUCCACCAGGCUUUGCCCUUCAUUCGAGUUGUGUAAAUUUAUUAGGUUGUGGUUCCUCAUCGUAAUCAUCACAGCAGCCACUUCCACUGGUUUCGGCCACUUCCAUAUCUGAUCCAACAAAAUCGUGAUGGAAUUCAUUCAGACUAUAAGAAGUAAAGCGGGUCCAUUGCUUUGUUGUUUGGUCGAACUCCUCAACUUCGUGCAUAUAAAGUGGAUGGAAGCCACAGCUCUUCACCAUCAAUAUAGAAUUCAUGUCUGAUUUUUAAUUUUGACUUUAAUUGUAUGAAAAUUUAUAAUUUUUUACCAAAAAUUAAUAAUAGAAGGAAACGACAGUGAAAUCAAAACCUCCACUCGCCGUUGCGUUAAAGAAACCCAAUCGUUGCAAUCAUUUGCUGUUUCGCUCAGGGCUAGUGAAGUUGUGCCCCAUGCUUACCGAAGAAAACACUUUCUAUUGUUCAAAUUUCAAUCCUCUCAGUCGACCAGGUGAGUCGCUCGCUGUUUCUGUUCAUUCAUGGUUAGUGAAGGUUUUAGUUUUGAUUUUUGAUUUUGAAAUUACAAAAAUAUUAAUUUUUGUUUAGAUUGGUACUGCAUAUAUAUUGGGGGAAUUUGAUUUUAUUUUAAUGGUGUUUUGUAGUUGGUCGAUACUUUUAUUGUGUAAAUUUAUAGUUACUUUUGUUGGUUUUGACUGGCAAUGUUGGAAAGCGAUGAUUCAAUGCAAAUUUCCAGGUUUCAUUUAGAAUGAUUAAGGGUUUGGUAUUCAUUUUAUCUAGUUAAGCAACUUAAUUGGAGAGAAGCUUAAUUAUUUGUAAUGCCAUUAGUGGAUGCUUGAGAUUGAGGGGAGCCUGAUCAUUUCUCUUUAAUUUGUGCUGAUAAUUAAGAUAAAAAAUAUUAUUGCAUGUAUGUAUGAUCAGUACCUUUAUUGUGUGUGUGUAAUAAUAAUAGUAAUAAUAAUAAUAAUAUCCUCAACAGAGGAAGAGACAUGAUCACACACUCGCUGGCCAUUUUUCCUGCGUGCCGUACCUUCUUGGACUGACAAAUCUUUUAAAACUGAUUUUGGUCUUUACAUCAUCUAGUAUUUAUCAAUCUCCCUUGAUUGGAAAUAUGAAAAUGUUGUGCUGAAUCAGAAAGUUGAUCCUGUUGUUUGCCAGGACCCUUACCUUCGAAUGAGACUUUCAUUUUCUUCAAAGCAGGUACUAUCUACAUUCUUUUAUUCCUAAACUUAACAUCUAAUAUCUUAUAUAAGAUCAGUACUCUCUGAGUGUGUCUGACUGCUUAAGGUAUGACUUUGGAUACUUAAGAGAUACCAAAAAUAAAAAAAUAAAAAAUUAUUCAGGUAGGAAAUUGAUAGUGAUGAAGCACAAAUUGACUUAUGGGUCCUGAGGAUGCAUAUCAUGUUUGAUACUGCAUGCUUUUUCUUGAUUGGAAGUAAUGAAUUUGGACUAGUAUCUCUUUGUGAGACUUACUUAACCCACAUAUGUGAGAUAGUUACAAGCUGUAGUUGAUAAUAAAGCUGUAAAAUAGAUUUUCUUAUUACCAGUCGAUUCAAAUGGUAAGACAUAAAGGGGCUGUGCAAGAGAUUGUAGUUCUAAUUCCACCUUUUUUAAAUAGCACUAAUGUAUUGGUUUAAAGAAACUUUUUAUGGGUGCUUUUAGUUAAUAACCAACUAGUAAGGUUCAAAGAAAAGAAAAAAAGAUGUUUAUAUACAUGAUAUAUGUAUGUUUCAAUAUUUUAUUUUAUCUCACUCUGUUUUAGGCGCACUUAAAAUUAACUAUGAGACAGUAACUUUUGAUGACCCUGAGGGUCUAACCAUUUUUCUUACUGAACUAUUAACUUGAUCAAAUAAAUCCAACUAGGAAUACAGCUAUUCUUAAUUUAGUAGUACUGGAUGUUUUUAUGGAUAAUAAAGGUCAAUAAUUUAGUUCAUUGGUUUUGGAUUCGAUUGCAUUUAUUAAUUUAUUUUCUUUCAUAUAAAUUUUGUAAUUUAAAUUUUAAAUUGAGGAAGAAAAAAAUGUAUAAUUUUUUUAUUUUUAAAUUAAUAAAUAAAAUAAUAAUCAAUUUUUAAAAAAAAAAUUGUGAUAGCAAAUAGAAGUCACAACAUAUGGCACACAACUUUUAUCCAAAAAUAAUAAUUACGACUUUAACUUCAUAAGUUUAAGAUUUUCAGCCUAAAUUUUAGAAUUACAAAAAUAUUAGAAAUCAAUGUCCAUUCGACAAAGAGUUGGAGCACCGAACGGGCUAUUUCGUAACAACCGUAGAGCCAGCUGGGCCUUACUCCCUUCAUUUUGAGAGCUCUUCGCAGACUCCAGAGGUCUCGGUCUCCACUUCGCCUUUGGAUAUAAUAAAAAAACCAAAAACAUGCUUCGUUGAACUUUCCUGCAUCUGGAAAAAAUUCACUCAGAUGAUCAAGAAACCAAGUCCAUUGGUUUGUUGUUUGGUCGAAAUCCUCCCCUUGGUUUUCAUCCAGAUAAUCAAUUAACCGAUCCCGUACAUUGUUGAGCUGAGCUCCAUUUUGACACAAUUCACGCAGAUGAUCAAUAAACCGAGACCAAACGCUUGCAUUCAGAUUAUAAUCAAUAGACCGAGUCCAUAGGUUUGUUGCAUGGUCGAACUUCGCCACUUCGCGCUUAUAAACUGGAUGGAAACCACACCUCUUCACCUCCAAUCCUGGGCCUGAAUCAGACUGAAAUGACAACACAAAAUCCUGAGAUUCAAAAUUCCAUGUGCGCAAAUAGCCUUCUUCACGAGACAAAUAUAAAAGCCAAAUAUGGUCUGACCCCGCUUGACCGAACUUUUCCCUAAAAUCAAUAUAACUACUGAUAUAAGAAUCUUUCUUAUGGCAGCUCAACUGAUGUGUAGGGUAUGAGCGCAAACUUUUGAUACCAGAUGAAUAUUUAUGGACAUUAAAAACACAGCAAAUAGCAUAUCCCAUCACAUCAUUCCUUUUAUGCCAAAAUAAAGGCGUUGUGACUGCUAUUGAAGAACCUUCAUUCUGGUACCUAAAACACAUUGGAAUUUCACUUCUUGGAACAACAAUGCUUAAAUGAGGUAUUGGUUUCGACACUUCCUGCAACUUCGAAAAGCACAAAAACAUAAAAAAUAAAAGUCCAUGUCAAUGCAUAAUUUUUAGGCAUAAUCUUUGGCACAACUGGGAGACAGUGAGAGACUGACCUCAAGGUUCUCUUUUAGCACUGACAAUGCCGACCCAUUGUUGUUGAGCAAUUUUCAUACAACUAAUUACUGUGUAAAUCGACUUGCAUAAUUUCAAUGCAUGUGAUAAUGUUCCCAAAGAAGCAUAACCAUUUACCCGAACUUGCUCUAUAUUGGAUGGAAGUUGUGGCAGAGAUUGAAGCCUCUUGCAUUCCUCCAAUUCUAUAAUCCAAAGCUUAGAAAGACGGUUAAUGCUUGCUGGUAGCGAAGUAAACCUGUUUUUACUUAAAUACAACUCUUUUAAUGAGCAUAUGCUGCCAAUAUCACUUGGGAUUGCUCCUUCCCCUAGAUUACAGUCACUGAUAUCCAAUUUUGUUAAAGAGCACAAACCUAAAAGAGAAGUCAACCUCAAAGCUACAGUAUGUGAACUCCUCAUUUUCAUCGAAUUGAUGGGAAAGGAAAAUACAGUGAUGAUGAUGAUUGUGGUAAUUUGCUUCCAAGAAAAGACAGUGCUUGAUAAUUCUGCACAGAAAAAAUGGACGACACUGGGUUCCGUAAAGCAGUUCCACUUGAAUCAAGCCCCUCCAAACUUUCUACCAUGUCAAAACUCUCUAGCACAUUUUUAGAUUUGAAGCAGCCAAAGAGAUUCAGGGUUCUAAGAGAUGUUAAACCAUUCAUAGAACUUGGAAGUCCCACAAGAUUUGUGCAGUUUCCCAAAUUCAACAAAAUGAGUCCAGUCAAAAGUUGAAUUGAUGAUGGCAGUUCUUCAAUAGCUGUUCCAUCAAGAAAAAGCUCCACCAGACAUUCCAUACUUCCCACAAUUUCUGGAAACUUCUUCAGCUUCGAGCAACCAGAAAGUACAAGUUUUCUUAGACGUAUUGUGGCAAUCUUAUUCCGAAGAGUUGUAAGAUUUGUGCAAUCUUUUAGAUUCAGUGAAAUAAGGUUCUUGUGAAGCAUUAAUGAUUGGUGAAUAUCACACAAUCUUGUACAUCCUCUAAGAUCCAUCUCCUCUAAAUUUGGCAACCCAGUUAAGUCUGGUGUUCCAAUCAGGUCCUUGGAAUGCCAAAGUCUCAUGAUUUUCAACUUGCUCAAAGGCUGUUCAAAAACAAAAUCUCAACAAUUGUUCAAGGGAUGAAUCAUAAUACCAUCAACACUUAUUAACUGAAAGGAUAUAAACAAAUCUUACUUUGAUUCCACUCCACAUUCGUUCCAUGCGGCUAUAGCACAUUUGUUGAGAUUGAUGGCAAGGAUUUGGAAGGAUAAGUGUUGAUGGUAUUACGGUUAAGUUCAAAAAUUUUUUCAGGUUGAAAAUUUGAUGGCAAGGAUUUGGAAGGAUAUCCAUGCCAUUCAAGAUACCGUAAUUCAUUAGGGAGAAAUUCAAGGCCUCCAGGAAGUUGCACAUUACCAAUUGUCAGCAUCCUUAAGUUAGUCAUGUUAAAAAAUGCUUUAGCACUUGCACUCAAAUGCGCAUCAUUAUCUCGAGAAGAGUAAUCAAGUUGUAUGCCUUCAACUACUUCAGUCCCCUAAAAGUUAUAAGCAAAGAAUUAAGUGAAGAAACAAUUUGAAGACCAUUAAAUCUUAGGACAUGUUUUUGGCUUAGUUGCUUACCGUGUUUUUUGUCAACGCAUGAUGUACAUCUUCUUCUUUCCACAAUCUGCUACGUUUCCCGGGCUCUUUAGGGGACUGUCUUUUAACAAUUUGUUGACCCAUUUCUUGCAACAAAUCAUGCAUCCGUAAUCUAUUGCCAUUAGAAAUUUCUAUGAGAGAUUUGUCAAUAAGAACCCUUAUUCCAAUAACUGGAUCAAAAUCACAGUAAUCAAGAAUUUUUGUUACAUAAUCUCUAUUGUCCCCUCGAUAAAAACAUGCUAUGUCGAGGAAUAUUUUCUUCUCUGUUUCUCUAAGCCCAUCAAAACUUAUUUUAAGUGUAUCCAAAAUUUCAUUUUCUGAUUCUCUUUCAAGUCUCUUUAGUGCACUUUCCCAUUCUUUUGUUGUUUUACCAUACAAAAAGGAUCCCAAAACUUUGAGAGCCAAUGGAAGACCACCAGAGUAUUUUACAACAUAUUUAGACAGCUGUUCAUAUUCUUUCCAAGGCUGAUUGGUUUUAAAGGCUUGUUUACAAAAGAGUUGAAGAGCUUCAUCAUCAUGUAGUACCUUGAGCUUAUGUACUUCAUCUACUCCAUGUGUCAUCAACAAAUGCUCAUCUCUUGAUGUUAUUAUGAUCCUGCUGCCUGGACCAAACCAUUCGUGCUUUCCAGCUAAACUUUCCAAUUGCUUUAAAUCAAAUGCAUCAUCGAUAAUCAGAAGAACCUUUCUGCACCGCAGCCUACUUCCUAUCAUCUUGAGACCAUCAUAAACAUUCCAUGUGCUACUAUCUGGAAGCUUUAGUAAUUCGGAAAGGAGUUGCUUUUGUAAACAGAUCAGACCGCCUUUUUCUGAAAUUUCUCUAACAUUGGCAAGAAAACUACUUGCUUCAAAUUCAUGAGAGCUCAAGUCAUAAACAACUCUUGCAAGAGUUGUCUUACCUAUACCUCCCAUACCACAGAUCCCAAUCAUACGGACACCAUAAGGCUCUUUAUCCAUAAAAAACCUGAGUGUAUUCCAGCAUGAAUCCAUUCCUACUAGAUCCUUAAAAAUCUCAGAUUUUGCAGGAAUUUUACUUGACAUCUCCAGGAUAUCCUUGACAAUAUCUACAAUAAAUUCUGAUUCAUUCCUGCAGAUUGGAAGAACAAGAAAAGAUUGGUGUUGUUGAAUUAAAAUUAGUGUGAACAUGGUAUCAAAUCAAUCCCGUAAUAUGUAGUAUCCAUACAGUGCUAUAUUCAUUCAUUCAAAUUGAAGUCAUUAAAUGUGUUGAUUAAUCUAUCUGUUCUCUUGUGCUUCUUCAGUCGCAGAUAUUCAUUUUCAAAGCUAUUAUUUCAAUUACAUCAUAUGUAUUAAUAAUUUCUCCUUACAAUUCAUUCUAUGGCCUGCCUCUGUUUUUAAUGUCUAAAAGCUCAAGAAAUUCUACAAUUUAUUUGUUCCUCCGCAUCAUUCUUGCAACAAUAAAUAAUCAAAUCUUGUCAUCUAUAUUUUUAUUUGAAAAAUCGCAAACAUGUUAUUUGUCGGAACAACUAAUUGAAUACAUAAACACUGUGUUUCUGGUAUAAACUUUUGUUAAAGACAUGUAUACACAUACAUAUACUAUCAAGGCAUUUUAAAACAUGAAAUUAACUGCCUCAGUGACUCUUUAAAGUAUAUUAAAUCAAAUAAUACAUACUUGUGAAGGGAUAUUUCGAUCUGCUCAUUAGCGAUGACUCAUGCAGAACAAACAAAAAUAAGAAACCUUGGUCUUAAAAUUAAUGUUUGAGAACAAGAACAAUCACCUGUCCUUCAAUUCCCUUUCAGAGACAUUAGCCACCUUUUUCAAAGCAUCUCUCCACUUUUGCACCUUUUCUAUAUUCAUCCUGAAAGUUUCUUCAUGUUUAGAGAAAGCUUCUCCAAAACUUGCUGUCUGUUUCUUUACCACAGUCGGUUCGACAUCAUAGAAAAUUGGAAAGAUCAUAUGUUGAUGACCAUUUGUGCUCUCCAAUUCAACAAUUUUAACGAGUUCAUCCAAGCACGAAGUCGAGUAAGCAUAAUUUCUUGAGAAAACAAUAAUUGAUAUUCUGGAUUCUUCAAUUGCUUUCAACAGUCCGGGUGAAAUGGAUUUUCCUCUAUCAAGUCCUUUAUCAUCUCUGAAUACAAUGAUUCCUCUUUGAUCCAAAGCAGCAUACAAAUGAUCCGUGAAAUUUUUGCGGGUGUCUUCACCUCUGAAGCUCAAGAAGACAUCAUAUUUCCAAUGGGAGCCUUUUUUGAUGUUCAUGGAAGCCAUUAUAUUUGUUCUUGAAUAUUUACAUCGGAAUAGUUUAUCACUUCCUGCUAAAGAUGUGGAACAUUAUGCCAACCAAUUAUAUGUAAAAAAUAAAAAAAUAAAGAUUGGAUCGAAAAUCAUGGGCUUGACAAAAAUGAAUUGUGAAUGUCAAAGCUGAAAAUAGAAAGUCAAUUAGUUAAUGCGAUCACUUAAAUUACAAUUACAUAUGAGCUAAAUUGCUACUUUUAGGUCACUUAAUCCAAGAGGUAUAUCAUGUUAUUCUUUCUUUACCAGAAAGAAAAAUUCAUAGUAAAGAAAUUCCAAGAUGUAGUGAAAAAUUAAUUUUUCAGACGCUGACUGGAGAAUGAAUAUGCCGACCUCUAUUUAAGCAAGACUUUGAUUAGAGCCUCUAAGAGAACGCACAGAGUAUCUUGAGCAAGCAUCUAAAACAAAAUUUAACAGUCAAGCUUUCUUUCAUCCUGGAUAUGCUAAUUAAUUCUGAAAAUAAAAUAAGAAUUUGUAUAAAAGAUAAAACGUACAGCUUUGAGUGUUUUGAAUGCAGCUACUAAUGAUUGAAUUCCUGUGAAGUAAUUGAUUUAAAGAAGUUGAUCAGGCGAAUAUAUCUUUCAAAGAAAAGCAGAGGAUUUUUAGUUUGGAAAAUAAGGAAUCACAGAACUAGAAAAGCAAGUCUUGGUCAAAAUAAAUAAUACUAAUAAUAAUAACAAAAACAACAACAAUCAGCAAGGAGAUGGGUUAGGGACGUGACAGAACCAACGUGACAGACCCGACGAAUCCGACCAGCGACGAGUGACACAGAUGGGCUGCAAUCGGCGAGGAAUCCAACCGGUGACGAGCUGCUGAACCGACGUGAUAGAACCGACGAAUCCGACUGGUGAUGAGCGAUGGAGAUGGGCUGAAAUUGGCGUCGAAUCCUUUUGGUGACGUGCUGCUCAACCAGAGAAGGUGCUGCAGACGAUCGUCUCUUUGGCUCUAGCCUCUAGGUGGUAGAGACGUGAUGGGUUAGUGAUUUCAUGGGUUCUUUUUUAAUUUUUUCUCAGUUUAUAUUUUUUAAUUGCCAAGAGGGUAUUUUGGAAAAAUUAAAAAUACAAUAGAAGGAUCCCCUAUCUUACAACUAAUAUAAGAUACACUUAGGGAUGGCAAUGGGGCGGGGUGGGGGUGGGGAUGCCUACCCCAUUCCCCACCCCAUUAAAAAUUUUUGCCUCCAUUCCCCACCCCAUUCCCCAAUAAAUUUAGUGGGUUGGGGAUGGGGAAUCCCCACGUGGGGAAUGAUUCCCCCAUCCCCACCCCAUUCCCCAUUUAUUUAUUUUAUAGUAGAUACAAAAAUAUGAUUUCAGUAAAUUAAAAAUUAAAGACUUAAAAUAAAAUCAUCCUCAUAUUAUAAAGUAUUUAAUUUUUUUUUAAAAUCUCUAAAUGUUUGAAACAAUAUCUUAAACUGAUAUUAAAAGUGAAAAUAUUUAAAGAGAGCAGCACCUUAAAGGAGAAAAGAAAAUAUAAUAAUAUUUUAAAAUUAAAAAAUAUUGUAGGGUUUUCUUUUACUCAUAUCAUGUUUAUAUUACAUAAAAAUUAAAAAAUUAUUAAUUGACAUUAUAGUUGAUAAAAUAAAAAUUAUUAACAUAUUUAUAUAUAUUGGGGAUUGGGGUGGGGGUGGGGUGGGGAGUGCAAUACCAAACCCCACCCCGUUAACAAUUUGGGGAUUAUUUUUUUCCCACUCCCCACUCCAUUCCCCAAAAAUUAUUAAAAAAUUUCCCCAUUUGGGGUGGGGCUCCAUGGGGCCCCAAACCCGUGGAGGAUUUUGCCAUCCCUAGAUACACUUCUCACAUGAACAGUGAAUAAAUCUCACACAUAUACUGUUCAUGUGAGGGGAUGUACUUUACAUUAGUUGUAAGAUAGUGUUUGUCAUAAUAGAAAUAGUUUUGUCGUUUGGGGAAUAAGGUUUUGAUUCCCAACCCCAAUCAAAAUCUCACUAAUCAAACUUUAUUUUGCGUGGGUCUCAUGCACCUUAUUCCCAUUUCAGUUAAACAAAUAAAUAACUUAUUCAUUCUCUUGAUCCACAUUUUACUCUCCAAUUGAUGAUUUUAUCUUUAGUUAUGGAUUAUUAUAUUUGUUUAAUGAAUUUAGUAAUUUGUUGAGAAAGAUGAAGUUUAAUGAUUUAGUGAGUAGUGAGGUUUAAUUAUUUUGUAACAGUGGUAUUGGUUUGAUAAUUUGUUUAAAGUGAUGAGGGCUGUUUGUCUAAAAGACUUAUAUUUGAUUAUUAUAAUAGAAAAAAUUUAGAGGAAUCAAUUUUAAAGAACUCAAAAGUUUUGAAGCUAUUUGUAUAAAUUUCUCCAACUUUAAGGGGCUGCCUGGUUGCAUUACUAUCUUAAUUAUUAAUUGUUAAGUAUAUAUAUGAAAUAUUAAUUAUUAAUUUUUAUUAUUGUUACUAAAUUAAAAUUUAAAACCUAGCCAAACUUAUGUUUAAAAAAAAACACAUUACUAAAUAUAAUCAUGCUAAUCCAUUUAAAUCCAAUCUAAUAUGCAUUCCCCAGUCCGUUUCCUCAGCACUCCCCAGUCCCCAUAGUUGGUUCGAAGGGCUGAGCUACGCAUGACAGGUAGGGCUAGCCAUGAAAAAUUUUGCUUAUUCCCCUUAAGAUUUUAUAAUUUUCGUAACAUAAAGAAUUUUUAUUUUAUUUUCAAGUAUGUCUCUUGUUCAUCUUUUUAUUGGAGUUAGUCUUAUUUGUAAAAUGAUUUAAUCAUUAUUUAUUAAGGAAUUGAAAUUAUUAGGAGGUUAAAAUGUUAGUAUAGUUUUAACUUAUUAUAAAAAAAUUAUAAUUUGGUCUAAUUGAAAAGAAGUAUGCCAAUAUAUUAUAACAUUGUUACUAGAAAUAAGUUUAUAAUAAGUGAAUCUCGUACUUUAAUUAAUUUAUAAUGCUAAAGAUCUCUCCAUUUGAGUCUCAACUUAAAUCUCAAUACUAUGUGUUACUAAUCUAUUAGAUGAUAAAUGUAAAAUUACUUUUUCCUCUAUUCUACUAUCCAAUUGAUGAAUGUCUCACCAGUUGGAACUCAAAAUCAAAUGUUAGUAUCCCUGACAUUACUCAAUGAUAUAGUAACAAUUAAUGAUAUUUUCAUAAUUUCAUAGUUUGUUUCUUUCACAGUCAUAUUUGUUCUUUCUUCUUUUAAUUAAACCAAAUUGUUCAAAUAUGUCAUAUUCUUCUAUCACUGAAAAAAAGGAAUUUUGAAAGAAUUUUUUAAUGUAGAUUUUUAAUAAUUUAUAUUAUAACCUUAUUUGUUGCAUUGUGAUUUUUUAUUAAAUAAAUGAAUUUUACAAAGAGUUCGCUCUGGUGUUACUUGAGAUAUAUAUUUUUUAUUUCUUUUAUAUGAACUGGUAUUCACACAAAUAUUAUACCAUAAAUUUAUAAAUUAGCUGGGGCUAAUAAAAAAUCUUGGGUCCGCCCAAAUUGGUUCAUCAUCAUAGAAAAUCGGAAUUUGUUGAUGAUGAUGAUCACUUGCGUUCAUGCACUUAACAAUCUUAGCAAGUUCAUCUGAGCACCAAGUUAAUUAAGCAUAGUUUCUCGGGAAGACAAAAAUUGAAAUUUUUGAUUCCUCAAUUGCUUAAAAUAGUCCUGGGGAAAUUGACUUUCUUCUCUAAAUACAGCAAUUCCCUUUUGAUCCAAAGAAACAUGCAAAUGGUCAGUGAAAUUUUUGCGGGAGUACUCUUCGCCUCUAAAGCUAGAAUUGCAUCCGCCAGGAAGAAUUGAAGGAGAACAGCAGCUGCAGCUUGGAGAAAGAGCCAGUCACUUGGAUUUAUUUCCUAUGACUGGUUUUAUCUACUCUUUCAUCCCCAAUUCAAUUAUGUGUAACUAAAUCUUCUAUACUAGGACUAAGGAUAAAACCCUAUUCAAUGAAAUAAAUUACUUUUUUUUAUUCAAUUAAUUUCUUAUAUGAGCGCUUUAAUGUUUAUAGCUCUUGUUUCACAUAUUUGGUUGAGUAAAAUUAAAUCGUUUCAUCAAUUCUGUCGUGUAUUAUUGAUUGUUAAGACUAAUAUUUGACUCAAUUUAUGCUUGGAUCCAUAAAACUUAUAUGUGAUUAUCUUUGAUUUUGUGUCUUUCAUUAAAUUAUUUGCAUAAAAUGCUUGGGUAAACUUUAACUAUUUGUUAUUCAAUAUGAUUUCAUGGAUACUUAGAUAUCAUACUAUUAAAUAGAAAAAGAACUUACAUAAGAUUAAUUUUAAUUGGGCUUAAUUAUUAUAUUCACGAGUAGACAUAGAUUAACUUCGAGUAGUUAUACUAAAAUUGAGAAUUGAUUAGUAAUUAGAUAAUUGUUAAUUGAAUUGGGUAGAUUUUGAAAUCCUGGUACCCUCAAUCUCUUGAAUUGUUGUGUUAAUUUACUCCUUUUAAUUUUAAUUGCAUCCUUAGCUUUAAUUUUCUCAAACAAAAUAUUUUUUAUUCAACUAGGGCAUAGUUAUAAUGGACUUAGAUUAAAUUUUCCUUUCCUAAAAAUUCACAUUCCUUAUGGAUUCGAUCUAAAUUAUUUUUAGUCUAUACUUCAAUAGCCUCAUGUGCUUGCCAAUAUAUUAAAAUUUGCACAACACAUUCAGCCUAAAAUAAAAUAUAAAUUAUGUAAAUGAAACAUAAAACUUAUAAAAGGAAGGUUAAAUAAGUAAAUUAAUAUAAGAGUUAUUAAAAAAAUUACAAAUGUAAAUUAAAAGCUUAUUAUAAUAAUCACUAUCUUAUGUAUUUAUUGAUUUUGUUUCUAAAUGAAAUAACUAUAGUUUUGGGUUUAUAUAAUACAAGUCAUAAUAUAUGUGAAAUUUUAUUAAGAAUAAAAUUCAUUAAAUACAGGAGACAAGUUAAUAUAAAAUGUAAGAAAUUAACUUGCAGAAGAUUAGAUGUUGCUAAGCAAGAAGAAGCGGCCACCUAAGAUGUGAUUAGCUGUUAUUCAACCUAACUUUUCCAUUUGUUGAAGUACUGGUGAAACAAGGGAUAGAAAAUCAGAGCCUGAGUUUACUUACUUAGAUCAGUUCUGAUAUUCAUCGUUGCUGCCCUUAUCAACAUUCUUGCUCCAUGAGUCUGAACCAUUAUGUUGAUCAAUACUGAUAGGAAUGCACAUUGAUGAACUAACACAGUUUGCGUGUUACAAAGGAAAUUAGGAAUUUUGUAAAGCGCAAAAGCAGAGAGUAUUAUCAAAGUGUUGCUUUUGCUAAAUCUGUUACUGGCUUAACUGCACUCUGUUCCACAGAGUUGAAACCAUUCUGUUUUUUCCGUGGUUCGUAAAAGCCACUGGCAUCAGGUGGGAAUCGUCUCUUUUGUUUGUUCAAGACAUCAGGUGGGAUGCACGGUUCCUUUCCUUCUUGGCCAUUUUGUCGAACGACUUUUGGGAAUGGGAAUCAUACCAUAAUUGAAAGCAAAAACAGUAAUCAGAAAACAACGAACACAGAUUUUCGAGCCUAAGCCAGAUGGCCUAGUUCCUGGUGCAGAACAGGCGAACGGAUUUCAUUAAUCAUCAGGAAUUCAAGAACAAGGUCAAAAUUAUGAUGAUCUGAUUGCAUGCUGACAAAUUGCAGCUUCUAACGCUAUUUAAUAUAGCCUCGAAAACCUUCUGGGACCUCCCCCACUUGCCAACUUCGUUUCCCGCCAAAACCAACGGCUGUAACAACUAAUCAUUUGACCAGCCUCGGCGCACGUGUCCGGGGCGUGACAAGUUAAGUUUAUCUUUAACAUAUGUCACGUGCAAGACAAGUGCUCUACUAAAUGUUCGUAACCGACAUUACAUGAUGAUCAUACAUUGAUAUCGAAGGAGUAACCGUUAUCUCGAUCACGUUUAAGACGACAUAACAGUAAGCAAUAGAAUCAGAAACCGACAACGUCUUUCGCUAUAGAAGCUUAAAUUUGAGAUGGGUAAUUUUUGGAUACCUCCCCGAGGUUUGCCCUUGCUACACUUAGAGAGAAUGUAUGCAUAUAUUGACAUAUAGCACCCCCGGACGUAUAUAAUCGUUAGGAUGCCGUUUGCUCUGUUGAUGAAAGUACAAUAAUACCCUUCAUUCCACUGCACAACAACUGACAAUACUUGUAGCAAUGCAGAGUUGCAGACUUGACAAUACUUGUAGAAAUGUUGCAGAGUUGCAGACCGUCUGUUGUUUUUUGGCGUCAAAUACAUAAUAACAGUGAAUAUGUAUUUUUUUCAUUCGCGAAGCAACAGCAUCACCAGAUUUUGGUACCCCGGAAGUGUUAGUGAUACCAGAUGAAACACUAUCAGUAUCAUCAGAAGUUACAAGAUCACAGUACUCAUUCAUCAACAAAUUGCCAUCUUUAUUUUGCUUAGCAUUAUUUAAAUCCAAGCUCAAUCUACUCUCAUUUUCAAUAAAAUAUUGGUACCACGACUUAGCCACCGCCCCAUAUCCAUACCCAACGAACUUCUUACCCUCAACACUAGAAUCUCUCACUGGAGUCCCUCUUAUUGUCUCAGGAGUUGCCUUAGCUUUAGUCUUACUAAUAGGAAGUGAAAAGGCAUCAGCUUGAAACGAAACGGAUAGGCUCCUAGUUGAAGUAAUAAGCAUCCUUGUUAUUGUUGAAAGCUCUUGACUUGAAUUGCUUGCUUAGAGCUUGGAACUAGGGUAAUAGCCCUUGGACUAGAACCAAUCACCUGCCUCCUUCUAUCAACAGAUUGUGAUCUUUUAGUCCCCAAAGCUGGUAAAUUCGAUGAAUUUAUUGAACGAGACACAAGUAGAGAAGAAAAUCUCAGGCUCUGACUCUGACUUUUUGCUGUUGCUGUUGCUGUUGUUGAAGAUGAAGAUGAAGAAGGAGAAGGUGACAAAUAUCUUGAAGAGACAAAUCUUCCUUUAGGUUUCCUUGGACCAUUAACAAUAGGAACAUUAUGCGCAUUGUUUUUUCAGAAGGCAAAAGGGGAUGCCCUGACCUUGUCCUUGGGUUCUCUUCAGAAAUGGCAGCCACCAUUAUCAGAGAAACUGUAGAAAUAAAAUUAAAAAAAAAAAUUCUUUUUUUUUCCCUUCACAUUGCCUCAUCGUGAAGUCCAAUGUUACUUUAUCAAUCAUUUUUAUUUUUGGCACUUUAACCCAGAAAGCAUUUGAUUUUGUUCGGGGCAAGAAACUGCUGAAAAAAAAUAAAACAAGGCUGAAAAAGAUUAAGAGAUAUGGGAGAAACAGAAAAGGGCGGGUGAGUUUAAUCUUAUUUUCAGUUAAUGAAAUCUUGAUUAUAGUUUAUCAAAGUGUAUUUAUGCCUUUAUUGUUAUUUCGACCCAAUAAUUUGUCUUAAAAAAUUCAACAAUUAUUAAAUCAUUUAAAUCAUUGUCUUAUUAAAGAAAAAGAUACUUCUUUUUAACAUUAUACUUCAAAUAUAUUGAUAAUAUAAUACAACAUUCCGCAGUGCAGAAGCUCAUAAAUUUUAAGAUGUAGAUUUGCUCUCUCUCUAUAUAUAUUAUAUGGGUUAUUUUUAGAGACCUCCCCUGAGGUUUAGUGUAUUAACACCUAGAUAGAAUGUAUUGAUAUAAUUACAGAAACCUCCCCUGCCGUUAGUAUAAAAAUACGUAUGGCAUCAAUAUACAAGGGUAAAUUUGUAAAAUCAUAUUUAAAAUUCAAAAUAUGUUUUUACUAGAUCAAUGAUAUUUUGAACGACUUGCCCGCUGUUAACCGAACUUAACUAGUUGGCCAUGACUCCACCGGCAGCCAAUAGUGGUGCUUUGCCACUGCCGGAGUCCCCUCUUCACCCUGGUUACCAACCCCAGUCACAGAAGCCUAUGAAUCAACCGCAUCCACCACAACGCAUUAACCCAAAAAGAUGGCUUUUGUCUCACAACAGCCCCCACACCGGCAGUGCCCCUUUAGUCGUUGCUGAUGUCACCCAACCGCUAUCACCCUUGAGCCAUCCCGAUGCCAUGCAACAAUCUUUGACAUCCCAAAACUUAACCACACACAGCUCUCAAAACUAUAGCUCACGGCUGGUCACGCCGCAUACCACUGCCGUAAUUUCUGCCAUCAGUGAUGGUUCCAUUUCGUCGCUGUCUAUCCCCUCAACCAACCCCCAUGAAGUCCUGACCUCAAUAAACAUCUCAAUAGCCACAAAACCCACAAUUUUUUCAUCCCACACUUGCAGCCACAUUCAAACUCAUGAGAUCUCGCUGUCGCCAUCUUGUCAAAGUCCGUUAGUGGUGCUUCACUGCAAACGGAACCUUUUUAAGCCCAAUACACCACCAAUAGGCAUUUUGUUCAACUGAGUUUUCAAACAAUUUGUUGAUUCUGACGCAAUUAAUUGCUUUGUCGAACUGGGUUUUCAAACAAUUUGUUAGAGUCCAAAUCUAGCUACGACUGCAAGACUGUGAAAUCUCCUGAAAGCAAGAACAAUUGACGCUUCGCAUCUCUUUGUCUUUUAAAUAGGCACCAGCUUUCGGAUCCUUUGCAGCCAUCUAGAGGACACGGGUUGGUUUUGAAAGCAUAGAGCUGGGUAGCAGAGAAAGAAAGGAAGGGAACAAGGUAGAAAGAAAGACAGGAUGGCAUUGAAAGUGUAUAAGUCAAGCCAAAGGACGGCGACAAGGAAGAUGGCAGGCAGCAAAGGAGUGGUUGAAGACCCGGUUAAUCGAUGGAAGCAGCAGCCGGCCAAACCUAUUACCCAUAAAUUCUCAAAGCUACAUUUAAUAAUUUAUUAUUUUGGUGAGAAGGGUAUUUUAGUAAUUUUGACAGUCUAUUAACAGUAAACUUAACGACUAAUUAACGGCAGGGGAGGUUUCUGUAAUUAUAUCAAUACAUUCUAUCUAGGUGUUAAUACACUAAACCUCAGGGGAGGUCCUUAAAAAUAACCCUAUAUUAUAUAGUAUAUUGGUAUAUUUAUUAUUUUUUGUUCAAUUAACUAAUACACUUGUAUAUAGUGAAAUAAAUAUUUAAAAAAAUACAAACAUUUGUACUUAAAAAUAAUUAUAUUAUUAUAAUUUGUUGAAACCUCCUAAAUCACUUGUGGAAUAACAUAACCCAAAUAUAUAAAUUCAUAAUAAAUUGGAGGUGUUUAUGAUCGUGCUAGUGAGUGAUUCCUAAGAAGAUGAAAUAAUUUACUUCAAUGAUAAAACAGUACCCAAAAUUAUUAAUUCCAAAUUUUUCUUAAGGUUUACAAGAAAUAUGCAGUGUAGAGUUGUCUUUUAUUGGCAGCAUGUAAUUUGGGUCAUGAAGCAAAAAAAUUUAUCCCAUAUAAUAAAAACAAUAAAUUGUGAGAAAAUAAGGGAGAAGUUCAACAUAAGUGAAGAUUCUUUAAAUUUUUUUAAAUUUAAUAUUGAUUAUGUGUGCCUUACAGGGACAUCAAAGAGUGAAAAUAUGCAGGGUUCAGUCGGUCACUGUGAUGUACAAUGAUUUUUUUUAAUCAGUUCACGGCCUUUUUAACGAUUUGAAAAUUUAAAAUUUGUAAUUACGUUAUUGUCCUUAACUAUCAAACGGUAUCCCAACCCUUAUAAACGUCAGGGGUGCUAUAUGUCAAUAUAUGCAUACAUUCUCUCUAAGUGUAGCAAGGACAAACAUCUGGGGAGGUAUCCAAAAAUUACCCAAUUUGAGAUCAAUCUUUCACAUAUUGUUUCCGAGCAAGUUAGCGACUUGUCAAAGCUUGGUGGCAGGCAGGUUCUGUCGGAAGAAGAAUGUUUUUCAGCGGGAGUCUCAUCUCAGGUUGAGGGGUGGCUGGAGAGUCCCUAAUGGUAAAGUUGGUUACUUCAUUUUGGACCAAAAAAACUUUCAAUUUCCCUCCAUUGAAAGCAAUGGUUCCGAUGACGAGGUUGACAAAAAGAAAGAGCGUGCAGGGACUGGGAGUGAGGGUGAGCCAGCUGCUCAUGCAUCCCCAUAGUGUUGAUUGGUCUGUCAUGCUCUUCUGUUUCGGUUUCGUGGGUUUUGGUUUGUCCUUAAUCUGUAAGAAUGGAAAUUGGAAGGUGAGAGAGAGAAAGAGAGAGAGAGAGAGAGAGAGGGAGAUUUAUUAUGUUAUAUUGUAUGUCGCGAGGAGGAAUGCUCACAUGAUUUGUUGCAAUUACUACUUCCUAUUUGUGAACCAACGCUAAGAAAAAAGCAUAUCAAAUUGGAACAUUCCCAAUUUGUGAACCACCCCAAAUGUUAGUUUGGAUUGAGUUAAAAAUAUUUAAAUUAGUUUGAGUUGGGUUUAAAUUUUUAUAGUUUAAUUUAGAUUGAUUUAAAAUCCAAUUCAAACCAACCCAUGCCCACCCCUAUUUGUAUGUACAUGAGGAUUGUGCAUGCGUUUUCUCUUGCUUUAUUUACUCAAGCGCAGUUGAUCUCAUACACGGAAAAAUAGAAUUUGUCGCUGUAAAACUCUGCAUGUAGAAAAGCGACAAUUUAACUUAUCUGUUCCCACAAGGUCUCGAAUUGAUUUGACAUUUGCUCGCCGUCUUAUCUUUAAAAAAUAUAAAAUAUAAUAAAAAAAUAAAUCAAGUUACUAGAGUCGGCCAUUUCAAUAUAAAGUAUUCUGCCUAAAGCAUACGUGUUUUGUUUUUGAAUCCAAAUUGCCAUGGAAGUAGGAUAAAGGUGAACUGCGAAUAGAAAAAUAUAACAAAAAAAUCUCUUAAAACUUCGUUUAGUAUAUGGAGGUGCUGUGACUUUUAAGUUAUAUAUUUUAUGGUAUUAAAUUUUAUUUAUGAAAUAAAAAUUGAUAGUAUUUGAUGAUUAUCAUUUUUUAACCUUCUAGGAAAAUUUUUAACAAUUUGAUCUUUUAAUUAUAACAGAGUAGACAAUUCUCCAAUCAAAACAGAGAUAAUCAGAAUAAGAAACCGAGUUUCUUUUUUUUUUUUUUUGGUUGGGGUCUGUCCUUCAUGUUUUCUCUUUCUUUAAUUCUCAAAUCAUCGGAAUUCAUAAAAUUCAAAUCUUCAAAUUUGACUUUCUCUUCUUUAACAAUGAACUCAAAAACGAAAAAGGAGAAAGAAAAUAAUAAUAAUAAUAAUAAUAAAAAAAAAAGACUAAACGUACGGCAUGAGAUGCAUUUUUUCUCACGGGCCAUCCAUUUCCUCUUGCCAUUUGAAAUACGACUCAACUGCUUGUUUCUAUCAGCAGGCAUUGGAUUUAACUACAAUUUAUGAACAAACCUCAGAGAAAUUCCAGUAAGGGGCUAAUCUGAUCGGGCACGAAAGCAACUUUGGAGAUAUUCUUUGCUUCUGAUUCAAGCAGAGCAUUUUCUAGUGAUUUAAAAUAAAACUUUGCAUGAGUAAAUAUAACAGACAAAAAGAACAAAACUGAAAUUGAAAUUGCAUGCUUACUGAUAAAUUCAUAGACUUUAAACCUAAUAUUAAUGUUAAAUAACUAUACUUAAUAUGCACAAAAUUUAAUACAUGAACCAGAUGAAGAUCUUGUUGUAAGCAGUGAAGGAUUGAACAACAAUUUGAAGAAGAAAAAGCUUGAAGAAGUGCAAAGUACACCAGAUGCAAAAUUGCCUCGAAAGUCUCCAUCAAUACAGGUUCAGGUUAUUCGGAAAACCAAAGUUAAUGCAAAAUCAGAGAACAAACCAGAGGAAAGCUCUGUACUACAAUCACUCUGCCAAAACUACGACAAUGAUGUGUGAUGAUGAGCAGUAAACCAAGCAAGACUCCUGACGCAAGCAAUUUAUUGAAGGCUUUUUCUGAAGUUCCUUGCUGCAAAAACGCAUGAAUCAGGCAGUUAUUUUGCUUGGUCAUUUUGAGAGUACUUUGCAGACUCAUUCAUCUGGAGAGUAAACAUUUACCGUUUCUAGGUCGAAAUAAAGCCGUCUCUGAUCUUGUGCUAACCAAAUAAUAUGAAAGUAUAAUUAUUCUUUUUUUAAAACAAAUAAAAUAUUAAUCUGAUAUUCAUCAUUGAUUUUAUCAAUUUUACCUAAUAAAUUAUAUUAUAAUUAAUUUGUAUACCCCACAUUACAUUAUAACUGAUUCCAUAAAAGAUGAGAUUGAUCAUCUGUCGUUUCCCUGCAAAUCCACAAUCAUUCGAUGUCUAUGUUUUCAUUUGCUCUGAACCCAAAACAAGAAGCAGAAAGAUCCUUCAUAUUAAUCCUUCAUAUUUUGAAGCUUAAUCGUAAUCUCAAGUGAUGACAUAAGUUCAUCAAUUUUCCAAAUCUUAAUAUCUGUUAACUGGUAGUAAACAAACAACAGCCAUACCAUCAGAAGGCACUAGUGCAGUUCGAGUAAAAUCUAUGUUCAUUCAGUAAGAGUCUCAACAAGCGAAAACUGUGUCAACUAGAACUCCAGAAGCUAUAGGCAACACAAGAAUAUUCAAUCAGAUUGCAAUCAGCUAAUUUCUUUAUUGUUCAUUCAUUGCAAUGCAAUUCAUCUACUAUGAUACAAACCACUUUCAAGUGUACCCAAGAACCUGCGCUUAUCACUUCUGGAUCUGGCAUCUUUUGCACAAAAAGAAGGGAACAGAUAGUUAAGUCCUCAUCUCAUCUCAUUUGAGUUCAAAACCCCUCUAAGUCAUUUUCUUGCACUGCACUGAAAUAAAAAAUAAAGUUAUUAAUUAUAUGUGUUGUUGUGUGCGCACACGCGCAUGAGAUAAUGAAUACAUAAAUGAGAAAGCUGCAAGGGAUAAUUAUGCAAUGAAACAGUGAUGGUAAGAUCAAAAACAGAGGAUUUAUUUCAGUCCUUUACUUUUGAUCCAAGCAGAGCAUCUUCUGGUAAUUUAACAUGAAUUUUUUUUGCAAGGUUAGAUACAUUAAAUAAAUAAAGAGAAUGUAAAUGAUUUACCAUAUGCAGCGAACAUAAAUUGGAACUGAGAAUCUGAGAUGCGUACUUACACAUAAAUUAGAACUGAGAAUCUGAGAUGUGUACUUGCACAUAAAUUCAGAGAAUAAUCACUAGUUUAUUCCCUUCAAUCGAGUCGUCUAUAUCUUUUAGCUUGAGAUUCCUCAUCAUCACAGUAGCCACUUCCACUGGCUUCAGCUGUCCCAACAUACUCUGCAAGGCUUCGCUUUGAUGUUGUGGCUACUUCCAUAUUUGAUCCAACAAAAUUCCGAUGGAACUCAUUUAGAUUAUAAGUAAAGGGAGUCCAUCGGUUUGUUGGUUGGUUGAACUCCUCCCCCACUUGGUGGAUAUAUACUGGAUGGAAACCACAUUUUUUCACCUCCAAUCCUGGGCCCCACAAGGGUUGAAAUUCAAAAUGCCAAUUGUGUUCAUAGCAUUCUUGCUCUUGACGAGGUAAAUAGAGUAGCCAAAGAUGGUCAGACCCAUCCUGACCGAACUUUUCCCUAAAAGUAGUACUAUCACCAACUCUAGAACCUUUCAAGUGCCAGGUCAAGCACUUUGUGGGAUAUGAACGUAACAUUCUGAUUCUAGUUGAAUGCUUAUUGACAUGAAACACACAGCAAAUAGCAUAUCCCACCACCUUAUUCUUAUUAAAUGAAUCGGGAGGCCUCUUGAGUGUUAUUGAAGAACCCUUGUUCUGAUACAUGAACCAUUCCGGAAUUUCGCUUCCUGGAACAACAAUGCUUGAACGCUGUCGCAAAUUGGACACAGCCUGCAACCAAAAAAUUAGGAGGAAAAAAUAAAAAAUAAAACCACACCCGUGCAUAAAUUUAGCGCAAUAUGUUUGGCACAGUGGAGAGACAUGGAGUAAGAGACUGACCUCGAGGUACUCUUUCAGCAUUGAAAAUCCCAAGCCGUUGAAUUUGAAACAGUCCAUACAAUGAAUAUAUGUGCGGUUCAACUUGCAUAAUUUUAACACACAUGAUAUCGUUUCCAAUGAAGUACAACCAUCUACUCUAAUUGACACAAUACUGGGUGGAGGUUGUGGUAGAGAUUGAAGCCUCUUGCAAUCCUCCAAUACCAUUUUCCCCAGCUUAGAAAGAUGGAUAAUGCUUGCUGGAAGUGAAACAAAACUGUUUCUACUCAAAUAUAACUCUUUUAAUGAGCAUAAGUGGCCAAUAUCGCUUGGGAUUGCUCCUUCCCCAAGAUUGCAGUCACUGAUAUCUAAUUUUCUUAAACAAUACAAACCUGAUAGAGAUGGGAACCUCCAAGCCACAGGAUCUGAAUUCCUUCGGAUCAAAGUGAUGGGGAAGUGCAGAAACCAUGAUGUUGAUUGCAACAGUCCUUUGCACCCGCUUAUAUCAAGUACUUCCAAGCUUUCUACCUUCCCCAAGUUCUCUGGCACAUUUUUAAGUUUGGAGCAGCCAGAAAGAUGCAACGUUUUAAGAGAUCUCAAACCAUUUAUAGUUCUUGGAAGACUCUUGAGAUUUUUGCAAUCUUUCAAAUUCAACAAAACAAGGCCAGAAAGAAAUUCAAUAGAUGCUGGCAAUCCUCUUAUAGCAGUUCCUUCCAAAUGAAGCUCCAACAGCUGCUCCAUACUUUCCACGAUCUCCGGGAACUCUCUGAGCUUCCAAAG